CUUUUUUCCUUUUAAACUAGGUGCUUUGCCCCCUCAAAAAAAACUGGGUGCUUCGUGCGAUCCAUCGAUACUACUACUAGUAAUCCGGUAAUCCCGACUAAAACGGCACGGCCGGGUCAUUUCCUGCGCAAUAUGCUGGGAGGUUGGCUUAGUUGGGUUUUUUAGGACGAGAAUUGGUACACCUAUGUAACCCUAGUUACGUAAUUAACGUAAUGUGAAACAUGUGAGCUAUUUAUUGUAGAUUGUGGGAGGGAGGGUCCCACCACUAUGAAAAUUAGGAGGUUCCCGUAGAUGUAGAAAGAUGUGAAAUGCGUGAAUGUGUAGUGGACGUACUAGGAGUCCUAAGAUAAAUUGUGUAUGUAUAGACCCUAUGUGUUUGUUUACUUCGCAUGUUAGCUUUGUCUCGGUUCAAUAAAAAGCAGAGUUGGUGAUGAUCGUGUGCCUGUCAUCCUGCAAUAUAGGCCGACCGAUCUAUAUCUAAUGGAUAGGAAGGAAACUAUGACAAUUUACCCGCGCUGCUCUCCACAUUUGUAGAUAAGGCCUUCCCUCAUUCAUCCUUUUCUCCCACAAGAUCUUGAUGUUCCAUGCAAUGCACGGGCAUCUUGCUAGUACUCCCACAAUAUACUAUAUUAUUGUGAAAGUUCAUAUACACCGGUCGAGAUUAAUGCAAACACGGCAUAUUUUCAUUACAUUUAGAACUUUUAUAGGACAGAAAAAUAAAAGAAACCCGAGCCUAAACCUAUUCUAUGGCAGCGACCGACGUCCUCCAUCUGCGAUCUCUAUGUACGGGGGCGGGGUUCAAGACCCAUGAAGUGAAGGUGCGGUCUCCGGCGAUGAAGAGUAGAACACGGGAUACGGACCGGCCAGUUGGCACACCAUGCCUUGCCGCCUCCCAUGCCCUACGCAUCCUCGGAGGAGUCCCCGACCUCGGUGGUGCCAGAUGUUGGACGGCGGCAAGUAGGACGCAUGGCUCACGGUGCUCCCGUCGUCGGCCGCCAGCAUGGCCACCGCUUGUGUGGUCGCAUCCACGUCCGGCUACGCCGCUAUUGCGUCACGAGAGGCGACUUGAGCAAGGUUGGCGACCUCAAGCUUCAUCCCCGAAGACAAGCUCUCCCGCAGAGCAUUCGCGCUUGUAGUCAUGGCGGAUGUGGUGCCAGGUAGGAGGACGAUGCACUAUGGUGUGGAGGUUAGCUGGGCGUUGCCUCUUUAAGUAGCGCAUUUCAGUGAGGCCAAGCGUCCGAGUGCGUCAUUAAGUCACCGGAGUUGGUUCCUUGGGCACCGAGCCUCUUAAUGACGGCAUACAGAUAGACGACAUGAAUGCGGGUAGCUGGCGCCAGUUGGGAACACACCGUGCGAUGGUGCGAGGGACGAGGGUUUUUGGUGUGCCAGGGUAGUCAGCUGCGGUCGUGGCAACGUUGGAGAUGCCCUUUGCUCACAUGUGAUCCCCGCAUGUCAUUGAAAAAGCAAGAUGACCCGGCAUGGUCUCAGGUCCUGGGGAUGCAGUUGGCCGUGCUACACCACUCCACGGACGUGUCGCGGCGCCCCGUGCAUCCUUGACGAGCCGGGUGUUGGGGUGUGUUUGGAUUGUGGCCAAAGUGCACCUUACCAAAAUUUUGGUCAUGACCCAAAGAUUGGUCUUUGUUUGGAUGGUUGCCAUUUUUCGGCAUGCCAAUGAACUCUAGGCAACUCUACUUCAUUUUUCUUGCCAAUGUCGGCCAAAUCAUGGGCAACCAAAACCUCAACCAAAAUUUUGGCUAGCCGAUGCUUUGAUGGGGCAACCUUGGGCACAAACAAAACAUACUGCUGGUUGUGCCACAGCGCUAUCGCCACCCUCGGCACACUGAAACCGACCGUGUCCAGCGACAAUGAGCGUGUCGCUCAUCGCGGUCGCCGUGUCCAGAGGCGGUGCUGGAUUUGUGCCAUGUUGCUGGCCCCCAUGACCCACAUGAACGGUUGCCGGUUGCGAGGAGGUCAUGGGCCAGCUCCUCCAUUGGACUAGUCGGCACUACGCCGUCCCAACAGGUGUGCCCCACAUGUUGGUUUCCUUGUUUUCCCGGCCAUAUUCGAGCAUCAGUGCUCCGUGUUGCGCAUUAGGCCUUUCACUCUGUAGGCCAAGCGAGACAACUUAUUGUUUAUUUGAGCCGUAAAAGUAUAAUCAUGUGGCGUUUGCUUAUUUCUCAUUCCUCUCCAACCCUCUUCUCCAUCGAUCAUGCCGCCCUCCGGUCGAGUCCAUCCUCCCACAUGCCUCAUUUGAACAUUCCGCCGAGUAUCAUUCGCAUGUGGGCCUAGACCAUGCUUGUAUUUCCAAUGUUGUAAUUUGUCCGACAUGCAUACAAACAAACGGUUCGUUUAAAGUUUCACUUUGCCUCCACUACGUGUCGCUUCGUGUCUUAGUUUUGUCAUCCCAUUCGGUUCAUGCCCCAACACAUGUUGAUGAGAUCGAUUGAUAUUGAGAGGUCAAUUGCGUGUCGUGCAAGGAGAUAAAUGUUUGGUCUGUUUUUAUGAUAGAAAUGACCCACGGGGGGGGGGGUCUGUGGGGAUCAGAGGGAGUAUAUCACUACUAGGGAAAACCCUAGUAGUAGCGCGGGUUUAAUGCCCACUAGUAGCGCGGGACACUGUGCUACUAGUAAGGCGCUACAGCUAUUACUUAGCAGUAGCGUGUGCGGCUACUGCUAAGACAUAUAGCCGCAGCGUGUGUUCACUCACGUGCUGUUGCUAAUCUAGCUAGUAGCAGCGUGUUUUCUAUCCCUCGCUACUAGUAUUCUUUUCUUCAUUUUUUUAUUUUUAUUGUAUUUAUACGCCGGUAUACAAAUUUUGGUACAAUACCACACAGUGUGUCAAAUGAAGGUGGAUUAGGUUCAAGUGGAGGCAACAUGUGGUGCAUGUCAAAAGUAUACUACUAAUCCAAACUUGAUCUAGUUUGGACUACUAGUACUUUUGAUGUGCACCACAUGUUGCCUCCACUUGAAUCUAAUCCGCUAGCACAAGCUAUUUAAUCAUCAUCAUAGUCAUUACCACCAAUAGUAGCUAUUUAAUCAUCAUAGUCAUAGUGUAGCACAUCAUCAUCUUCAAACUCAUUCUAGCUAGCUAAUCACCACCAAAACUAGCUAUGGUAGCUAUCUAAUCACCACCAACACUAGCUAAUUAUAAUCAUCAUAGUCAUUACCACAAACACUAGCUAUUUAAUCAUCAUAGUCAUAGUGUAGCACAUCAUCAUCUUCAAACUCAUUUCUAGCUAAUCACUCCUGCUGCUCUCCCUCAGGUAAAAUAGCAUAAAACAUGUGUAGCACUUGUAGGACCUUGAAAUAUGUCCCGAGGGGGGUGAUUAGACUACUUGACCAAUUAAAAACUUAACCUUUUCCCAAUUUUAGAGUUUGGCAGAUUUUAGCUACUUUAGGACAAGUCAAGCAAUCAUCACACUAUUCAAGCAAGCAUGCAAAGAGUAUAUAGGCAGCGGAAAUUAAAUCAUGCAACUUGCAAGAAAGUAAAGGGAAGGGUUUGGAGGAUUCAAAGGCAAUUGGAGACACAGAUGUUUUUGGCGUGGUUCCAAUAAGUGGUGCUAUCGUACAUCCAUGUUGAUGGAGACUUCAACCCACGAAGGGUAAUGGUUGCGCGAGUCCACGGAGGGCUCCACCCAUGAAGGGUCCACGAAGAAGCAACCUUGUCUAUCCCACCAUGGCCGUCGCCCACGAAGGACUUGCCUCACUAGCGGUAGAUCUUCAUGAAGUAGGCGAUCUCCUUACCCUUACAAACUCCUUGGUUCAACUCCACAAUCUUGUCGGAGGCUCCCAAGUGACACCUAGCCAAUCUAGGAGACACCACUCUCCAAGAAGUAACAAAUGGUGCGUUGAUGAUGAACUCCUUGCUCUUGUGCUUCAAAUGAUAGUCUCCCCAACACUCAACUCUCUCUCUUGGGUUUUGGAUCUGGUGGAAAGAAGAUUUGAGUGGAAAGCAACUUGGGGAAGGCUAGAGAUCAAGAUUCAUAUGGUAGGAAUGGAAUAUCUUGGCCUCAACACAUGAGUAGGUGGUUCUCUCUCAGAAAUGGUAAGUUGUAAGUGUAGGUUUGUUCUGAUGGCUCUCUCCAUGAAUGAAGAGGUGGUGGAGGGGUAUAUAUAGCCUCCACACAAAAUCUAACCGUUACACACAAUUUACCAAACUCGGUGGGACCGAUUCAACAGACUCGGUCGGACCGAUUUAGUAAACCUAGUGACCGUUAGUGAUUUUCGGUGGGACUGACAUGCAUCUCGGUGAGACCGAUUCAGUUAGGGUUAGGGCAUAAUGUAAUCUCGGUAAGACCGAUUACACAAACUCGGUGAGACCGAUUUGGUAAUAAACUUUCCAGAGAAUUGGUCAGGUAAACUCGGUGGGACCGAUUUGCUCUUUUCGGUGAGACCGAAAUGUUACAAAAGGGAAACAAAGAGUUUACAUUGCAAUCUCAGUGGGACCGAUCGCUCACUUCGGUUAAACCGAAACGUUAUGAAGGGAAACAGAGAGAUUGCAACCCCAUCUCGGUGAGACCGAGAUCCCUAUCGGUAAGACCGAUUUGCUUAGGGUUUGUGGCAGUGGCUAUGACUUUUGGAAUCGGUGGCGCCGGAUAGGAAGAAUCGGUGUGACCAAUUUUGGCUUUGGGUUUAGGUCAUUUGUGGAUGUGAGUAGGUAGCCGAGGGUUUUGGAGCAUAUCACUAAGCACAUGAAGCAAGAGGCUCAUUAGGCAACACCUCAUCCCUCCUUGAUAGUAUUGGCUUUUCUUAUAGACUCAAUGUGAUCUUGGAUUACUAAAAUAUAAAAUGAAGAGUCUUGAGCUUUUGAGCUUGAGCCAGUCCUUUGUCCUUAGUAUUUUGAGGGAUCCACUUUCAUCAUCCAUGCCAUGCCAUUCAUUGAGCUUUCCUGAAAUAAUAGUCUUGGAUUAGCAUUAGCUCAAUGAGCUAUAUGUUGUUAUGAAUUACCAAAACCACCUAGGGAUAGUUGCACUUUCAAUCUCCCCCUUUUUGGUAAUUGAUGACAACAUAUAGAUCAAAGUUUCAACAAAUGAUAAUAAAAUUUAACAACAUCGUCGCUUUGAGAAGUAUGUGAUAAGCAAGAGCUCCCCCUAAAUUUGUGCAUGGUUUAAGAUUUUCUUUAGACUGCAAAUGCACAAUGAAUUAGGCUCAUGAGUUACUCUUCCAUGUCACAUACAUCAUGGUGGAGCGCUCAAAAUAAUAAACAUUGAAUACAUGCACUCAUCACCAAGCAAAGUGAAUGAUCACAUAAGAUAGAUAGGAUAAUAUCAUCAAACAUGCAUAAGUGUAGCUUAUGAUCAAACACAUGAUCAUCAAUGUCUCACAAGCAUAGUAUCUCAAACGAUCAAAAGCAAACAAAUUUAACCACCAAAUAAAGCAAGAGAGAACAAAAGCAACACUCUCUCUCUCGAAGCAUAUGAUCUAUACAUUUUUCUCCCCCUUUGGCAACAAGUUACCAAAAAACUCAUAGAAAAUGCAUAGUGCUAGAUCGACUCUAGGGCUUGAUCUUCAGGUGGUGGUGUCCGGAUAACUCCUUGGACGAAGGCUUCAGUUGAAGUAGAGGGUGCUGGAGUGGAUGCUGGAGCUGGUUGCACUGGAGCUGAAGGGGCUGUAGCUGGUGCUGAAGAUGUUUCUCUAGUGUCUGUCACAGGCACUACAACUGAACUCUGGGCUCAGCACUCUGGCAAACACAUUUGUUGUAGUCUUGCCCUGCCUCUCCUUCAUAUUAUCCUGCAGCUGCUCUACAACUGACUGAAUCUCAGUUACUUUGACAUCAAGGUCAUGGAAUUUGAGUUCCAUGAUUCUGUCCAGGCUCUCCUGAUUCUGAGUGAGGGUGGCCAGUCCCUUCUCAAUCCUCAGUGUAGAUGCUAUCAAGUAACCAAGCUGCUCCUGCUUGUUCUUCAAGAAAUAUUCAGAUGCCUCCUCUUGAGUUGGCAUCUUGGCAGCCUUCUCCGUCUUUGACUUCUCCUUCUUCUCCUGAGCUUGAACUGAUGAUGGGUCAUUCUCAUUCAUGACAACCUCAUUGUCCUCAAAGUCUGGAUAAAGUGGAAAAUGUUCCUUAUCCAACUGAUAUUUCCCUGUGCCCAUCUUUGAGUUGAUCAAUUCCUGAAUCUGAGGUGCAUAUCCAUAGCUCCUCUUCUGAUCUACUGCAGUCCUCUUAAUGGUUUCAAUCAUAAGGCUCAUGGCUUUGAACUUUUGUGGCACAUCAAACACAUGCAACAUGUUGAUGGCAUGCCCUCUGAUCAUGUUAUGGUCACCAGACUUAGGCAACAGGGUGUGCCUCAGAAUCCAAUUGAUUGUGGGUAGCCCUGACAGCAGAAAGUGGACUGAUCCAAACUUGUGAGUCUCAACUGCCUUGUCUGGGAUCUCCUUGUACAUGUGAGCCAUGAAAUUGUGAUCCAUCUUUUUCUUUGCAUAGAUAUCCAAGUCAUCCUCAUUUUCCUUUGGGGCAUUUAUCAGACUUGCCCAUUCUUCAACAGUGGAUUGGUACCUUGUACCUUCAGACAUCCAAACAAUUCUUCCAUCUGGAUAAGAAUGUGCUGUGGAGUAGAAUUGCAUGAUAAGCUCAUCAUUCUAGUGGGUGAACUUUUGUCUAACAAAAUCAGAAACUCCACAAGCAACAAAGCUGUCUUGCACUCCAGGAUAGUGCUCUUCAUUGUCCUUGAUGUAGGUCCAGUUGACCCACCUCAUGUCACAAACUAUGGGCUUCUUAUCCAACAGAAUUAUCUCAUAGAAGUCCUGCUGUUCCUUUGUAUGGAACCUGUAGUCAACAAUAGUUCUUCUCCUUGAAGCAUAUGGAUCUUCCAUCCUCCAUAGCCUCAACCCUGAAUCCUUCCUGACCCUCAUGUCCUCAGCCACAGGAUGGGCAUCAUUGUGGUCUGGUAUCUUGGGCUUGAGCUUCCUUAGGACCUGACCUUCUUCAUCUUCUUCUUCAGCAACAUUUGGCACUGGGGCCUUGUUCUUCUCAGCAGUUGGAAUACUCCUAGUAUUCCUCUUUGGUACCUGCUUGGCCUUGGAGGCAGCUUUGGGUGCUUCCUUGGGCUUAGAUGUUGCAGCCCCUGAUCUUAUAGCAUCACCCAUAAGCUUUGGUGCCUUAGGUGCUGGUGCAGCAACCUCUUCCUCUUCUUCAGAAUCUCUUCUCAUUGAGGGCUUUCCAAGAACCUGGGCAGUUGUGGUUCUUGCUCUCUUCUUUUUCUUGUCCUGAGGACCUUCAUCCUCUGAUUCUAUGGUGAACUUCAUAGUCUCUCCGGUGGGGACUUUCUUGGGUUUGGAAGAAGUGACUUUCUUUUCAGGUGCCUCUUUGGGUUCAGUCUGUUUUGGCACUUGAGUGGAUCAUCUGACUUUGGGCAUUGGUGUACUCUUGGCAGGAACUUUCUUUUUCAGUCCAGGCUUUGGGCUAUGUGCAGAGCCAUAUUCCUUCUUGAGCACUAGUUUCUUGGAAGUAGCCUCAUCUUCUUCAGCUUUGUAGUCCUCAUCCUCUGAGUGUGAUGUUCUCUUCCUCCUUUGCCUGGUAGCAGCCUUUGGCAGGUUGCUAGGAGUGCUUCUGCUCCCUUCAUCUGUAGAGCUUGAGGGACUAGUGCCCUUGCUCAUGUCAAUCCACUCUUCAGACCUGUUCUGGCUGUCACUCUGGUCUGACAUGCUGCAAAAAGCUGAUUGCUGACCCUCUGAAGAGUUAUAGAUGAGAUAGAGUGGAUGCGCAUCACAAAAUGCAGACAUUUUUGCAAAAGAAUGAUUCAAAAAUUCAGUUUUAGUUUUCCACAAAAAGCAUUUCGGAUCAACCGAUUUUCAAACUCGGUGAUACCGAAGCAGUUUUGGAACCUAAAAUGAUGAUCUCGGUUGGACCGAGUCACAGUUUGGUGGCACCGAGACUGCUAGGGUUUCACAGAAUCCUAAAAUCGGUCGCACUGAUUAGUAAUUCUCGGUCAGACCGAGAGUGUCGUGGGAACGAACACCUAUGGGGCAAAGGGCCCCUUUUCGGUCCAGCGGGGGGCGGAGAUCGCACGAAGAGCAGAUCGAGGCGAGGCACACGAGCGGUUUACCCAGCUUCGGAGCUCUCCGGAGAGAUAAAACUCCUACAGCUGCUUGUCGGGCAGUAUUGUGUUCUUGCUCGGGAGCGCUGAGAGCUACAGUACGCUCGAAACCGAGCGUGAGUGUUUUCUGGUUUUGAACCCCCCCUACGUUGCGCACGGGCCUCCUUUUAUAUGUUAAAGGGGUCACCGACAGGUGGCAACGCAUGCAAGGGUAAAAAUGUAAAAGAACUGCAGUAGGUACACCUACUCGUACAGUGCAUCCUACCUAACCCUGACGGCAGGGGACAAAAGCAUUGAAUGCCCGUCUGCGUCGCCCAAACAGUGCAGAAAAGUGACCGUUAGGGGCGCCACCGCUCGCCACGAUAGCCAUCUCGUCAUCUCCGCUUGCCACCUCGCACCGCUGGCUGCACAGCCUCUCGCCACGCGCGCCUGGAAGUAUCAUAGGGCGACACGUUGGUGGAUGCGCUGGAUCGCGGGUACAGAGUAGUAGCCUGCCGCGGCAAGCGUCUUGCCGCGAUCGUUGUCUUGUCGCGUCCGGAAGCUUGUUGCUUGCCGGCCUUGCCGGGACGCGAGGCGCGUCGUGGCAAGUUCCUUGAAAUGUCUUGGUUGGCCUUCCCGGCAAGCUCCUCUUGCCGGGGUCUUGGCCUCCCCGGCAAGCUCCUGUUGCCGGGGCCUUGUCUUAAACACUUUGUUCUUGAAUGGUUCGAAAGGAACCAUGGAGGACCUUGGAGGUCGCCCGGCAAGCCAUGCCGCGGGGCGCUGCGACUGCCCGUGCACAAGUUCGGGAUACUAAGGUACCCCUACUCUAGUACACCGACAGGAGCCCCCGGGCCUGGGCCAUACAUAGUGCCGAGCGCUAUUGGGCCAGGCCCAAAACAGGGCAUGGGCACGCGCGGCCUGGGCCAUGUCGUAUCUUACUCCGUAUCCACCGCGCCCUCCCUUAAUGGCACGCGUCGAAUGCGGCGUCGUGGGAGAGAUCGUGGGUGGUUCUUUAUUCGGAAAAAGCGUAACGUUCGCCUCUUCCCUAUUUAUAAGCAGGGGAAACAGGGGCAGUUGCCCCAUCUCGCCAGUUGCUUCCCCAAUCUCAGAAAUCUCCGCCGCUCCCCUCCUCUUCCAAAGCCGAAAGAAAGCAGCGCUCCGCCCCCCAUCGCCGCCGUCGCCGCCAACACCGUCGAUCUCCUCCACCACCCCCGCCAUGGCUCCGAAAGCCGGGAAGGGCGUGAAGUCGGCCGAGGCGCUGCGAAAAGAGCGGGCAACCUUCCCCUCCGAGCUCAACGCGACGUAGCUGAGGGAGUGGUACUACCUCUUCUGGUCGACAGAGACGCGAGCGCAUCCGCGCACGAAGGUACUCUCCGCUGCCGCUUCGAAACGGGCUCCAAACGGAUACCCCUUCUUUGUACUGUUCUUCUACUGCGGGCUCUGCCCGCCCUUCUCGGAGUUCUUCUGUGAUAUCAUGAACACCUAUGGGUUUCACCUCCUUGACUUCACCCCCAACGCCGUUCUGACCAUGGCAGUUUUCACACAUCUCUGUGAAAACUUUGUCGGAGUCCACCCAAAUGUAGCCCUUUUCCGCCACUACUUCAUGCCCCGGGUCGAGAGAGGAGAGACUCUAUCCGGCGGGAUCGCCUGGAUCUCGAGAGCCGGCAAGAAGGAGGCGUACCUGGAGGGGGAGCUCCGCAGCAAAUGGGAGGAGUGGAGAGCCGAUUGGUGCUGGAUCGUCGAGGAGAACCCGCAGCCGUUCACCGCCCAGCGCCAAGCUCCAGUAGUGCGCGGCGGCGAUUGGAGCAGCUUGGCCGCGGAAGACAACAAGCUGAAGAUCGCCACCACCCGGAUCUUGCGCCUCAGGCUUGCCGGGCUGACUGUUGGCGCUAUAGGCUCAGACUUUCUUCGCCGUCGCAUUGCCCCCCUGCAAGAGAGGAAGAGACCCGCCUGGGAAUUUGUGGGUCCGGCGGACAUCAUGAGGCUGCGCCCGGGCCUCAACUUCAAUUUCACCAUCCUGGAAUUGGAUGCGAUGCUCAAGGAGUUGUUCAAGCACGAUUCCCAACAUCCAGAGUGGUUCAGGUUGCCGGCAGGGGUCGUUCCGCUAUGCAACAACUCUUCGCUCGACCGCAUCCGCGCGAUGAUGCCGCUGUGCGACUCACAUGGCCUUGUCCCAACUUGGCAAGAGCCUGCAGACGAUGUCGUGCAGCAGUUCUUCAACGGCUUGGUGGAGGUGGCGGUCCACGCCGACGAACAGAAGAUCCUCACCCACAACACCACUGAGGAGGAGAUGCAACGCAUCGCCACCAGGGCGGAAGAGGCGGCGGCAGCCGCCGCCGCGGGCGAGUUCGGGUUCACCAUGGAGGAGGCAGAGGCAGCAAAGGCGGCAAGCCUUGCCGAGCGAGAGUGGCUUGACGGCGAGGAAAGGCUUGCCGCGCCUGACGCCGAGUCGAGCGAGCCCGCCGAGGGUGCGAGCGGCCCGCCGUCUCCAGGUAGCUUGCCGCAGGCGGAGCCCCCAGCGCCACCGAGAAGGCGUCUCCGCAGGGCCGAGGAUGUAGCAGGGUAGCAAACGGGUCAGCAGCCGUCGCGCCGUGCGACACGCUCCGCUGCGACAAGCAAUGUUGCCGCGGGAGCGCCUCGCACCGCUGCGGCAACUGGAGCGGGGUCUUCCCGGACCACCGCCGCUGCCCCCGCCAAGUGGCCAAGGGAUCCAACUCCCCCGCCUCGUCGCGCCGAAGGUGGGCCGGACUUCGACCUCUCCGCGCUCAGCUCCGACGAGGAGGAUGAAGAGUGAGAAUCCUUGUUGUACUUGUAGUUCUUCAAUUCUUGUUGUUUUUGUCUUGUAUCUGAUCUGCUUUACUCUGAACCUUGUUCCUUUUCAGGACCCUGGCCUAGAGAGCAGCGAAGAUAGCCAAGGUUCCGGUGGUUAUCAUCGAGGACGAGCCCACCGCGAUGGCAGGGGGUGCGCCCGAGACCACCUUGCCGGACCCGGCAAGUACUCCCCGAAGCAGCCCCCAGCGCAGCCCCCAACGUAAGUAUAAAGUUUACUUCCCGCUGUUGGGCGCGCAAGGGUGUUCUUUCCUUUGAUGACAUCUGACUGUUGCUUUGUUUGUGUAGGAGCAGAACAACUUCACCAGGAGGGCUCGGAAACCGCCUCCAACGUGCCAUCUGCUUCAACUACACCGCCAAGGGAGGAUUCCCCAGCAAGGGAGUGUUCUCCGGCAAGGGAGAAAUCUCCGGCAAGGGAGGAGUCUCCGCCAAGGGGCAGCACCUGCGACCCCCCGGUGGUGGAGCCCAUGACCGUGGAUCCCUGUACAGGUAACCCUCUUGCCUGAAACUUCCCUUGGGUUCUUCUUCUUCUGAUUUUCUUUUUGGAUAUUUGCUUGACUUUUCUCCCUCUUCCGGUCUUCAGAUCCUCCUUCCACGGAGCCGAUGGAGACCGAGGCCACCGGCGAGGAGAAUGUGCGUGGCAACACUGACGACGCCGCCGCCACUGAAGAAGAGGCCGGCGCUGAUGAUCCUGCCGGUGAAGAGGCCGCCAAAGCUGCUGGCGCAAGAGCUGGCGAGGGGUCCGGCGAUCGUACUGACGACCCUGAGGCCACAGGAGCGCAAGGCGCUACGCCGACCACCGAUCCCUCCGCCCUGACGCAGCGCCAGGCUCCGAAGAGCCCCAGCCCGGUGCCUACUUGAAGGCUGGCGAUGGUGUUUUCAUCAAGCUCCCCUGGGCCUCAAGCUCCAGGGCGCCGGUUGAAGGAGAGACCUUUGAUGGAGAAGUGCUCGCCUCCACUGGGCUGACACUGGUUGACGCGCCAAGUAGCAGCAGCGGCGAGUCUGAGGAGGAGCAGCUGCUCUGGAAGCUGGUGUCGCUCUACCGCGCCCGACAAGCCAAGGUGGAGUCCCGGGAAGCGCUUGUCGCACAGGCGUGAGCGGACAUCGAGAAGCGCGCAGAGGAGCUCCGGGAACGCAAUCAGGAAGCUCUCCGGUCCCUGGCAGAGGAGCGGAAGCAACUUACCGAGGAGCGGAAGGCCUUCCUCCUCGAGAAGGCUGAAGCCGAAGAGCAACAGCGGCUUGCCACCGAGGAGCUGUUUGCGCGGGAGGGUGAGCUGACGCAGCGGAAGGUCAACCUCGAUAGCUACGAGGAGGAGCUUGCCGCGUGCGAGCAAACAUUUGGCGGGGCCCUCAAGGAAGCAAAGGAUGCUGCCGCAGCUGCCGAGGCCGCCAAGAAGGAGCUGGAGAUGAAGGUGGCGCGGCUGGAGGCCGAUCUCAAGGCGAGCGGCGAAGAGCUUGCCGUGCUCAAGCGUGAGCGCGAUAAGGACGCCCUCGCCCAUGGUGAGCUGCAGGGUCAACUCGUCGAGAAGGGGAAGGAGCUGAGCGCCGCCAAGGACUCUAACGCUGAUCUGGAGUUGAAGCUGGCCACCCUGACCGAGACGCUGGACAGCGCCAAGGAGCGGGAGGUGGCCCUGAAGGAGGAGAUCAAGGGCAACGAAGCGCUGCUGACGAGGGCCGCCGAAACCCAUAACACCUUUAGGGAGACGGUGGAGCUCUGGACAAAGGGCCUCGUGAACAUCGCUGCCGUCAUCGACGAGGAGCUGGUGCAGCUGGGGGUGGAGGAUCUCGGGUACUCCUCCGACGAGAACCUCCAGCCCAGCGCCAAGCUCACUUUAUUCUUCAAGGGCGUGGCGACGGCCCUCCAGCAACUCCGGGAAAAGAUCCCAAAGCAGCUGGCCGACGAGUCGCGCACGAUAUGCGCCGAGUUCUGGAGAAGGUGUUGGUGAAGGUGGCCUUCCGCAACCCAGGCCUCAACCUCACCAACGUCCUCUGGAAGCUGCCGGCAGAUACUGAUCUGGAAGCGCUCAAGGCCCUUGUCGCACCCAUUGUGGACAAGGUGAAUGAGGUCAAGAGGGUUGAUGGUGGCCGCGUAGAUUAGACCGCCCGUUUCUUCCUUUCCUUGCCGCUGCUAGUCAUGUUACGAUAACAACCCGUUAGAGCUGCGGCAAGCUAUCUUGUAAUAUAACUUUAUCUUGGGUAUCGACUACUAUGUUAUUUCCUUUACUUGAUUUCUUCCCUUGUAUGUUUUUGCCCUACGCUUUUAGGGAACUUGCCGGAGCAGGCACCUUUGCCGCGAGCGCUAAGUGCGGGACGUCAGCAGCCUGCUGGCGGUGCCGCUACCGACAAGAAACCUUGUCGCAACUAGUCGCAGCACACUUAAAUUGUUGAGCGGACUCGAAACAAAGCAAGGGCGCAACUAGCUACGAGUUGGUUCCUCCGCGCACAGGUUUUCCAUACAAAGCAUGGUCAUUCAAGGAAGAUAACUUAAAAUUUUAAAACUGAUUGCUCAAACUUUGGCAACUUAGCUUUUAUGUCGUUUGCUUCCUGGUAAGGCUAGACUUUCUUGGACGCUGUCUGGUCCACACCACUAUCUUCUCCUUCCCCCCGGCAAACUUGUGCGCGAGGGAACCUUUCCCUUUCUUUGAGAAAAAGAAAGAAGAGAAAAUAAAGAUAUGGAGCCUUACGGCUCGUUAUUGCUUACCGGGGGUAGGUGCUGCACAAAGUGUCAGAAAAUACAUGCAAAAAAUAGAAAGCAUGAAAUUGACAAGAUGUGCGGAGCACAUGAGUUUUAUUUAUGCACGGAAUCAGCGCACGGCUUUGUACAAAGGAUUACAUGCAACAGCGGCAAGACUUGUACAAAAGGUGGUUGCCGGAACUGGUUCCGGCAACCGCGCCUUACGGGUAAAACUUACGAAGAUACUCAAUGUUCCAGGAGUUGCUCACCGGAAAGCCAUCUUCGGUCUCAAGGCGGACAGUGCCAGGCCUAGUGACUCGUUUCACCCGGUAAGGGCCUUCCCACUUCGGCGUCAACUUGUUAGAAUUCUUGGCGGACUGAACGCGCCGAAGAACAAGGUCGCCUUCCUCGAGACUUCUGGCAUUAACUUUGCGUCUAUGGUAGCGGCACAAAGCUUGCUGGUAUCGAGCAGCUGUACAGCAGCCUGAAGACGGUCAUCCUCAAGGAGCAGCGCGUCAUCUUGUCGCAGCUGCUCUUGCUCAAGCUCAUCAUAAGCGAGCACUCGAGGCGACCCGUAUACGAGUUCCGUGGGGAGAACUGCCUCUGCUUCAUAGACUAGAGCGAAAGGUGUCUGGCCAGUGGCUCGAUUUGGCGUCGUCCUGAUCGACCAAAGAACCACCGGCAGCUCCUCGAUCCAGUUCUUUCCGCACUUGUGCAGCCUGUCGAAAGUCCUGGUCUUGAGCCCACGCAGCACUUCAGCAUUUGCCCUCUCCGCUUGACCGUUGCUUCUCGGGUGAGCAACAGAAGCGAAGCAGACCUUGGCGCCAAGAUCUUGGACGUACUGCAUGAAGGUGCAGCUCGUGAAUUGUGUGCCGUUGUCGGUGAUGAUCCUGUUAGGGACCCCGAAACGGCAAACAAUCGACCUGAGGAACUUGACUGCUGACUGUGCCGUCACCUUCCUCACUGCUUCCACUUCCGACCACUUUGUGAACUUGUCGACGGCAACGUACAAGUACUCAAAGCCCCCGACAGCUCGGGGAAAGGGGCCGAGGAUGUCGAGCCCCCAGACCAAAAAUGGCCAGGACAAAGGGAUCGUCUGGAGAGCUUGAGCCGGCUGGUGUAUCUGCUUGGAAUGGAACUGGCACGCUUCACACUUGGUUACUUGUGCAGUUGCAUCCUGGAGGGCUGUCGGCCAAAAAAAACCUUGCUGGAACGCCUUGCCGGCAAGUGCUCUUGCGCCAAUGUGGUGACCACAUAUGCCUCCAUGUAUCUCCGCCAACAGCUCUUGCCCGUCUUCCCGGGGAAUACACUUCAAUUUCACACCGUUGAGUCUUCUUUUGUACAGUGUGUCAUCGACAAACUGGUACAUACUUGACUGCCGGGCUACUUUUUCCGCUUCUUCUUGCUCUUCGGGAAGCUCUCCUGUCUGAAGGAAACGGACAAUCUGCUGUGCCCAUGCUGGAGCCCGCGGCUCGACGACAAGGACUAAAGGCACAUAUGCUGCUGCGGGAACAUCAGCUUCUACGGCAAGAACUUGUGGCUCAGCCGGAGCUUGAUGUUCCCCGGCAAGUUUGCGGGAGCAAAACUUGUCGGGAGCGUCUGCUUCAACGGAAGAAACCAUAGGGCUUGCCGGAGCAGACUGCUCCUCAACACUCUUAGUGUUGAUUUUGGGGACCUUCUUGGCGGUGGCUUCGGGAAGCUCUGCCGGAAAGUAGUCACCAGAAAUCAACUUCCUCUUCUUGUUCUGUCCAGUUGACGGCGUCACAGUCGGUUGAGUCAGUUUGAGCACAAAGAUCCCUGGUUCCACAGGUAACUUUAGUGCAGCGCACUUUGACAGGCCGUCAGCAAUGUCGUUCUGAGCUCUCGGAACAUGUUCCAUCUGUAGGUCGUCAAAGUGCUCUUCUAACUUUCUCACUUCGUCAACAUAGGCUUCCAUCAACGGACUCUGGUAAUCUUAGUUCACUUGGCGGACGACAAGCUGCGAGUCACCCCUGAAAAUAAGCUUCUUGAUCCCAAGGUCUACCGUGAUCCUGAGGCCGGCAAGCAAACCUUCAUACUCUGCAGUAUUGCUUGUUGCUUGCUCCUUGGGAAAGUGCAUCUGGACUAUGUACUUGAGGUGCUCUCCGGUGGGUGCGACAAGUAGCACGCCCGCACCGGCGCCUUGCAGCGAAAAGGCACCAUCAAAGUACAUGAGCCACUCUUUGCUUGCUUCCUUGACGGGGAUGCUUGUCUCUGGAAUUUCUUCAUCAUGUGUUGGUGUCCACUCUGCUAUAAAUUCUGCCAAUGCCCAGCUCGGGAUAGUUGAGGUGCUCUCAAACUUGAGGCUAAAGCUUGACAGUUCCAGAGCCCACUCGACAAUCCUGCCUGUUGCUUCUGGAUUCUGCAGUAUCCUCUUCAGCGGAAAGCGAGUGACAACUGUGAUCUCAUGUGCUUGGGAGUAAUGGCGCAGCUUUCUCGAGGCCAUGAGAAGGCCGAAAAGCAAUUUCUGCACACCAGAGUACCUCGAUCUAGCCCCCUGCAGAAGGGAACUGACAAAGUAAACUGGGCGCUGCACCAUUUUCUUCUGCACCUCCUCAUGUGCCUGCGCAGAUCCACCCUUGUCGGGACCAGAGCUUGUCGGCGAAGCCCCCUGCUUGUCGCUGGAUGCAUCCGCCGUGGUUGCUGGCUCAUCAUCCGCCUCCCUCUCCGCUACUAACGUAGCACUAACCACUUGAUUGGUUGCCGCUAUAUACAGCAGCAACUUCUCUUGUGGCUUAGGUGCGACAAGUAUUGGAGUGGAGGACAGGUAUCUCUUCAAGUCCUGCAGCGCAGCCUCCGCUUCCGGAGUCCAUUUCAUUGGACCUACCUUUUUCAAUAUUUUGAAAAAUGGCAGGGUGCGCUCAGCAGACUUAGAGAUAAACCUGCUGAGAGCAGCCACUUAACCGGCAAGCCUUCGUACAUCCUUGACGCGCUUUGGUGCUUCAAUCUGCUCAAUGGCUUUGAUCUUGUCGGGAUUGGCUUCUAUUCCCGCUGAGACACGAAGAACCCGAGAAGUUUGCCGGAGGGGACUCCAAACACACACUUCUCGGGGUUAAGUUUGAGGUUGAUCUUGCACAGAUUUGUGAAGGUUUCAUCUAAAUCUUGAAUCAGGGUUGCCUUGUCCUUGCUCUUGACCACUAUGUCAUCCAUGUUGGCUUCUACAUUCCUAUGUAUCUGUGGCUCAAAAGCGUCAUGGACAACCCUUGCAAAUGUCGAACCAGCAUUCUUUAAUCCGAAAGGCAUCCGUACAAAACAGUAUGUGCCACAUGGAGUGAUGAAUGCGGUCUUCUCCUCAUCCUCUUCUGCCAUGAAGAUUUGAUGAUAUCCUGAGUAUGCAUCAAGAAAUGAAAGCAAGUCACAUCCAGCCGUGGAGUCAACAAUCUGGUCAAUGCGCGGCAAGGGAAAUGGGUCUUUGGGACAAGCUUUAUUAACAUCAGUAAAGUCAAUACAAAGCCUCCAUUUCCCAUUUGCCUUGCGCACGACUACAGGAUUGGCCAACCACGUAGGAUGGAGCACUCCUCUGACAAGGCCUGCUGCUUCCAAUUUCUUGAUCUCUUCUGCAAUGAAUUCUUGGCGCUCCACUGCUUGUUUCCUGACUUUCUGCUUGACGGGCCACGCGUGAGGACAGACGGCAAGAUGGUGCUCAAUUACUUUCCUGGGAACAUCGGGGAUGUCAGACGGUUGCCACGCAAACACGUCGACAUUCGCCUGCAUGAAAGCAACGAGUGCGCUUUCCUAUUUAGGGUCGAGCGUGGCACUGAUGGUGAAGGUACCACCAGUGCCGUCCUCCUUGGCGAACACCUUCUUGGUCUCUGGUGAAGCUGUCUUCGUCUUCUUACACUUGCCGGUGGAGCUCGAUGGUGCGUCCUCGACGGUAGCGCAGCACUCCGAAGAGGUACACUUGCCGGAGUGGGCAUCAGAGCUCUUGUCGGACUUGGUCUUCUUCUUCCCCCCGGGAGCUUCAGCGGCAAGUGUCUUGCGAUCUGCUGCGGCUGCUGCUUCCCGGUAAAUCUUGUCGGUGCAGAUAAGGGCAUCCUUCUUGUCGCCAGGGACAGAGAUGACGCUUAUCGGACCCGGCAUCUUCAGUACGUUGUAUGCAUAGUGAGAGGCUUCCAUGAACUUGGCGAGUGCUGGACGGCCGAGUAUCCCAUUGUAAGGCAACGGGAAAUCAGCAACGUCAAAAGUGACCCUCUCAGUCCUGAAGUUCAGCUCGCUACCAAAUGUUACCGGCAACGUGAUCUUCCCUUUCGGCUUGCUCCUUCCCGGGUUGAUUCCUUGGAAUGUGCCGGUCUCUUCGAGCUCGCCGUCAGGGAUCUGGAGUUUCUGGAGUACCGCGGAGGAGAUCAGGUUCAAGACGGCCCCGCCAUCAACUAGCAUCUUAGUGACCUUGAGGUUGCGGAUGGUUGGUGAGACCAACAUCGGUAAGCACCCGACCGCAGUUAUGCGAUCAGGGUGGUCCUCAAUAUCAAAGACGAUAGGCGUGCUGGACCACUUCAGAGGCUUGCGUGACUCGACGGGUGGUUCUGCCGCAUUGACUUCCCGCACCCACUGUUUGAGCUGGCGGUGUGAAGUAUGCAGAGAAGCACCGCCGUCAACGCAUAAGACCUCUGUGGCUUUCUGGAACUCCUGCUCGUCGGCCUCAUCAUCAUCCAUAUCAUCAUCUUCAUCUUCAUCUUCAUCCUUGUCGCGGCCGCGAGGAGGCCUGUCUCCUUGCCGCUGCUUGGCCUUGCCGCGGCGCCCUCCCCGGCCGGGACGCUUCUUGCCGGAUCCUCCAGUACCUUCUUGGGCCUUCUCCUUGUCGCAUCGCUCGUACUCAGCUUUCUGCUGUUCAACAAGCUGCUCAACCUUCUUGCAGCUCUGGAGAUCAUGGCCCUUGGUGCGGUGGAUCUUGCAAUACUGCAUGCCGGAGCCGUCCUGCUUGUCGGCGGCCGCCACAGCUUCAGCUUCCUUGGCGCCACCUCCGUUGCCGGACUGCUCAACGACUAGCACAUCUUUGCCUUUCUUCUUCCUAUUGUUCCGCCGCCGGUUUUUCCUUGCCGGGGCGGCAUCUUCACUGUCAGAUCCUCCUGCUCCUGCAUUCUCUCCGGGGAGUUUCCUUCCUUCUUCAGCACGCGCACACCUGUCGGCCAGGGCAUAUAGCUCACUGACGUCCCUGAUCUUGCACAUCGACAUCUCCUCCCGCAUCCUGCGGUUUUGCACGUUCUGAUGGAACGCGCUGAUGACCGCGGCAGGGUGGACAUCUGGGAUGUUGCGCUGUACUUGGCUGAAUCUCUGAAUUUACUUGCGCAGGGGCUCUCCUUCCUUCUGGGCGAGCAGAUGAAGAUUGCUCUCUUGGACAUGAGGCUUGUGGCCGCCUGUAAAGGCGCCGACAAACUGAUAGCACAGAUCUGCCCAGGAGGAUAUGGAGUUGUCCGGCAAGUGCAUGAGCCAGGACCUGACAUUGGGCUUGAGCACCAGUGGGAAGUAGUUGGCGAGGAUCUUGUCGUCGCACCCCCCGGCAGCCUGCACCGCGAUGGUGUAGAUGCUGAGGAACUCCGACGGAUGCAACUUGCCGUCGUACUUCUCUGGUACAUCUGGCUUGAAGUUCUUCGUACUGGGCCACUGGACUUGCCGCAGCUCACGAGUAAACGCAGGGCAACCUACCGUGUAUGGUAAGUCACCUGGUUCCCCUGGCGCAUGCAUGUCGACAGCGGGUCUAGCGCGCUGGUCUGAUUGACGCCGCGCUUCUCUUCGACGCUCGAUGCGAGUACGAGCGUCCUCUUGCUGUCGUUCGUGGAGAACUUGGCGCUGAUCGCGACUAGCUCGAGGAUCAGAUGACACAGUGGAGUCGUCGUCAAGGUUGACCCGGCGAGUCGGCGAUCUUGGCCUUCGGGGCGGAGAGUGCACGGUGGUUGCACCCCCACCGGUCUUGUCGCCAUUGGCUCGCGCCUGGCAAUCUUGCCGCGGCUGCGAUGCAUUCGGCUGCCGUGGAGUGUCGCCGUUGGCGAAGCCAAUGAGGCUCUGAAUAGUGGCCCUCCAAUCGUCGAUCCUGUUUGCCGUUGGAGGGUAAUCCAGGAGUAGUUGAGCUCGGGCCAACGCUUCUUCUGGAGUCUUCGGUGGCCGGGGCGAACGGUGCAAGGAGCGAGAUAUGCUCGGACUCCCAACUGGGUUGGAAGGAGCAGUACCCCGUCCUGACGACCGUAUCUCGCUCACGCCAGCAUGUUGGCGUGCAUGCUGGUCUUGAGCGCCCCGAGAUCCACCAGCUUGGCCUUGUUCCAAUGCGCGUAUGGUACUGCGAGCACCAUGACGCUGUCGGUCCCGCGCCUCCUGAGAUGGGCGCGGUGCGUGUACGGAUGCCGAGGUUUGUGGGGCCUUGUCCUUGGACCUGGCAGCACCGAGAGCUCCCUCGUCGACGCCCGUUGCUCCGCCGGCGUCCACCCCACCACCUGUCUGCUCCAGUGGUGGUGGGAUUGACGUGGACAGAGCAGCCACCUCCGAAGCCUUCUUCUUCGGUGGCAUGUCGAUGAAGAUGACGAAGAUCUGGCUUGCGUGAACGCUGGAUCAGGUUCACACAACCUCGACGCCCCCUACCUGGCGCACCAAAGAUGUCGUGGGAAUGAACACCUAUGGGGCAAAGGGCCCCUUUUCGGUCCGGCGGGGGGCGGAGAUCGCACGAAGAGCAGAUCGAGGCGAGGAACACGAGCGGUUUACCCAGCUUCGGAGCUCUCCGGAGAGAUAAAACUCCUACUGCUGCUUGUCGAGCUGUAUUGUGUUCUUGCUCGGGAGCGCUGAGAGCUACAGUACGCUCGAAACCGAGCGUGAGUGUUUUCUGGUUUCGAACCCCCCCUACGUUGCGCACGGGCCUCCUUUUAUAUGUUAAAGGGGUCACCGACAGGUGGCAACGCAUGCAAGGGUAAAAUGUAAAAGAACUGCAGUAGGUACACCUACUCGUACAGUGCAUCCUACCUAACCCUGACGACAGGGGACAAAAGCAUUGAAUGCCCAUCUGCGUCGCCCAAACAGUGCAGAAAAGUGACCGUUAGGGGCGCCACCGCUCGCCACGAUGGCCAUCUUGUCAUCUCCGCUUUCCACCUCGCACCGCUGGUUGCACAGCCUCUCGCCACGCACGCCUGGAAGGAUCACAGGGCGACACGUUGGUGGAUGCGCUGGAUCGCGGGUACAGAGUGGUAGCCUGCCGCGGCAAGCGUCUUGCCGCGGUCAUUGUCUUGUCGCGUCCGGAAGCUUGUUGCUUGUCGGGCCUUGCCAGGAUGCGAGGCGCCUCGCGGCAAGUUCCUUGAAAUGUCUUGGUUGGCCUUCCCGGCAAGCUCCUCUUGCCGGGGUCUUGGCCUUCCCGGCAAGCUCCUCUUGCCGGGGCCUUGUCUUAAACACUUUGUUCUUGAAUGGUUCGAAAGGAACCACGGAGGACCUUGGCGGUCGCCCGGCAAGCCUUGCCGCGGGGCGCUGCGACUGCCCGUGCACAAGUUUGGGAUACUAAGGCACCCCUACUCUAGUACACCGACAAAGAAUCACUACUGCAAUGCCAUAAGCCAAAUCAGUGAGACCGAGUUUUUCAACUCGGUGGGUCCGAGAUGGUUUCGGCGGAAACCUAACCCUAAAAAUUUGAAUCUAAUCUAAUCUACAGACUACUUUGGCUGGAUAGAAGUGUUUCAAUCGUGGCAAGAUUCAAUGAGAACACAAUGUGCUAGGAAUCAAACGAGGAUAGCACAAAGAUCGAGUCCAUACCCUAGCUUGGCGGUAGACUCGCUACGGCGGCAACGGCGGGGCGAAAUCCGUUGACGGUGGCAGAGACCAGCGAUAGGAGGCUGCGGGCAACAAGGAGACGAUCGGAGACCUUCGAUGGCAGAGUGAGCUAUUGCGCGGGCGAAGGGUUUCGGAGAAAUUUCCAAAAUUUUGCCCGUGACUAUAUAUAGCCCGACCCUGUCGGUGUGACCGAGUGGAACAACUUGGUAGUACCGAGAUGCAUAACUGUGUACAGUUACAGCAAAUCGGUGUGACCGAAAAGUUCAAAUCAGUUGCACCGAGAUUGAAAACUCAGAUCAACUUAAUGACCUCGGUAGGACCGAAAUGGAGGAAUCGGUCAGACCGAGAGUAACAAAGAGGUUUUGGAAGUUUAAGUCUAUGACGAAUCGGGGACUCCGAGUGCUCCUCACACAGAGUGGUUCGAAUCUGACUAUAUCAAAUUUUGUGAUGUAGCAUGAAUAGAAUUUGAGAUGAGGAAAGCAUAGAUAGAUAAAGAAGGUUCUUAGGCAUUCUUGUCCAUCCACUUGGCAAAAAGAAAAGAACCCAAACAAUCAAAACAACAAGUGGAUGUCCUUGAAUGAGUAAAAUAUGCACCAAGAUGCUCACACAAUAAGAUAGCAAAUGAAAUAUGUGGCAAAGCAUGCACAACCAAUUCGAGCAUCUAUCAAACAAUUGGCGAUGACUAGGUCAUCUAUAUAUGAGUAUAUUGACUUAGGAGUCAAAUGAAAGACACUUGAUCAUAGGUCAUACUCAUCGUUUAAGCUCAAGUGGGGUUACCACUUUUACAUAAUGCAUUGAUUUGUUCACACCAUUAGAGUUGCUUUGACUCAAUUCUUAGAGUUAAUCUCCCCCUAGAUGUGGGAUCCCCUCUUAGAGGGAUGAACUAACCUUGGGUUUUGUCGAUGAUGACUUCAUGUAGGUGUUGAAGAUGUGGAUGCUCUAUGUUGAUGUAGAUCAUUUGGAGCAAUCCUUUGGAGUGAGUUGCACUUUCAACUUACCUACAUGGGUUAGUCCCACAAGGAACAAACAAGAAUAUCCAUAGACAUAGAGUGAUGCACACAUAAGAUGAUGUCCUUGAAAUCAUUAGGUUACCUUGUCCCUUGCCUUACCAACAUGAGGGUUUGUGACUCCUUGAACUAGUGCAAGAUGUGGAAGUUGAUUGCACUUGUUCUUGCCAUAAUGAUAUGAGUGAGGAAUGUUGGCGGAGUCACCCUCAAGAACUCUCUAGUUCUUCUUCUUCGGGAUCCACAUCAUCUUGAUGGGAAUCCUUGGAGUUGUAGUUGUACUUGAUGAAGUAGAACUUGACGUAGUCUUGGGAACCCACUUGAACAAGGCUUUAGGUGCUUCUUCAAAUGCAUCAAUCUCUUCUUGAAGCUUGUCCUUGCCUUUGUUCUUUUGUUCUUGUGGUGGAAGAUCAUCUUGAGCUUGUGUUCCCUUGAAGGAAGUAGGAUCAUACUUCUCUUGUUGAGGAAAAAACUUCGUCUUGGGGUAUUGAUCUUCUUGCCACUCAACUCCAUUGGCAUUGAACUUUCGUUCAAAACCAACACCUUGAUUCUGCCGGUGUCUUCCUUGCUUGCGUACAAUUUCCUCGAAUUGCUUACUCCCGACAAGGCUCUUGUAAACACCUUUCUCUAUAAUUCCCUUCAAUAAGCUAUUUUCAUGCUCAAGUUUAACUUGGCUAAGAGAAUCAUUAGUGGAAUCAAGAGAACUACUAGAAGCAACAAUAUUGGAUUUGACAUUAUUAUUGUUACUACUAGAGGAAGUAUCUUUCUUGUACUUGUUACUACACUUGACUUGAGGCAUGUAAGUAGAUAAGAGUAAACGCUUGGCAAUGUAAGAAGAACUUUUCUUACGGAGAUCAUCAUUGAUUGCCUUUAAGAACUCAUGCUCUUGCUCAAGAUUGAGCUUUUCAGAGCGUAACUUCUCAUGAGCCCUUAAAAGUUCUCGAUGAUCUUCGAAGAUAGUUUCAUAAGCCAACUUAAGAGUGUUUACUUCUUUAGUUAGAAGCUCAAUCUUCUCCUUAUCAUUGUCAUUCGUUUUAUCUUGAUUAGCAUGAUUAAUUGAAGUUUCAUCAUAGUAUUCAUCACUAGAGUUGUCAACAAGUAAAUCAUCAUCCACAAGCAAGUCAUCUUCAUCACUAUUGAAAUCAACAUACUCAGAAUGUGUUACCUUUGGACCUUUGGCCAUGAAGCAUCUUCCAAUUCCUUCAUUUGGUGAAUCAAAUAUGUCGUAGGAUUUGGUUGACACAAGUGAUAGACCGGCAACACCUUCAUCUUGAGUAUAUUCGGAGUCGGAGUGAUAGCUUCUCUCAGAGUGAUUGUCGGAGUCAGAUCCGGAUACCCAUUCACCAAUGUGAGCUUGAUGUCUUUGUUUUGUGUAGCUUCUUGAUGACUUGUCCUUCCUUUCCGAAUCCUUGCUUCUCCGUGAGGGUCUUCGUUCAUAACGAUCAUCUCUACUCCUCCUCACUCUUGGUGGUGAUUCUUCUCUUUUGCUUCUUCUUCUUGGAGAAUCUUCUCUUCUUUUGUAGGGUGCCGUACACUCAUUGGAAUAGUGUCCGGGUCUCCCACAAUUGUAGCAAUUGCGCUCUCGACUAGAAGAUCUUUUUUCAUGGUAAGACCUUGACUUGGAGCUUCUUUCUUUGCUUCUACUCUUGUAGAAUUUGUUGAAGUUCUUCACCAUUAAGCUCAAUUCUUCAUUGAAGGUUUGUUUCUCACUUGAUGAUGUGGGGGCUUCACUUGAGGCUUUGUAAGCACCACUUGACUUGUUGUGAAGUUCCUCCUUAUCCUUGAGUGACAUCUCAUGAGCAACAAUUCUUCCAAUGACUUCUAUUGGCUUGAGAUCUUUGUAGUUUGGCAUCAUUUGGAUCAAUGUGCACACGGUAUCAUACUUUCCAUCCAAUGCUCUUAGGAUCUUCUUGAUGAUGAAUUUGUCGGUCAUCUCUUCACUCCCUAAGCCGGCAAUCUCAUUUGUGAUAAGAGCAAGCCUAGAGUACAUUUCAGCGACACCUUCACCAUCCUUCAUUUUGAACUUGUCAAGCUGACUUUGGAGCACAUCCAACUUGGAUUCCUUGACGGAUUCGGUACCUUCAUGCAUAUCAAUCAAAGUAUCCCAAUUUUCCUUUGCAUUCUCAAGACGGCUGAUUUUGUUGAAUUCUUCGGGGCACAAUCCGUUGAAGAUGAUAUCACAAGCUUGAGCGUUGUAUUGCAGCAUCUUCAAUUCUUCCGCAUUAGCUUCACGGUUCGGUUCUCUCCCAUCAAAGAAUUCACCUUGCAAGCCAAUACAAAUAAUUGCCCAAACGGCGGGGUUAUGUCCAAGAAUAUACAUUUUCAUCUUAUGCUUCCAACUAGCAAAAUUAGUACCAUCAAAGUAAGGACCUCUACAGUGAUAAUUUCCCUCACUAGACGCCAUACUCUCCUAGGUUGUGAAACCAAGGCUAUGACCACCAAAAGCUAUGGAAAUCAAAGCAAAUGGAGACCAAAGCUCGGAUACCACUUAUAGGACCUUGAAGUAUGUCUAGAGGGGGGGUGUUUAGACUACUUGACCAAUUAAAAACUUAGCCUUUUCCCAAUUUUAGAGUUUGGCAGAUUUUAGCUACUUUAGGACAAGUCAAGCAAUCAUCACACUAUUCAAGCAAGCAUGCAAAGAUUAUAUAGGCAGCAGAAAUUAAAGCAUGCAACUUGCAAGAAAGUAAAGGGAAGGGUUUGGAGGAUUCAAAUGCAAUUGGAUACACGGAUGUUUUUGGCGUGGUUCCGAUAGGUGGUGCUAUCGUACAUCCACGUUGAUGGAGACUUCAACCCACGAACGGUAACGGUUGUGCGAGUCCACGGAGGGCUCCACCCACGAAGGGUCCACGAAGAAGCAACCUUGUCUAUCCCACCAUGGUCGUCGCCCACGAAGGACUUGCCUCACUAGCGGUAGAUCUUCAUGAAGGCGAUCUCCUUGCCCUUACAAACUCCUUGGUUCAACUCCACAAUCUUGUCGGAGGCUCCCAAGUGACACCUAGCCAAUCUAAGAGACACCACUCUCCAAGAAGUAACAAAUGGUGCGUUGAUGAUGAACUCCUUGCUCUUGUGCUUCAAAUUAUAGUCUCCCCAACCCUGAACUCUCUCUCAUGGGUUUUGGAUCUGGUGGAAAGAAGAUUUGAGUGGAAAGCAACUUGGUGAAGGCUAGAGAUCAAGAUUCAUAUGGUUGGAAUGGAAUAUCUUGGCCUCAACACAUGAGUAGGUGGUUCUCUCUCAGAAAUGGUAAGUUGGAAGUGUACAUUUGUUCUGAUGGCUCUCUCCACGGAUGAAGAGGAGGUGGAGGGGUAUAUAUAGCCUCCACACAAAAUCUAACUGUUACACACAAUUUACCAAACUCGGUGGGACCGAUUCAACAGACUCGGUCGGACCGAUUUAGUAAACCUAGUGACCGUUAGUGAUUUUCGGUGGGACUGACAUGCAUCUCGGUGAGACCGAUUCGGUUAGGGUUAGGGCAUAACAUAAUCUUGGUAAGACCGAUUACACAAACUCGGUGAGACCGAUUUGGUAAUAAGCUUUCCAGAGAGUUGGUCAGGUAAACUCGGUGGGACCGAUUUGGUCUUUUCGGUGAGACCGAAAUGUUACAAAAGGGAAACAGAGAGUUUAAAUUGCAAUCUCGGUGGGACCAAUCGCUCACUUCGGUUAGACCAAAAUGUUACAAAGGGAAACAGAGAGAUUGCAACCCCAUCUUGGUGAGACCGAGAUCCCUAUCGGUAAGACCGAGUUGCUUAGGGUUUGUGGCAGUGGCUAUGACUUUUGGAAUCGGUGGUGCCGGAUAGGAAGAAUCGUUGUGACCAAUUUUGGCUUUGGGUUUAGGUCAUUUGUGGAUGUGACUAGGUAGCUGAGGGUUUUGGAGCAUAUCACUAAGCACAUGAAGCAAGAGGCUCGUUAAGCAACACCUCAUCCCUCCUUGAUAGUAUUGGCUUUUCCUAUAGACUCAAUGUGAUCUUGGAUCACUAGAAUAUAAAAUGAAGAGUCUUGAGCUUUUGAGCUUGAGCCAAUCCUUUGUCCUUAGUAUUUUGAGGGAUCCACUUUCAUCAUCCAUGCCAUGCCAUUCAUUGAGCUUUCCUGAAAUAAUAGUCUUGGAAUAGCAUUAGCUCAAUGAGCUAUAUGUUGUUAUGAAUUACCAAAACCAGCUAGGGAUAGUUGCACUUUCAGCACUCCUACUUCAUCAUGCUCGAGCAUGCAGAUGAACCUGUCUCCUAAUCGUGGGCUGCACUUCUGAUUGCUGUCCCCUAGUACUUCUCUGUGAUUGUUCCCAAUUUUGCUCCAGUCUUUCACUAUUAAGCAUUCCUCGCUAUUAGAAAUCAUGAAUGCACUAAAGUGCAUUGUAGGAUGUCUUGGCCGUAAGCUAACCAUUCUCAUGCGACCUUUAUUCUCGAUCCAAUGAGGCACAACAUUCAUCGGGAGUCCCUGUUGAAGAACAUCAUAUAGUAAUAUACUUAGCAAUGAAGUUAUAAUGUAAGCAAAAGAUGCACUGAGGACAAAUAGUAAAAAUCUUACCAUCUUUCCUAAGUAGAUGUGACCGUAGUUCAGUAUGAACACUAUUGGCCGCACGUUUUGAGUACUAAGAUUUUAAAGUCCAGACAAAUAAUUUGUCUUGACAGUAUGAAGAUCCUCAAGCCAUGAAUCAUAAUGACUUAUCUCCUCGCAGUUUCGUUCAGCCCCGGGACAGUAGUAGGUCCUAUCUACUAAGCGCUAGACAUGUUUGCUUGAAUGGAAAUAAGCUAUCAAUAGAAAUUAGUUGUCAACUAUUUUUGAAUAAACAAUAUCAAAGACAUAAAUAUGGUUGAGAAACUCACAUAAUGGUAUAACUGGAGGCAUCUGCACAUCGACCCAGAUGUCGAUAUUACCUUCAAUAUCAUCUUCUAGACGAAUAUCAAACGUGAUAACCAUAUCAGGCUCAAAUGCAUAAGUCUUGCAUAGUGCUUGCCAAGUUUUGCAUUCAAAAUAAGUGUAGGUGUCUGCGUUGUAUAAUUUUGUGUGGAAAGUAUAACCAUGCUCGGUCUUCUAGUAAACUCUCUUUACCUCCAUAGUAGUUUUCAUAGGGCUGAAACCUAUCUUAUCCAAGACAAAAACUCUUGCAUGGAAGGGGAUACGCUAGUAGAAUAGUAAAAAAAUUAAAUUAUAAGUUGAAGUAAAUGAACCAAAUGUCAUCCUUAAUUAUGAAAAAAGACUUGUCGUUGUGACUUAUUGUAUCCACUUCAAAGUUCUCAUCCAGCUUGAUGCUGAAGCGCCUAUCAUCAUCUAGGAAGAUACUGUCACACAGGUCGCGCUCGUCUUUGCAGUAUUUGCAAAUACCGAAAUCCUUUUUGUCGUCAAACAUUUCCUAUGUUCAUAGUUGAAACAUUAAUUGAAAAUCGAUCGAAGACAACUACCAGGAUACUCAACACACAAAUCCAGGGCACUCGAUAUUUCCUACAUAUUCUGGCACAAGUCAUGCCAAAAUUCACGGAAAAAUCCGCAUGACCUUUGCUAAAAUAGGACAUAUCGAGCGCCUGAAAUUUGCCAGAACGGAAAUGAAUCAACACUCCGGCAAAACAUAGGCCACUCGGAGGUGUAACCUUCAAACAUAACCGGCCACUUGGGCAAGCACAUAUCCUAUUUGAGCAACACAAGAUAUACAUUUCAGAAUAUCUUAUAGGACACAUAUUGACAUGAGCAUUCAAUAAGCAAAACCAAAUCAUAAAAUAAAUAAGUAUUCAAAUUAGCAUGCAAAUAAGAAAAAGUAAAUCAUCUCUUGCGUCCGUACAUCGUCGAAUAUUAUCACUAAUACAUCCCAAAUAGUAUCAUACAUAUAACAUCACCAAUACAACUAAAACCCUAGCAAACGACCGGUAUCGGCGCAGGCGGUGGACACCCAAAGAUAAGGAACCAUCACAGGAUCAUAGCUCCAGUGAGAUCCCUGGAGAACCUGCCAGGUAUUGGAGAACAUGUGCUCCAGCGCAACCAAGUAGCGACGGACGUGCGCGUCCUCCUCGCUGACAUGGUGACGUACCACCUCCGCGGGGUCGUCAAGCCUCUCGACCGUCACUGGCCCAUGCGACCGCCACCAAAGAAGGUUCGGGUCAAUGACAGGCUGACUCCUCACCAAGCUGUGCCCCCCGGUAGGUAGCGCCUCCCAGUACCAGCCUGGUGGAGCCCAGUCUCGGACAUGGCCCAUCUGGUCAAGCAAGUGUCCUCCACCGAGUUGACGACAAGGAUGCGGGAUAGGAAUCGUCGACGUCGAUGCGGGAAAAAUUGCUUUAACUAAAAAAUAACAACAAAUGUGACAUGUUCAACUAGUUUUAUUAAUUCAACUAGUUCUUACUAAAAGUAAACUUACUAUAAAUAAAAAUAAACUAGUACCUAAUUAGUACCUAUUUCUUACUAACUAAUUAGUACCUAGGAACUACUGCCCUAAUUACCAUCUAAUUUGAUGAAUCUAGGGGUGGAAAGUGGUAGCGGAUAAUCAGAAAUUUGAUGCAAUAGAUGAACCCUAACUAAUUUGAUGCAAUUAAAAUUUGAAGAACCCUAGGCAGAGGUAGGGGAGGGGGAGGAGCAGGCGUGCUCAGCUCGGGUGGCUGCAGCGAGGGAGGGGCAGGCAGCGUUAAGGUCGGGGUCGGGGCUCGGGCGCGCGGCGGAGGGCGGCAUCGAGGUCGGGGUCGCGGGCGGUGUCGAGGUCGGGGUCGGGGGCAGCGUCGAAUCCGGGGUCGGGGCGGCGUCGAGAGUGUGCGGAGAGCAAUAGGAGAGCACGCGACGGCCGACGGGCGACGGCGACGGUGACAAUGGAGGAGUUGGGAUUUGGGGGAAGUGGCCAUGGGGAAGAACGAACGUGCGGUUAAGUCAAAAGUAGUAGUAGCACUUUCCGGGAAGUGCGCUACUGCUAAGUUAGCUAUAGCGCGUUCCUGGAUACGCGCUACUGCUACUCCUUUCUCUUUUUUCCCCCUUUCAUUUAUUUUUCUUUACAUUUUUUUCCUUUCUCCUUUUCUAUUUCUUUCAUUUUCAUUUACUUUUCUUUCUGAUUUCCAUUUAAUUUUAGUUCCUUUAUCAGUAGCGCCUUUCUGCACAAAUGCGCUGCUACAAAGCAUGUAGUGGUAGCACUAUUCGCCGUAGAUCGCUACUACUAUGUGUAGCCUAUCGGUUAAGCAGUGGGAAUUUUAGUAGUAGCACAUUUAUCUUCAGGCGCGCUACUGCUACAAUUGUAUCUGUAGCGCGGUUUACGCCAACGCGCUACUGCUACUUAGCACUAGCGUGGUUUUUUCACACGCACUACUGCUAAAGUUCUAUGUAUAAGGUUUUCCAUAGUAGUGUAUUGUAUGUUCAUAAGCGAAACGAACCUAUCUUUCAAUCUAUCUUCGGACCCCGAGAUGAAAUCGAGAGAGAACGAGUGGGGGCAUGUGUGAUACCUAAGGCGGUGAUCAUAGCAUCCGCAAAUCAUAUAUAAAGGGUAUUCAAUGUUUGUUUCGUUUUUAAACGUACAAUAUACUCCCUUCGAUCCUUUCUAGUUUACAUAUAAGUUUUAUGUGUAGUCAAAUUAUCUCUACUUUGAUCAAACUUACAGAAGAAAGUAUCAACAUUCAACAACGCCCAAUCAAUAUUGUUAGAUUCGUACAUACUCCUAGAUUUGUACUCGAGAUGGUUUCCAAUUUGUUUUCUACCAUGUGAAUGUGCUUGUUCUCGCGCAUGCUCUUCCUAUUAGGAUUUCGCCACGUAUAGCCAGUCCAAUAGUAACUUUUUUAAGCUCCAUGUCCAAUAGUACUAGUGGAGUACUGACAACAUCUAUACUAGAGUAUGCAAUGCUCAUAGUAGUACUCCCUCCAUCCAUUUAUAUAGGGCCUAUGUGGAGGAGAGAGAUGUAAAAAAGUAAGGGGAGUCAGCUCUCAUGCAAGAGCCUAGCUAUAUACGCAUUCCUAGUUAAAAUACAAUAAAUAUGAAGAAAGAGAUAGAGAGGAGAUGGGAAAAGGUACAAAUACAAUAGCCAACAUUAUAAUUUUUUGCGGGAAAUAGCCAAACUUAUAGCCCACACUACUAUAUGAGUGCAUAUAAUAGAUGAUGGCUAUAGUGACAUGGCAGUUCCUUAUAGCCAUCGACUGGCUAUAUUAUUAACCAUGCUCUAAUGCAUUUUUCAAAACCGCAUUUGACUAUUGACAAGAUUAAUAGUACAUGAGAUGUAUCAUGUGAAAAUUAUAUCAUUGGAAGCUCCUUUCACAUACGAAUUUGACCGUAUGCUUUGUGUAAGUUGCAUGUAAUAUAUUAUUACUCUAACAUUUGGUAAAAGUUAGCCUUGAAAAAUGCAUUAGGCCCUAUAUAGUAAAUGGAAGGAGGGAGUAGUAGUGGAAGUGGAUCCUCUGACAUAGGUAUCCCUGCCUUACCCUCCCUUUCGGUCACUUACUGGUGGACCCCAUGCUUACUAGGCCCUCAUGUCAGUUACUCAAUGGGUUCGGCCAUGUCAAGGAAUCCUGAUCCGUAGUAUACUCCCUCUAUUUUUAUUUACUCCGCAUAGAACGGAGGAAGUGGUAGUAUAAAUGACACAGGCAGGGAAGGGGGAGGGACGUCGAUUUGCUCUCAACUGCGGUCCCACAAGCGACCGAAAACGCAAGACGAAGCGCGUUCCAUUCGGUGAGCGACGUGGAGGGUCCGGCAUGCCGGGGUGCAAUGCGAACGCGACAAGAGCGAUGUACAGUCAAAACCGAUUAACCGGUCGUCACCAAAACCACUAUUCACACCAAAACCUUUGCUGCUCGGCCUACGCCAACCACUGCCCCAAAACCACACCUAAUCUCCAGCCCAUUCCCCCACCUUUCGAUCUCCUAGCCCGCAUCAAGCGUCCCCUUGUUCGCCAGAAAGCCAUGGUGUGCUGCAAGAUCACGUACUACAAGAUGCUGACACCGGAGUGCCGCGCAUAAAUCGCAGCGGUGGUCGGUGCCACAGACCUCUGUUCCCAAGCUCGGUUUGCGGCAGGCCAAUCCUCGAGUUGUCUGGAGCCAAGCUAUGAGGAGGAGGAAGCCGAUCCAAUGUUCAUGGCGAAGGUCGCGGCGCAGAAGGCCCACGAUGGGUAUGAGACGAUGGACGUCGACUUCGUGCUGUCGUCCGAGUCCCCAUUGUGCAGGCAGACCAGCGGUUCAACCUGGCGAUACUAAAGGAGGACCGGGAGGCAGAGGCUCAACUCGAAGCGGAGCGUGCGCAUGCUGCUGCCAUCAAGGCUCUCCUGCAGGCGGAACCGGGUGUCGUGGAUGUGAACCAAGCACGCGAAUGCCAAUACCAUCGAGGUCCUCCUGCAGGCGGAUCCGGGCGUCCUAGACUUGAACCAGGCAGCAGAGGCUCAACUCGACGCGGAGCGUGCGGAUGCCGAGGCCCUCCUGCAGGAGGAACCGGACGUCCUGGACUUGAACCGAGCGGCAGAGGCUUGACUCGACGCGGAGCGCGCAGAUGCCGCUGCCAUCAAGGCCCUCCUGCAGGCGGAACCGAACGUCCUCGACUUGAACCGGGCGGUGCUCUUGUCCGUGCACAGCGCCCGCAUGCUCCGCAUGAACAAGUAGCUGGAGGCCGAGGACAACCACAGUGCGGAGACACACGUCGACAGCUACGGCUAGUUCGCGCCGGCAGCCAAAGACGACGAGGUCAUCUUGUUCUGCGAGCAGUGAUAGUUUUUCUUUAUGUUGUUGAUUUUAUGGAUCUUUUGCUGUGUAAAAACAUAUAUUGUUAUGCAAGUCGCCUGACUUUCAUCAUUUGGGUCAGUCUACCAUUUCAAGCGGUUGGAUCAAUAUCCUAUGUCUCCUAACCCUUCUUCCUCACCUCUUCUUCUUCCCCAAUAGACCACCGCACGGGCCGCACGGAUCCUCCCCAACAUGUGGUUGGAUAAACAUACUCUAUGAACGAAAAUUAUGUGUUAGUGGUAGGAUGGCUGAGUUUGGUUUGUUCACAUGUGACAGCACGUGUCAGUGAGGGUGCAUUCCCUUGGUUGGGUUUGCAGUGUGCAAGAGCGAUUGUGUGAGGGUGCAGUGCGACCGCGGUGUGCAGGAGCGACCGUGUGAGGGUGUGGUGUGACCGUGCCAGCCGUGCGCAAGUGUACCUCCUUUUCAUUUUUAAAACUUUAGGCAAGCUUGGCAAAUAUUUGUGGCAAAGUAUGGCAAUGCAAGGCCUAGACCCAAACAGGAUAAGUACGUACGUACUAGGAGUACUAGUGUUAAAAAAGAAAGGCGGGGUUUUCCCUCGCGGGAUUAAUCAAUACAAAUCUUCGUUUGAGGUGUCAAUUAAUGCGUAUUUUUUUCUCCAAAGCCCAAAGAGCUAACCAUCUCACUCCUCAUCGCUUGAUUAAUGCAGCGCCAUGCAAACCAACCUUCUCACUUCCACAUACAUGCAAGGUAUAUUAAUGUCCUUAGUUGCUAGUACGAGGCAAACCCCAUCAAUUUUCCCUCGAUUAGUGUUAGUGGCCUUUUGCAAAUUGUAAUUUUGAUAUUACUAGCCUUGUGUACAAAAAAUGGAGGUAGUAACUAUAUUUGACUUCCUUCCCCAUUGCGGUGACGUCGACGAUAUCUCAAACAUUGUGGUUUGGCGUCGUCUGUCCAGCUUAGUGCGGUGAGGUGGUUGCUCGAAGAAGACGAUGGAGAAGCGGAAUCAACAAAGAGUGAAAUGAUGGUUGCUUCGUUCUUGCUUUGUGAUUUGAUGCCUCACUGCUUUGUGAUUUGUGAUAGAAGGGACAGGGAAGUAGACUCUGUGCUCUAUACUGUACAUGCGUCCAAGCACGGGAGAAAGAGGAGAGACAUUGCAUUUUUCUAUUCCUUCAAUCGAUCAAUCAGGGAGCUUCAGUUCCAUCUUUUUGGCUUUGGUAGAACCAUCCACAAUGGUUGCCAUGAUGCCAAAAGCUAUUUUCACAUUUGGCUACACACCGUGGAUGCCCUUAAGCAUACCACUUGGUUUUGCUCCUGUGUGCUAUCUAUACAAAUCUCAAUUAUAUUGAUCUAAAAAAUUAUAGAAUCAAGAUUAGUAAAAAAGGAGGUGAUUUUGCCGCGCGGAUGGUGGGGGAGGUUUCUUAUUUUUAGAGGAUGUUGUCCUGGCGGUUUGCUAACAUGCGGUCCCACGUGUCAGUGCUUUACCAAGACGAUCCGCGUCCCACAUGAGGCAGAACAACGACAGAAGCAACAUGUGGUUAACUUGAAGAAGAUGAGGGAGAAGCGGAUUCAGCAACGAGUGAAAUGAUGGUUGCUUCGUCCCUCCAACUUCUUUUUUUAGCAUUAUUACUUCGUCCCUCCAACUUAACUGCGGGAAAGGUGCAGCUUUGUGAUUUGACGCCUCAUUGCUCAUUACUAUGGCGGUGCCAUGACUGGGGUGCUUCACCCUGGCUGCUCUGCACUCUAUUUCGGUAUGGCACGUGGACCUGGUAGCUUGAUGUCCCACAUGUUGGCGAAAGGGACUAGAAGAUUUAUGAAAGCGAGCACUCCACUCUUACGAAGGAGGAGUACACGACACGGCGGCCAGUGAACUGUCACUUGUACUAUAUAGUACUAUAGUUUUGCUGUUUCGCACAGUCCAUCGAUACAAACCCGAUUAAACAGGAAAGGGCAGGAUUUUUCCCGCGCGGUAGAUGAUACUGGCCAUACAUUUCAAAGGCAAUUUUAAUGUAUGCAAACUGAAUAAUUAAGUAACAAUAUGAUAUCUAGUAAAACUAAAAACACAUAUGAUUUAUUGUGUUAGGGUGUAGUGGUAGUGCUGUAUUGCAUAAUUGUUAGAUGUAACAUGCGAGAAUGUGUAGAGAUAUAGUUUUGGAGGGCCUACAGAGAGAAAAGCGUAAUAUAGUCGCCGAACUUUAGAAUAAGCUGAUUACGGUCACUAUAUACAUUUUGUGGUGAUUAUACGGUCACUUGCUCACGGUUUAGUAUCGCAUUGCACUCUGUUGACCGGCCAAAUAGUCUAUGUGGCACCAUGUUGACUAGUUAAAUUGACCACAUUCCUUGUGGGUCCCACCCGUUAGUUUGCAUAGGGAAAAGGUCAGAUAAACACAAAUUUAUGUAGGCGUGACAAGACUCCAACCCGUGUGCGGGAAUCACCUGGGUGUGUAUGUGUCUGUCAAGGCCUGAUGUGUGCGCAUGCAGGUGUAAGUUGAGCACUUGAGCGUGAGAGUGUGUGUUGGUUGUGUGUGUACUGGUGUGUGUAUGCAUGUGUGCGUGUGUGUGUGUGUGAGUGUUGCGUGCGUGUGUGGUUGUGUGUGUAUGUGUGAGUGUUGCAUGCGUGUGUGGCUGCAUGUGUUUAUGUGAGUGUUGCGUGCAUGCAGUUCGUGUGCAUGCGUGCGUGUGUGUAUAAUCACCACACCAGCUCCUCUGUGUUAAAACAGACGGCUCAGCAUACCAAUACAAGGCCACCUUGUCCGUUGUGCCCGCGGUCAUGACUCCGAACUACCAUCCAAUAUUUUUUUGUCGUGUGUUUUCAUUCUUACUAGCAAGAUGCCCAUGUGUUGCAUGUAACAUCAAGAUGCAUUUGUAUGACUAGUUUAUCUUGUGAGAGAAAAGGAUGAAUGAGGGAAGGCCUUAUUUGCAAAUGUGGAGAGGUGUGUGGUUACCUUUUUGCAAAAUUGCCAUAGUUUCCUUCCUAUCUGUCAGAUAUAAAUCGGACGGCCUAUAUUGCAAGAUGGCAAGCACACCAUCAUCACCAACUCUGUUUUUAAUAAGAGUGUAUUUUAUAAGAGUGUAGAUGUAGAGUAGAUACAAACCGACAGGUGGGCCCAAUGGUAGUGAGAUAAUGUGAUCCAACACUAGAGGUGCCACAUGGAGCGUUUAACUGGUCAACUAGUUGUGUCUUGAACAAAUACAGAGCUGCACAGUUAACUUGUGACUGUAUAAUAACCACAAAACAUAAAUGGUGACCGUAAUGAGUGGAUUCUGAAGUCCAAUGUACGUAUCGUGCUUUUGCUUCAAAUACAAUGAUCGUCACUGUAUAUAUCACAAGAGAAAGAUGAAACAUGCGUGAAUGUGCUGGGGGCUUACUUUUAGAGGACCUCGAGAUAGUUUGUGUGCGUACGUGAAAGGGGCGUAGAGGGGGGGGGUAUGUGAUGGAGAGAGAUGCUCUUUGUUUCUAUUUAUUAUGACUAACUUUAUAUAUAGUAUAAAAAUAUACAAAUUCACAGUGCGGAAUAAAUAUCAUUGUGGGCACCAUGCAAUGCAAAUUAGCGUUCAUACUCCUCCAUAUAACUUUGUAAUGUUGUAUAUAUGUAGAAAUUCUAAAAUAAUUUUUUGGCCACACUUUAUUCAAAAGGAAUGUUGUAUGCGAAAUAAACGCGAAGAGAGGGAUUUUUAGAUCAAUGGGGUACGUGAUGUAACAUGUGUGAAUGUGUAGUUGAUGCAUUUGGCAGGGCCUAGAGAGGUAUGUGUGUGUAUUAUGUAUUCGAGAGAGGCAUGGGUAGAUGGGCCGGUGGGGGGGGGCGUGGGAGAGAUAGCACGAGAAAUGAGAGUGGUCUAGAGAGAGAGACGAAUAUGAAUUCACGGCGAGAGAUUCCCUUGAGUGUGUAUAUGCAAGGGGGAGGGGAUAGAGGCACCAGGAGAUUUUUUUUGUGUGAUGUCUUUGGUGGUAUGUGUGGGUGUGAGAAGACAACGAGACGUGGGGGCAGAGGAUGUGUCACCGCGUGAGGUCCGGUGGGUCGAGGUGAGGCCCUUCGUUCGGUUCCGUCCUGCGCCACAUUGGUCGACCCGUGACGCAUUUAGGGAGACCCAUGGAUGACUAGUCGUACAAGACAAAGAUAGCAGAAUUGUGAAGGACUCUGUGUCCACUGACAAAGCCAGCAAGGAUUUGUAACCCUAGGUUCUCAGACUAAGGUAACUCCUUCUCUCUGAUAUUACUCUUCAUCCAACCUAACUUAAGGGGCAUCCUACAGAAUGCUCUGCUAGAAUCAUACUCGUCGAUUAGGAAGAGAGGUGUGAGACAAUGCAUGAGAGACAUGCCUAAAUAUAAUGUGCGUACAUGAGACACGUAGGCAGGUCUAUGUAUAUAGAAAGGGUCGAUGGGGAUUGUGCGUGUGUAUGCUUGUGAGAGGAAGAGUGCUUGUGCUAAACGUUAGUGAAAACAGUCGUAAAUGGUUACGAGAGGGAGGGAGGGUUAUAUUGAGAGCAUGUCUGCGAGAAAGACACCUUGGGAGAGAAUGUGUGAGCAUGUGCGAGAGACCACCGAUGGAGAGUAAAACUACACGAAAAAGACUGAUGUACACAUUGAUUAAAGAUAUAAAUUGUAUCCAAAUAUUAGGAUGGGAUCAUGAUAUUUGCAAUUCACGUAAGGAACGGUCAUUGAUCCAUCAGACAUCUAGAUUCUAUCGAAUUUCAGCAUGUCUAUGUUAUUACUCGACAAAAUUGAUCCACAUAGUUAGUAUUUUAAACUCCGCACAAUGCAUCCUCUAAGCAAUCAAAUAUAAACGUGAGUAUAGUUCAUGUUGUGUGUGUAAAGCACAUUAUACAUACGAAAGUUACACAAUGAACAUUAUAAAUAGCUACCUAUGAAAUAGCAUACAUUUGAACUCAACUUAAGAUGGUUUAAACAAUCGAAUUCAACAUGAAGUCUAUUCAAUUAUUUGAAUUUGAUUUCAUGGCAUUUGUAAAUCAUACCUAAAUUAUGGGGGCACCAAUCUUUGCUAUGAUUUUGUACAUAAUAGCAUAUGUAGUCAUGUACAAAAUAGAUUCAAAUUUAGCUCCUCCAUUCCAAAAUAAUCAUAGUUAUAGGAUAAUUUAAUGAGGUUUUCAAACAUACAAGGUCAAAUUUAACAUUGUCUAUUUAGGUCAAUCAUCAAAGUUCAAGAGUACUCUAAACGUGAAUGCUUGUGUUUCAAAAUGUCGAAUGAAGUGCCAAAAGAGCCUCUACUCGCCCAAAACCGCGUGAGACCAAUGUUUGGUAGUACAAGGAAAUUACUUUUCUAAUAACUCCGACCCGUGAAACCUACCGGCCCGAAGUCCAAAGGUCUACGCCGGGGUAGGUUUGUAGCUUCAUCUAGAUGCCACGCAACCGCCUCCGAAAAACAUUCAUACACAAUGGCCGCCUAAGCACACAUGCGCGUGGCCGAAAUCGCUCCCGCCCACUAUUUGGGACACCUGGGAUUACCAUCCUACCCCCGACCCGUAGUAGGUCCAAAAUUUAAGAGGGGGGCAAAGUUUGUACUUUCCCCAAAUUUCAAACAAGCGCGUCCCAUCUUAUGUUCAAAAAAGCCAAAAGCAAGCGCAUCCCAGACCGAAACAUGGUUCUCCCUUAGCUCCCCCCUCCCCCCACCCAUCUGAUUCCCCAUUCAUACUCCGUGGGCGCAAAAACUACCUCUCCACAAGCCGCGAAACCCCCGCGUCCUCCGUCCGCCACCCCAUCCCACCCAUCAACCGCCUCCCUCCAUCAGGCCGGAGCCGAUACCCCGACGUCGUCGUCCACCACAACCUCAACCCCAAUGCCCUCCACAGCUAGUAGUUGAAGCCGAGGCCGAGCUGCCGUACCCGAGCCAGUUCAACCACACCGUCCUAUGCCUCACCGCUGCCGCUCCAAACUUCGCCACCGUCCACCGCACCAGAGUUGUUCCUGCUACGCCGUCCUUCGCCGCCUCGGAUCUGCUUCCGCUCCGCCGAUAUAUGGCCACGGCAACACAGUCAACAAUUUGGCCAUGGGUUUGUCUAAGGAUCCACCGUCCUCCAAAACAUCAAUUCCCUCGGGAGAAAAAAGAAGAUCACCGUGACAUAUGGAGGAGCCACACUGGAAACCGAUAAGGGUACUCCUCUUCCCUUAUUUGUGCAAAUCUUACAUGUCUGCUUGCACGGUAUUCAUCCCACAGAAGACACUAGUUGACCGCUUAUUCUUGAUACUAGAUGUUCCUAGUAACUCGCGAUGCACAAGGUUUAUCCUCAUAUACUAUUUCACCUUAGCUAGAGGUCCAUCGCCCCCCUGGAUUUCAAUUCCUGGUCAGUUGAUUCCCAAUUAAUGGAAGCAUUCCCUGGCGUAACAGGCGCUAGUACGCCUAUUACGCUGGGGAAGCAGCAUCUGCAUUUCCUGUGCUCAUAUAUUACAAAAUCAUACGGAGUAGAAUCUAAUUUUGUUUGCCAUGCAAUAUGGUAGAGCUAUCAUAUGUCUCCUGUCAUUUAUUUUUCAGCCACCUGCUAUCUGCUACUUUUAUACUGCACUAGUUCUGCACACACUUCACCCAUACUCUCACUAUUGUGUUUUUAUGCAAGGGUAUUUCAGACUCUGCUGCCUUGGAAGAAGGAGAAAAGAAAAGAGAGAAGUCAUUCCAGCGUGGUACGCGGCUAGGCCAGACACGUUUCAGCUGUAGAAAGGGUGAAGUGUCAGCAGAUGGAGACGGUAAACGUGGCUCUGGAGUUGAUGACCUCGCUCACCAUGAACCACCAUCCCAGGUGCUUGCUUUAACUUUGUGGUGGCAUAUGUGGUUGCAUGUUGCAUAUGGUGUCUAGCUUGUAUUCGAAAGGCCGAAGUCGGUCUUUGUCAAGAUAAGGAAAGAUAUUUUUUACAUGAGCCACCAUCCCGGGAGCACCAGAAGACAAAUAGCUAGUUAGGGCACUGGACGAGCCAGUGACAAGCCCAGCACAGACAAGCAUCACCUAGAAGCCAACUAAAAAGCCAUGAUGGUGGCGAGCAGCCCACCUCCCACCAGGCUCUCAGGUCCUAGAUGAUCAUGCUCACCACUCCAGCCGGAUGUCUAGCUUGUAUUGCUUCCAAUUUGGUUAAAUUGCAUCUGCUUAGCUUACACAUUAUACCUUUGAAUAUGUGCCUUUAUGUUUUUGGUACAUACUAGUACAUCUGUUUAUUAACCAUGUUCUUACAUCAAACUAAUGUUCUUGUGUAUCCCUCAUCAAUCACUUAUGAUGAGGUAGUCAGGCAAAUGGACUACUCCUCAUUUAAAGAAUGCAGCAUCGACCUCCUGACAUGAUUCUCAAGAAAAAACAAGGCUAGAUGAAGAUAGUGAAUGUAGCUCUGUAGUUGAUUAUUGGUGUUAAAUCACAUGGCGAUGUGAACUAGUAAACCCUUUGGGUGUUGGUCACAUGACGAUGUGAACUAUGGGUGUUAAUCAUAUACAGAUAUGAUUAUUGGUGUUAAAUCACAUGGCGAUGUGAACUAGAUUAUUGACUCUAGUGCAAGUGGGAGACUGAAGGAAAUAUGCCCUAGAGGCAAUAAUAAAGUUAUUAUUUAUUUCCUUAUUUCAUGAUGAAUGUUUAUUAUUCAUGCUAGAAUUGUAUUAACCGGAAACAUAAUACAUGUGUGAAUACAUAGACAAACAUAGUGUCACUAGUAUGCCUCUACUUGACUAGCUCGUGAAUCAAAGAUGGUUAAGUUUCCUAGCCAUAGACAUGAGUUGUCAUUUGAUUAAUGGGAUCACAUCAUUAGGAGAAUGAUGUGAUUGACAUGACUCAUCCCGUUAGCCCAGCACUUGAUCAUUUAGUAUACUGCUAUUGCUUUCUUCAUGACUUAUACAUGUUCCUGUAACUAUGAGAAUUAUGCAACUCCCGUUUAUCGUAGGAACGCUUUGGGUACUACCAAACGUCACAACGUAACUGGGUGAUUAUAAAGGAGUACUUCAGGUGUCUCCGAAGGUACAUGUUGAGUUGGCGUAUUUCGAGAUUAGGUUUUGUCACUCCGAUUGUCGGAGAGGUAUCUCUGGGCCCUCUCGGUAAUGCACAUCACUAUAAGCCUUGCAAGCAAUGUAGCUAAUGAAUUAGUUACGGAAUGAUGUAUUACGUAACGAGUAAAGAGACUUGUCGGUAACGAGAUUGAACUAGGUAUUGGAUACCGACGAUCGAAUCUCGGGCAAGUAACAUACCGAUGACAAAGGGAACAACGUAUGUUGUUAUGCGGUUUGACCGAUAAAGAUCUUCGUAGAAUAUGUAGGAACCAAUAUGGGAAUCCAGGUCCCGCUAUUGGUUAUUGACCGAGAAUGGUUCUAGGUCAUGUCUACAUAGUUCUCGAACCCGUAGGGUCCGCACGCUUAACGUUUCGAUGACAGUUUUAUUAUGAGUUUAUAAGUUUUGAUGUACCUAAGUUUGUUCGGAGUCCCUGAUGUGAUCACGGACAUGACGAGGAGUCUCGAAAUGGUCGAGACAUAAAGAUUGAUAUAUUGGAAGCCUAUGUUUGGACAUCGGAAUAGUUCCGGGUGAAAUCAGCAUUUUACCGGAGUACCGGGAGGUUACCGGAACCCCCCGGGGGGUUAUUGGGCCUACAUGGGCCUCGAGGGAGAAGAGAGAAGGAGGCAGGAGGGGGCCGCGCACCCCUCCCCUUCCUAGUCCGAAUAGGACAAGGGAAGGGGGGCGGCGCCCCCCCUUUCCUUCCCCUCUUCCUCCUCUUUCCCCCCUUCUCCUACUCCUACUUGGAAAGAGGGAGUCCUACUCCCGGUGGGAGUAGGACUCCCCCCUUGGAGCGCCCUCCUUGGCCGGCGGCCUCCUCCCCCUGGAUCCUUUAUAUACGGGCGCGGGGGGGCACCCCAUAGACACACAAGUUGAUCUACGGAUCGUUCCUUAGCCGUGUGCGGUGCCCCCCUCCACCAUAUUCCACCUCAAUCAUAUCGUCGCGGAGUUUAGGCGAAGCCCUACGCCGGUAGAGCAUCAUCAUCGUCACCACGCCAUCGAGCUGACGGAACUCAUCCCUGACACUUUGCUGGAUCGGAGUCCGGGGAUCGUCAUCGAGCUGAACGUGUGCUGAACUCGGAGGUGCCGUACGUUCGGUACUUGGAUCGGUCGGACCGUGAAGACGUACGACUACAUCAACCGCGUUGUGCUAACGCUUCCGCUUAUGGUCUACGAGGGUACGUGGACAACACUCUCCCCUCUUGUUGCUAUGCCAUCACCAUGAUCUUGCGUGUGCGUAGGAAUUUUUUUGAAAUUACUACGUUCCCCAACAGUGGCAUCCGAGCCCAGGUUUUAUGCGUUGAUGUUAUAUGCACGAGUAGAACACAAGUGAGUUGUGGGUGAUACAAGUCAUACUGCUUACCAGCAUGUCAUACUUUGGUUCAGCGGUAUUGUUGGAUGAAGCAGCCCGGACCGACAUUACGCGUACGCUUACGCAAGACUGGUUUUACCGCCGUGCUUUGCACACAGGUGACUAGCGGGUGUCUGUUUCUCCAACUUUAGUUGAACCGAGUGUGGCUACGCCCGGUCCUUGCGAAGGUUAAAACAGCACCAACUUGACGAACUAUCGUUGUGGUUUUGAUGCGUAGGUAAGAACGGUUCUUGCUCAGCCCGUAGCAGCCACGUAAAACUUGCAACAACAAAGUAGAGGAUGUCUAACUUGUUUUUGCAGGGCAUGUUGUGAUGUGAUAUGGUCAAAACGUGAUGAGAUAUAAGUUGUUGUAUGAGAUGAUCAUGUUCUGUUGAAGUUAUCGGCAACUGGUAGAAGCCCUAUGGUUGUCUCUUUGUUGCAUAAGAUGCAAGUGCCAAAUAAUUGCUCUACUUUAUCGCUAUGCGAUAGCAAUAGUUGCAAGAGCAAUAGUUGGCGAGACGACCAUGUGACGACACAUUGAUAUAGAUCAAGUUGAUGAAGAUCAUGGUGUCGUGCCGGUGACGAUAGAGAUCAUGACAGUACUUUGGAGAUGGAGAUCAAAGGCGCAAGAUGAUCAUGGCCAUAUCAUGUUACAUAUUUUGAUUGCAUAUGAUGUUUAUCUGUUAUACAUCUUAUUCUGUUUUGUUUGACGGUAGCAUUUUAAGAUGAUCUCUCACUAAUUAUCAAGAAGUGUUCCCCCUGAGUAUGCACCGUUGCGAAAGUUCUUCAUGCUGAGACACCACGUGAUGAUCGGGUGUGAUAGGCUCUACGUUCAAAUACAACGAGUGCAAAACAGUUGCACAUGCGGAAUACUCAGGUUAAACUUGACGAGCCUAGCAUAUACAGAUAUGGCCUCGGAACAUGGAGACCGAAAGGUCGAGCGUGAAUCAUAUAGUAGAUAUGAUCAACAUAGUGAUGUUCACCAUUGAAACUACUCCAUCUCACGUGAUGAUCGGACAUGGUUUAGUUGAUUUGGAUCACGUGAUCACUUAGAUGACUAGAGAGAUGUCUGUCUAAGUGGGAGUUCUUAAGUAAUAUGAUUAAUUGAACUUUAAUUUAUCAUGAACUUAGUCCUGGUAGUAUUUUGCAAAUUAUGUUGUAGAUCAAUAGCUUGCAUUGUUGCUUUCAUAUGUUUAUUUUGAUAUGUUCCUAGAGAAAAUUGUGUUGAAAGAUGUUAUUAGCAAUGAUGCGGAUUGGAUCCGUGAUCUGAGGUUUAUCCUCAUUGCUACAUAGAAUAAUUAUGUCCUUAAUGCACCGCUAGGUGACAGACCUAUUGCAGGAGCAGAUGCAGACGUUAUGAACGUUUGGCUAGCUCAAUAUGAUGACUACUUGAUAGUUUAGUGCACCAUGCUUAACGGCUUAGAAUCGGGACUUCAAAGACGUUUUGAACAUCAUGGACCAAAUGAGAUGUUCCAGGAGUUGAAGUUAAUAUUUCAAGCAAAUACCCGAGUUGAGAGAUAUGAAGUCUCCAACAAGUUCUAUGGCUAAAAGAUGGAGGAGAAUCGCUCAACUAGUGAGCAUGUGCUCAGAUUGUCUGGGUACUUCAAUCGCUUGAAUCAAGUGGGAGUUAAUCUUCCAGAUAAGAUAGUGAUUGACAGAAUUCUCUAGUCACCAUCACUAAGUUACUAGAACUUCGUGAUGAACUAUAGUAUGCAAGGGAUGACGAAAACGAUUCCCGAGCUCUUCGCGAUGUUGAAAUCAACGAAGGUAGAAAUCAAGAAAGAGCAUCAAGUGUUGAUGAUUGAAAAGAUCACUAGUUUCAAGAAAAGGGCAAAGGGAAAGAAAGGGAACUUCAAGUAGAAUGACAAGCAAGUUGUCACUCCCACAAAGAAGCCCAAAGCUGAACCAAAGCCUGAAAGUGAGUGCUUACACUGCAAAGGAAAUGGUCACUGGAAACGGAAAUGCCCUGAAUAUUUGGUGGAUAAGAAGGAUGGCAAAGUGAACAAGGGUAUAUUUGAUAUACAGGUUAUUGAUGUGUGCUUUACUAGUGUUUAUAGUAGCCCCUGAGUAUUUGAUAUUUGUUCGGUUGCUAAGAUUAGUAACUCGAAACAGGAGUUACAGAAUAAACAAAGACUAGUUGAAGGGGAAGUGACGAUGAGUGUUGGAAGUAGUUCCAAGAUUGAUAUGAUCAUCAUCGCACACUCCCUAUACUUUCGGUAUUAGUGUUAAACCUAAAUAAAUGUUAUUUGGCAUUUGCGUUGAGCAUGAAUAUGAUUUGAUCAUGUUUAUUGCAAUACGGUUAUUCAUUUAAAGUCAGAGAAUAAUUGCUAUUCUGUUUACAUGAAUAAAACCUUCAAUGGUCAUACACCCAAUGAAAAUAGUUUAUUGGAUCUCGAUCGUAGUGAUACACAUAUUCAUAAUGUUGAAACCAGAUGAUGCAGAGUUGAUAACGAUAGUGCAACUUGUUUGUGGCACUACCGUUUAGGUCAUAUCGGUGUAAAGCGCAUGAAGAAACUCCAUACUGAUGGGCUUUUGGAAUCACUUGAUUAUGAAUCACUUGGUACUUGCGAACCGUGCCUUAUGGGCAAGAUGACUAAAACGCCAUUCUCCAGAACUAUGGAGAGAGCAACAGAUUUGUUGGAAAUCAUACAUACAGAUGUAUGUGGUCCAAUGAAUGUUGAGGCUCGUGGCGGAUAUUGUUAUUUUCUCACCUUCACAGAUGAUUUAAGCAGAUAUGGGUAUAUCUACUUGAUGAAACAUAAGUCUGAAAUAGUUGAAAGGUUCAAAGAAUUUCAGAGUGAAGUGGAAAAAUCAUCGUAACAAGAAAAUAAAGUUUCUGCGAUCUGAUCGCGGAGACGAAUAUUUGAGUUACGAGUUUGGUCUUCAAUUAAAACAAUGUGAAAUAGUUUCACAGCUAACGCCACCUGGAACACCACAACGUUAUGGUGUGUCCGAACAUCGUAACCGCACUUUAUUGGAUAUGGUGUGAUCUAUAAUGUCUCUUAUUGAUUCACCGUUGUUGUUUUGGGGUUAUGCAUUAGAGACAGCUGCAUUCACGUUUAAUAGGGCACCAUCUAAAUCCGUUGAGACGACACCAUAUGAACUGUGGUUUAGCAAGAAACCCAAGUUGUCGUUUCUUAAAGUUUGGGGCUGCAAUGCUUAUGUGAAAAAGUUUCAUCCUGAUAAGCUCGAACCCAAAUCGGAGAAGUGCGUCUUCAUAGAAUACCCAAAGGAAAUUGUUGGGUACACCUUCUAUCACAGAUCCGAAGGCAAGAUAUUCGUUGCUAAAAAUGGAUCCUUUCUAGAGAAGGAGUUUCUCUCGAAAGAAGUGAGUGGGAGAAAAGUAGAACUUGAUGAGGUAACUGUACCUUCUCCCGAAUUGGAAAAUUGUUCAUCACUGAAAUCAGUUCCAGUGAUUUCUACACCAAUUAGUGAGGAAGCUAAUGAUGAUGAUCAUGAAACUUCAGAUCAAGUUACUACAGAACCUCGUAGGUCUUCCAGAGUACGGUCCGCACCAGAGUGGUACGGUAAUCCUGUUCUCGAAGUCAUGUUACUAGACCAUGAUGAACCUACGAAAUAUGAGGAAGCGAUGAUGAGCCCAGAUUCCGCAAAAUGGCUUAAGGCCAUGAAAUCUGAGAUGGGAUCCAUGUAUGAGAACAAAGUGUGGACUUUGGUGGAGUUGCCCGAUGAUCGGCAAGCCAUAUAGUAUAAAUGGAUCUUCAAGAGGAAGACUGACAUUGAUAGUAGUGUUACUAUCUACAGAGCUCGACUUGUCGCAAAAAGGUUUUUGACAAGUUCAAGGUGUUGACUACAAUGAGAUUUUCUCAGCUGUAGCGAUGCUUUAAGUUUGUCCGAAUCAUGUUAGCAAUUGCCACAAUUUAUGAAAUCUGGCAAAUGGAUGUCAAAACUGCAUUCCUUAAUGGUUUUCUCAAAGAAGAGUUGUAUAUGAUGCAACCAGAAGGUUUUGUCAAUCCUAAAGGUACUAACAAAAUAUGCAUGCUCCAGCGAUCCAUCUAUGGACUGGUGCAAGCAUCUCAGAGUUGGAAUAUACGCUUUGAUGAGUUGAUCAAAGCAUAUAGUUUUGUACAGACUUACGGUGAAGCCUGUAUUUACAAGAAAGUGAGUGGGAGCACUACAACAUUUCUGAUAAGUAUAUGUGAAUGACAUAUUGUUAAUCGGAAAUAAUGUAGAAUUAUUCUGCAAAGCAUGAAAGGAUACUUGAAUAAGAGUUUUUCAAAGAAAGACCUCGGUGAAGCUACUUACACAUUGAGCAUCAAGAUCUAUAUAGAUAGAUCAAGACGCUUGAUAAGAUUUUUCAAUGAAUACAUACCUUGAUAAUUUUUUGAAAUAGUUCAAAAUGGAACAGUCAAAGAAGGAGUUCUUGCCUGUGUUGCAAGGUGUGAAAUUGAGUAAGACUCAAGACCCGACCAUGGUAGAAAACAGAAAGAGAAUGAAAAAUCAUUCCCUAUGCCUCAGUCAUAGGUUCUAUAAAGUAUGAUAUGCUGUGAACCAGACAUAUUGUAUACCUUGCUCUGAGUUUGGCAAAGGAAUACAAUUUUGAUCUAAUAGUAGAUCACUGGACAGCGGUCAAGAAUAUCCUUAGUAAGGACUAAGGAGAUGUUUCUCGAUUAUGGAGGUGAUAAAAGAGUUCGUUGUAAAAGUUACAUCGGUGCAAACUUUUACACUGAUCCAGAUGACUCUAAGUCUCAAUCUGGAUACAUAUUGAAAGUGGGAGCAAUUAGCUAGAGUAGCUCCGUGCAGAGCAUUGUGGACAUAGAAUAUUUGCAAAAUACAUACGGCUCUGAAUGUGACAGACCCGUUGAGUAAGCUUCUCUCAUGAGCAAAACAUGAUAACACCUUAGUACUCUUUGGGUGUUAAUCACAUAGCGAUGUGAACUAAAUUUUUGACUCUAGUAAACCCUUUGGGUGUUGGUCACAUGACGAUGUGAACUAUGGGUGUUAAUCAUAUACAGAUAUGAUUAUUGGUGUUAAAUCACAUGGCGAUGUGAACUAGAUUAUUGACUCUAGUGCAAGUGGGAGACUGAAGGAAAUAUGCCCUAGAGGCAAUAAUAAAGUUAUUAUUUAUUUCCUUAUUUCAUGAUGAAUGUUUAUUAUUCAUGCUAGAAUUGUAUUAACCGAAAACAUAAUACAUGUGUGAAUACAUAGACAGACAUAGGGUCACUAGUAUGCCUCUACUUGACUAGCUCAUGAAUCAAAGAUGGUUAAGUUUCCUAGCCAUAGACAUGAGUUGUCAUUUGAUUAACGGGAUCACAUCAUUAGGAGAAUGAUGUGAUUGACAUGACCCAUCCCGUUAGCCCAGCACUUGAUCAUUUAGUAUACUGCUAUUGCUUUCUUCAUGACUUAUACAUGUUCCUGUAACUAUGAGAAUUAUGCAACUCCCGUUUACCGGAGGAACACUUUGGGUACUACCAAACGUCACAAUGUAACUGGGUGAUUAUAAAGGAGUACUACAGGUGUCUCCGAAGGUACAUGUUGAGUUGGCGUAUUUCGAGAUUAGGUGUUGUCACUCCGAUUGUCGGAGAGGUAUCUCUGGGCCCUCUCGGUAAUGCACAUCACUAUAAGCCUUGCAAGCAAUGUAGCUAAUGAAUUAGUUACGGAACGAUGUAUUACGUAACGAGUAAAGAGACUUGCCGGUAACGAGAUUGAACUAGGUAUUGGAUACCGACGAUCGAAUCUCGGGCAAGUAACAUACCGAUGACAAAGGGAACAACGUAUGUUGUUAUGCAGUUUGACCGAUAAAGAUCUUCGUAGAAUAUGUAGGAACCAAUAUGGGCAUCCAGGUCCCGCUAUUGGUUAUUGACCAAGAAUGGUUCUAGGUCAUGUCUACAUAGUUCUCGAACCCGUAGGGUCCGCACGCUUAACGUUUCGAUGACAGUUUUAUUAUGAGUUUAUAAGUUUUGAUGUACCGAAGUUGGUUCGGAGUCCCGGAUGUGGUCACGGACAUGACAAGGAGUCUCUAAAUGGUCGAGACAUAAAUAUUGAUAUAUUGGAAGCCUAUGUUUGGACAUCUAAAUAGUUCUGGGUGAAAUCGGCAUUUUACCGGAGUACCGGGAGGUUACCGGAACCCCCCGGGGGCUUAUUGGGCCUACAUGGGCCUCGAGGGAGAAGAGGAAGGAGGCAGGAGGGGGCCGCGUGCCCCUCCCCUUCCUAGUCCGAAUAGGACAAGGGAAGGGGGGCGGCGCCCCCCCUUUCCUUCCCCUCUACCUCCUCUUUCCCCCCUUCUCCUACUCCUACUUGGAAAGAGGGAGUCCUACUCCCGGUGGGAGUAGGACUCCCCCCUUGGUGUGCCCUCCUUGGCCGGCGGCCUCCUCCCCCUGGCUCCUUUAUAUACGGGGGCGAGGGGGCACCCCAUAGACACACAAGUUGAUCUACGGAUCGUUCCUUAGCCGUGUGUGGUGCCCCCCUCCAUCAUAUUCCACCUCAGUCAUAUCGUCGCGGAGUUUAGGCGAAGCCCUGCGCCGGUAGAGCCUCAUCAUCGUCACCACGCCGUCGUGCUGACGGAACUCAUCCCCAACACUUUGCUGGAUCGGAGUCCGGGGAUCGUCAUCGAGUUGAACGUGUGCUGAACUCGGAGGUGCCGUACGUUUGGUACUUGGAUCGGUCGGAUCGUGAAGACGUACGACUACAUCAACCGCGUUGUGCUAACGCUUCCGCUUACGGUCUACGAGGGUACGUGGACAACACUCUCCCCUCUCGUUGCUAUGCCAUCACCAUGAUCUUGCGUGUGCGUAGGAAUUUUUUUGAAAUUACUACGUUCCCCAACAAUUUCCCCUACACUAGCAUUGCAGGUGCUUGCUCUAACUUGACAGCAUGAUAUGUGGUUGCAUGUUGCAUAUGGUGUCUAGAUUGUAAUUCUUCCAAUCUGGUUAAACUGCAUGUGCUAUUCUGCUUAGCUUAUACAUUAUACCUGUUAAUGUGACAUGCCUUCCUGUAUUUAGUACAUAGUACAUCUGUCUAUUAAGCAUGUCCUUGCAUAAAACUAUUGUUUUUUUGUAUCCCGCAUCAAUCAAUAUGACGAGACACCUUUAGUAUAUGCAGUGUGAUAUUAGUUGCAUCUUUCAUAUGAUUUAUAGCAUGCGCUACUUCUAAUUUAUUGAAAUGCCAUUUAUGAUGGGACGAUUUUAACUUGGCAGAGUCCUAUUGGUCGCAUAUUUCAUGUGGUGUCUAGCUUGCAUUGCUUCUUAUUUGUUGGAAUGGUUUCUGCUUAGUUUACACAAACAGUUGUGAACAUGCCAUGUUGUCCUGUUUUUCAUACAUAUUCCAUCCUGGUAUCAUGUAUGAAUGAGUUCUGAAGAGAGAAUUUUAUUGCUUUUUCUUGUCGGUUUUACUUGACAAUUCAAAAUCAAUAAAGCGUAAGGAAGUUAGAAAGGCAACGGAUAAAGGUGCUCCUUCCAAACGGAGGGCCUCUAUAGAUUCUACUCCUCCAUCCCCCCAAGAUGAUUUGCAAGACAACACAUGCAUAGACACUCAACAUAGAUGUGUUGAUGAUGAGCACGUCUCCCCUAGUGCACCAUCACCGGUGCUCCCUCUAACUUGGCAAUGUUAUAUGUGGUUGCAUGUUAUGUGUGAUGUCUGGCUUGUAUUGCUUCUAGUAUUGUUGAAUUCCAUCUGAUUACUUUACACAUUAUACUUGUGAAUAAGACACGUGAUCCUGUUUCUAGAACAUACAAUAGCUGUCUUUCACACCAUGUUCUUACAUCAAAUUACUACUAUUGUGUAACCUGCAACAAUCACUUAUCAUAAGACACGUUUGACUUGGGAGUGUGAUAUAGGUUACAUCUCGCAUUAUUUUCUAGCUUGCACUACUAAUUUGUUGAAAUGGCACUUAUAGCGAGACAGUUUUAACUUGUUAGAGUGAUAUUCGUUGCAUAUUUCAUAUGGUGUCUAGCUUUCAUUGCUUCUAAUUUAUUGAAAUGCCUUCUCCUUAGUUUACACAUCAUAAGUUGUAAUUAUGCACUGUUGUGAAUAUGCAAUGGCACUAAUGACGAGAGACCUCUAACUUGGUAGUGUGAUGUUGUUUGCAUCUUGCAUAUGAUUUAUUUCUUGUACUGCUUCACAUUUGUUUAAAUGCCAUUUAUGAUGAGACACUAUUAACUUGGCAGAGCGAUAUUUGUAGCAUCUUUCAUAUGGUGUCUACCUUCCAUUGCAUUGCUUCUAAUUUAGUGGAGUGUCUUCUGCUUAGUUUACACAUCAUAGUUCUGGUUUUCUCUUCCGUCCUGUUUUUCGUACAUAUUACAUCCUCCUAUCAUGUGGUUGUCUAACAUCAAAGUUCAGUUCGUCUGUAUCACGCAUCAAUUUGUUCUGAAGAACUAAAUUAUUAUUCGUUUUUCUUGUCGACUUGACUUAACAUGGCACACAGAAAGAGGAAGAAACACAGAAUGGCAGGGAAUGGGAAGGGAAAAAUCCUGUAGAUUCUGCUGGUACUGAUGGUGCAAUAGAAGGUCAAAGUCCAGCGGAAAAUUCUACAAAUAGGGUAUCUCGUGCUACACGAGCUGUAGAAAAAGCCAAACAGAAACAGAUUAGCUGCCACCAAACAAGCAGAGACAGCAAUAGUUCUUGCAAAACCUUCCACAGUACUACUAGCGCACGAGUUACUCGUGGGUCAACUGAGUUAGCAGCAAGUUCACAAGCUCCCUUGCCACCUGACACUAUUUCUGGAGCACUCUUGACACAAGACGAGUUGGCAAGAUCAGAUGAACCUUGUGAGCUUCAACGGCAAGAAGGUAGUUGAUGGAGUCAAGUUACAGUUGCAUGCUUCUUUAUAUGUAGUCUCACAGUUUGAUGUACACUAACACGUCCUAUGUUUGUUGUUGGACUAGCACCUAGGCGUAACAGGAAACAAACAUCAGGGAUAAUGCUUGAUAGGUUAACUAAAUCUAGAGGAGGAAUAAUGGAGAUUGAUAACCCACAAGUAUAGGGGAUUGCAACAGUUUUCGAGGGUAGAGUAUUCAACCCAAAUUUAUUGAUUCGACACAAGGGGAGCCAAAGAAUAUUCUCAAGUAUUAGUAGUUGAGUUGUCAAUUCAACCACACCUGGAUAACUUAGUAUCUGCAGCAAAAUACUAGUACCAAAGUAGUAUGAUAGUAAAGGUAACACUGGUAAAAGUAACGAUAGCAGUUUUGUAGCAAUUGUAACAGUAGCAACGGUAAAGUAAAUAAGUGAAGCACAAUAUGUGAAAAGCUCGUAGGCAUUGGAUCAGUGAUGGGUAAUUAUGUUGGAUGCGAUUCCUCAUGUAAUAGUUAUAACAUAGGGUGACACAGAACUAGCUCCAAUUCAUCAAUGUAAUGUAGGCAGGUAUUCCAGAUAUAGUCAUAUGUGCUUAUGGAAAAGAACUUGCAUGACAUCUUUUGUCCUACCGUCCCGUGGCAGGGGGGUCCUAAUGGAAACUAAGGGAUAUUAAGGCCUCAUUUUAAUAGAGUACCGGACCAAAGCAUUAGCACUCAGUGAAUACAUGAACUACUCAAACUACGGUCAUCACCGAGAAGUAUCCCGAUUAUUGUCACUUCGGGGUUGUCGGAUCAUAAUACAUAAUAGGUGACUAUAGACUUGCAAGAUAGGAUCAAGAACUCACAUAUAUUCAUGAAAACAUAAUAGGUUCAGAUCUGAAAUCAUGGCACUCGGGCCCUAGUGACAAGCAUUAAGCAUAGCAAAGUCAUAGCAACAUCAAUCUUAGAAUAUAGUGGAUACUAGGGAUCAAACACUAACAAAACUAACUUGAUUACAUGGUAAAUCUCAUCCAACCCAUUACUGUCCAACAAGCCUACGAUGGAAUUACUCAUGCACGGCGGUGAGCAUAAUGAAAUUGGUGAUGGAGUAUAGUUGCUGAUGACGACGGCGACAAAUCCCCCUCUCCGGAGCCCCGAACGGACUCGAGAUCAGCCCUCCCUAGAGAGAUUAGGGCUUGGCGGUGGCUCCGUAUCGUAAAACAUGAUGAAACUUUCUCUCUGAUUUUUUCUCCGCGAAAGCAAAUAUAUAGGUUGGAGUUGAGGUCGGUGGCCAUCCAGGGGGCCCACGAGGCAGGGGACGCGCCCAGGGGGAGGGGGCGCACCCCCACCCUCGUGGACAGGGUGUGGGCCCCCUGGCCGUGAUUCUUUCGCCAGUAUUAUUUUUUAUAUUUUCCAAAAGUAAUCUCCAUGGAUUUUCAAGUCAUUCCGAGAACUUUUGUUUCUGCACAAAAAUAACACCAUGAUAGUUUUGCUGAAAACUGCGUGAGUCCGGGUUAGUUUCCAUUCAAAUCAUGCAAGUUAGAGUCCAAAACAAGGGCAAAAGUGUUUGGAAAAGUAGAUACGAUGGAGACGCAUCAACUCCCCCAAGCUUAAACCUUUGCUUUUCCUCAAGCAAUUCAGUUGAUAAACUGAAAGUGAUAAAGAAAAACUUUUACAAACUCUGUUUGCUCUUGUUGUUGUAAAUAUGUAAAGCCAGCAUUCAAAUUUUCAGCAAAGGUUAUGAACUAACCAUAUUCACAAUAACACUUAGGUCUCAUGUUUACUCAUAUCAAUGACAUAAUCAACUAGCGAGCAAUAAUAAUAAAUCUCGGAUGACAACACUUUCUCAAAACAAUCAUGAUAUGAUAUAACAAGAUGGUAUCUUGCUAGCCCUUUCUGAGACUGCAAAACAUAAAUGUAGAGCACCUUUAAAGAUCAAGGACUGACUAAACAUUGUAAUUCAUGGUAAAAGAGAUCAAAUCAAGUCAUACCCAAUAUAAAUUAACAGUAAUACAUGCAAAUGACAAUGUGCUCUCCAGCGGGUGCUUUUUAAUAAGAGGAUGAUUACUCAACAUAAAAGUAAAUAGAUAGGCCCUUCGCGGAGGGAAGCAGGGAUUUGUAGAGGUGCGGGAGCUCGAUUUUAAAAUAGAGACGAAUAACAUUUUGAGUGGUAUACUUUCACUGUCAACCCAACAACUAUGAGAUCUCGAUACCUUCCAUGCUACAUACAUUAUAGGCGGUUCCCAAACAGAAUGGUAAAGUUUAUACUCCCCCACCACCAACAAGCAUCAAUCCAUGGCUUGCUCGAAACAACGAGUGCCUCCAACUAGCAACAGCCCUGGGGGAGUUUUGUUUAAUUAUUUCGAUUUGCUUUGAUCUUUUUGAUCAUGGGACUGGGCAUCCCGGUUACCAGCCAUUUUCUCGUGAAUGAGGAGCGGAGUCCACUCCCCUUGAGAAUAACCCACCUAGCAUGGAAGAUACAGAUAGCCCUAGUUGAUACAUGAGCUGCUCGAGCAUACAAAACAAAAUUUCAUUUGAAGUUUUAGAGUUUGGCACACAGAGAUUUACUUGGAACGACAGGUAAAUAGCGCAUAUAGGAAGGUAUGGUGGACUCAUAUGGAAUAACUUUGGGGUAUAUGGAGUUUGGAUGCACAAGCAGUAUUCCCGCUUAGUACAGGUGAGGGCUAGAAAGAGACUAGGAAGCGACCAACUGAGAGAGCGACAACAGUCAUGAACAUGCAUUAAAAUUAAUAAACACUGAGUUCAAGCAUGAGUAGGAUAUAAUCCACCAUGAACAUAAAUAUCAUGAAGGCUAUGUUGACUAGUUUUCAACUACAUGCGUGAACAUGUGCCAAGUCAAGUCACUGCCCUAUCAUACCACAUCACAACCAUUUUAAUAGCAUGUUAGCACGCAAGGUAAACCAUUAUAAGCUCCUAGCUAAUUAAGCAUGGCAUAAGCAACUAUAAUCUCUAAUUGUCAUUGCAAACAUGUUUGCUCAUAAUAGGCUAAAUCAGGAACAAUGAACUCAUCAUAUUUACAAAAACAAGAGAGGUCGAGUUCAUACCAGCUUCUCUCAUCUCAAUUAGUCCAUCAUAUAUCGUCAUUAUUGCCUUUCACUCGCACGACCGAACGGUGUGUAUAAUAAUAAUAGUGCACGUGCAUUGGACUAAGCUGGAAUCUGCGAGCAUCCAAUUCAAGGGAGAAGACAAGGUAAUAUGGGCUCUUGGUUAAAUCAACAAUCAUGCAUAUAAGAGCCACUAAACAUUUUCAUUAUGGUCUUCUCCUCUCGACCCCCAAAGAAAAGAAAAUAAAUAAAACUAUUUACACGGGAAAGUUCCCAACAAGCAAAAGAAUAACAAGAAAUCUUUUUGGGUUUUCUUUUAAUUACUACUACAAGCAUGCAAAGUAAACUAACUAAUUUUUUUGGUUUUUUCUUAAGAUUUAUCAAACACACAAGAAGAAAACUAGAAAAAGAAAUUAAACUAGCAUGGAUAGUACAAUGAAAAAGUAUGAGCACCGACAACUAGAAUAAGUGUGUGAACAUAAAUGUAAUAUCGGUGAGAAAUACGUACUCCCCCAAGCUUAGGCUUUUGGCCUAAGUUGGUCAAUGCCCAAGGACCACGGCUACUCUCCCCGGUGUACUGAGGAGUGUCAUCUGGGUACCACUGGCUGGCGAUCUCCUCCAGAUCCCACUGAUAGGAUGGACGAUAAGGGUCCAGUGGUGGUUCCGGCUUAGGCUCUGGAGCUGAUAUCUGGCCUCGAUGCGCGUACACGGCCGACGGCAAGACGAGGUAAGGACAUGCAGUUAAAUCAAACAAAGAAGGUGCAUGGAGGGUAAUAAUUUCAUUGUGUUUCUUAUUAAAUCUCAGGUUAUACAGAAGCAUCUUAUCAUCAUUGUCAAUAGUAAAUUCAUGCGCUACCAUGCUCCUGUAAUCUAAAAAGGUAGGGGUAGCAGUGUCUCCUAUUUCUCAUAAUGCCUAAUAGGUAUCUCAAAAUGUCUAGCAAGGCGUGCAGCAUAGAUACCUCCAAAGAUGGGCCCUUUGUACGGUUUAGACUUAAUCGUUUAGCAACAACGGCACCCAUACUAACAGAGCUAUCACAAAAUAAAGCAUGGAACAAAAUAAUAAUAUCAGGAACACUAAGGUUUCCACAGUUUCCGUGACCAAUUAAGCAUCAACUAGCAAAUAUUGCAAAGUAGCGUAAAACAGGAAAAUGUAUGCUAGUAAUUCUUGCAUCGGGAACCUUCCUUGUUUCCCCUAAAGUAAUAGUAUCAAUAAAUCCAUCCACAUCUUUACGAUGUGGUUCCUCUAAGCUGCCCUCGAAAGGUAUCUUGCAAACCGUGCAAAAUUCAUAUAGUGUCAUCUCCCUAGCCACAUCAUAUAAAUGAACUCUAAUGAAGGAGGUGGUUUCUUAGGAUAAAAGUAGAAAUUUUGCACGAAAGUAUUGGUGAGUAAGAGAUAUUGUUCGGUCUGGUCGUGGAGGAAGUCGGUGAGGCCCGCAUUAUCAACCAACGAAUAAAAAUCAUCAUGAAUCCCGGCUGCUCUCAAGAAAUCAUCACAAGGCCAUUCACAUGGUCGUACUUCCGCCACACGAGGGAGAUUAUACUUGGGCUUUUCAUUCUCCUUAGAUUGUUUAUCCUUAGAGCCUUGGCUAGAAGAGCCCUUCAAAAGUCUCCUCAUCAUUUUCUGAAAAUUUCUAAAAUUUUUAGUAACUCAAAAUAGAAGUGGAUAAAACUCAACAAGAUUGGUAGCAACUACUCUCAUAAGUGCCUAGAGCCUAUAUCAUGCAUUAGAAUUACUUGGGACCUCAUAAAUUUGACAUGCAAGCUCAAGAACAGGGUCACCUAGGCAGCAAAAAUUUGCAAUGAAUAAAGCACUAGAACAAAAACUAAUUGGACCAUUGGAGGAGUCACAUAAUAAGGAACAAUCUCCCAAAGCAGUUUUGUGAAUGGGGCUUUGGGCAAGGAGAUCGUAAAUCGCAUCAAAAUGAGCUAGAACUCAUGCUUGAGCUGGAUGGGGAUUUUUUGGGAGGAAGAUGGAGUGUGUGGGUGCAGGAAUAAGUGGAGGGGGCACCAUGGCCCACGAGGCAGGGGGCGCGCCCAGUAAGAUUGGGCGCGCCCUGGACCCUCGUGGCCAGGUGCUUGCCCCCCUGCUGUGUUCUCAGUGCCUAAAAUCCUCAAAUAUUCCAUAAAAAUCAUACUAAUUUUGCAGGGCAUUUGGAGAACUUUUAUUUUCGGGAUAUUUUUUAUUGCAUGGAUAAUUCAGAAAAUAGAAAGAUAAUACUAUUUUUGCUUUAUUUAUUCUAAAUAAUAGAAAGUAAAAAGAGGGUACAAAAGGUUGUGCCUUCUAGUUUCAUCCAUGUCAUGAUCAUAAAAAGGAAUCCACUAACAAGGUUGAUCAAGUCUUGUUAACAAACUCAUUCCAAAUAACAUGGAACCGGAGAAAUUUCGAAUAACACUGGAUUACCUCAACAGGGAUAUGAACAUCCCCAAUAAUAAGAAUAUCAUAUUUUUUCUUGACAAUAGGAAGAGGAAAUUCAAAACCUCCAGUAAUGAUAGUUAGAAUUUUUCCAAUAGAAUUGAUGCUAUGAACUUGAGGUUGUUUCCUCGGAAAGUGUACCGUAUGCUCAUUACCAUUAACAUGAAAAGUGGCAUUGCCUUUGUUGCAAUCAAUAACCGCCCCUGCAGUAUUCAAAAAGGGUCUACCAAGGAUAAUCAACAUACUAUCGUCCUCGGGAAUAUCAAGAAUAACAAAGUCCGUUAAGAUAGUGACGUUUGCAACUACAACAGGCACAUCCUCACAAAUACCGACAGGUAUAGGAGUUGAUUUAUCGGCCAUUUGCAAAGAUAUUUUAGUAGGUGUCAACUUAUUCAAUUCAAGUCUAUGAUAUAAAGAGAGAUGCAUAACACUAACACCGGCUCCAAGAUCACAUAAAGCAGUUUUAACAUAAUUUAUUUUAAUGGAGCAUGGUAUAGUUGGUACUCCCGGAUCUCCAAGUUUCUUAGGUAUUCCACCUUUAAAAGUAUAAUUAGCAAGCAUGGUGGAAAUUUCAGCUUCCUGUAUCUUUCUUUUAUUUGUAAUAAUAUCCUUCAUGUAUUUAGCAUAAGGAUUUACUUUGAGCAUAUCAGUUAAGCACAUACGUAAGAAGAUAAGUCUAAUUAUUUCAGCAAAGCGCUCAAAAUCCUCAUCAUCCUUUUUCUUGGAUGGCUUAGGAGGAAAAGGCAUGGGUUUCUGAACCCAUGGUUCUCUUUUUACCGUGCUUCCUAGCAACAAAGUCUCUCUUAUCAUAACGUUGAUUCUUUGAUUGUGGGUUAUCAAGAUCAACAACAGGUUCAAUCUCUACAUCAUUAGUAUUGCUAGGUUGAGCAUCAACAUUAACAUUAUCACUAGGUUCAUGUUCAUCACCAGAUUGUGUUUUAGCAUCAGAAAUAGAAAUAUCAUUGGGAUUCUCAGGUGUGUCUACAACGGGUUCACUAGAAGCAUGCAAAGUCCUAUCAUUUUUCUUUUUCUUCUUUUUAGAAGAACUAGGUGCAUCUACAUUAUUUCUCUGAGAAUCCUGCUCGAUUCUCUUAGGGUGGCCUUCAGGAUACAAAGGUUCCUGAGUCAUUUUACCAGUUCUAGUAGCCACUCUAACAGCAAAAUCAUGUUUAUUAUUUAAAUCAUCGAGUAAAUCACUUUGAGCUUUAAGUACUUGUUCUACUUGAGUAGUAACCGUUGAAGCAUAUUUGCUAAUGAGUUUAAGUUCACCUUUAACUCUAGCCAUAUAAUCACUCAAGCGUCCAAUCAUGAAAGCAUUACUCCUUAAUUCUCUACCAACAUAGGCAUUGAAACUUUCUUGUCUAGCCAUAAAGUCAUCAAAUUCAUCUAAACAUUGGCUAGGCAAUUUAGUAGACAGGAUUUCAACCUUAUCAUACCUAUAGAGAGAAUUUACCUUUACUACCUGUGUCGGGUUAUCAAGACCGUGUGUUUCUUCAAUAGGUGGUAUAUUAAGACCAUGUAUUUCUUCAAUAGGAGGUAAAUUCUUAACAUCUUCGGCUUUAAUACCUUUUUCUUUCAUAGAUUUCUUUGCCUCUUGAAUAUCUUCAGUACUGAGAAAUAGAACACCCAUCUUCUUCGGAGUUGGUUUAGUAAUAGGCUCAGGAGUUGGCUCAAUUGGCUCAGGAAUUGGCUCAGGAAGAUUCCAAUUAUUUUCAUUAGUCAACAUAUUAUUCAAUAGUAAUUUAGCUUGGUCAACUGUUCUUUCCCUGAAAACACAACCAGCACAACUAUCCAAGUGGUCCUUGGAAGCAUCUGUUAGUCCAUUAUAAAAGAUAUCAAGUAUUUCAUUUUUCUUAAGAGGAUGAUCAGGAAAAGCAUUAAGUAAUUGGAGAAGCCUCCUCCAAGCUUGUGGGAGACUCUCUUCUUCGAUUUGCACAACAUUAUAUAUUUCCCUCAAGGCAGCUUGUUUCUUAUGAGCAGGGAAAUAUUUAGCAGAGAAGUAAUAAAUCAUAUCCUGGGGACUACGCACACAACCAGGAUCAAAAGAAUUAAACCAAGUUUUAGCAUCACCCUUUAAUGAGAAUGGAAAUAUCUUAAGGAUAUAAUAAUAGCGGGAUUUCUCAUCAUUAGUGAACAGGGUGGCUAUAUCAUUCAACUUAGUAAGAUGUGCCAAAACAGUUUCAGAUUCAUUGCCAUAAAAAGGAUCAGAUUCAACCAAAGUAAUUAUUACAGGAUCAACGGAGAAUUCAUAAUCCUUAUCAGUAACAAAGAUAGGUGAAGUAGCAAAAGCAGGGUCAUAUUUCAUUCUAGCAUUCAGAGUUUGCUGUUUCCAUUUAGCUAAUAACUUCUUAAGAUCAGAUCUAUCAUUGCAAGCAGGAAUAGCUCUAGUAGCUUUUUCAUCCAUAACAUAACCCUUAGGAACAACAGGCAAUUCAUAUUUAGGGGGAGAACCUUCAUCAUCACUAUCUUCAAUAAUAUCAUCUUCAAUAGUUUCAUUCUCUCUACCCCUAGCAAGUUGUUCACCAAGAAAUUCACCUAAUGGCAAAGUAGUAUCAAGCAUAGAACUAGUUUCAUCAUAAGUAUCAUGCAUAGUAGAAGUGGCAUCAUCAAUAACAUGCGACAUAUCAGAAUUCAUACCAGUACAAGGUUUAGGGGUCGCAAGCUUACUCAAAACGGAAGAAGAAUCUAGUGCAGAGCUAGAUGGCAGUUCCUUACCUCCCCUCGUAGUUGAGGGAAAAAUCUUAGUUCUUUCGUCUUUCAAGUUCUUCAUAGUGAUCAGCAGAUAUAAAUCCCAAGUGACUCAAAGAAUAGAGCUAUGCUCCCCGGCAACGGCGCCAGAAAAUAGUCUUGAUAACCCACAAGUAUAGGGGAUUGCAACAGUUUUCGAGGGUAGAGUAUUCAACCCAAAUUUAUUGAUUCGACACAAGGGGAGCCAAAGAAUAUUCUCAAGUAUUAGUAGUUGAGUUGUCAAUUCAACCACACCUGGAUAACUUAGUAUCUGCAGCAAAAUACUAGUACCAAAGUAGUAUGAUAGUAAAGGUAACACUGGUAAAAGUUACGAUAGUAGUUUUGUAGCAAUUGUAACAGUAGCAACGGUAAAGUAAAUAAGUGAAGCACAAUAUGUGAAAAGCUCGUAAGCAUUGGAUCAGUGAUGGGUAAUUAUGUUGGAUGCGAUUCCUCAUGUAAUAGUUAUAACAUAAGGUGACACAGAACUAGCUCCAAUUCAUCAAUGUAAUGUAGGCAGGUAUUCCAGAUAUAGUCAUACAUGCUUAUGGAAAAGAACUUGCAUGACAUCUUUUGUCCUACCCUCAUAUUUUGUCCUACCCUCCCGUGGCAGGGGGGUCCUAAUGGAAACUAAGGGAUAUUAAGGACUCCUUUUAAUAGAGUACCGGACCAAGCAUUAGCACUUAGUGAAUACAUGAACUCCUCAAACUAUGGUCAUCACCGAGAAGUAUCCCUAUUAUUAUCACUUUGGGGUUGUCAGAUCAUAACACAUACUAGGUGACUAUAGACUUGCAAGAUAGGAUCAAGAACUCACAUAUAUUCAUGAAAACAUAAUAGUUUCAGAUCUGAAAUCAUGGCACUCAGGCCCUAGUGACAAGCAUUAAGCAUAUCAAAGACAUAGCAACAUCAAUCUCAGAACAUAGUGGAUACUAGGGAUCAAACCCUAACAAAACUAACUUGAUUACAUGGUAAAUCUCAUCCAACCCAUCACCGUCCAGCAAGCCUACGAUGGAAUUACUCACGCACGGCGGUGAGCAUCAUGAAAUUGGUGAUGGAGGAAGGUUGAUGAUGACGACGGCGACGAAUCCCCAUCUCUGGAGCCCCGAACGGACUCUAGAUCAGCCCUCCCGAGAGAGAUUAGAGCUUGGUGGCGGCUCCGUAUCAUAAAACGCGAUGAAACUUCCUCUCGAUUUUUUUCUCCGCGAAAGCAAAUAUAUAGAGUUGGAGUUGAGGUCGGUGGCCAUCCAGGGGGCCCACAAGGCAGGGGCGCGCCCAGGGGGAGGGGGCGCGCCCAGGGGGAGGGGGCGCGCCCCCCACCCUCGCGAACAGGUUGUGGGCCCCCUGGCCUUGAUUCUUUCGCCAGUAUUUUUAUAUUUUCCAAAAUUAAUAUCUGUGGAUUUUUAGGUCAUUCCAAGAACUUUUGUUUCUGCACAAAAACAACACCAUGGCAGUUCUGCUGAAAACAUCGUCAGUCCGGGUUAGUUUCCAUUCAAAUCAUGCAAGUUAGAGUCCAAAACAAGGGCAAAAGUGUUUGGAAAAGUAGAUACGAUGGAGACGUAUCAGAGAUCUGUUUUUAGGCAGGUUUUAAAAGGCCACGUGAUGCUACAGACUCAGCCAAGUUAGUAUCAGAGGCAGCGGUUGCCUUUAGAUGUCAUGUACGUACCCUCUCAACAUGGAUUCAGUACAAGAAUGACAAAGACGAAACCCAGUUCAACACCUCCUAGACCAUUUAUCUGUAAGUAUGGUUAUGUAUGGAAACUAGUAAUAUUGUCUUGCUCUGUCCCAUACUUUCUAGGUUGCUGAUAAUGAGACUCCCAUAAUUUUCAAUAGAUGAGGUUCAAGUUGGAUAGCCAAGAUUAUGCAACCAGACAAGCUUGCACCCAUGUUUUCAAGUCUGCUCUACGACAGUAUCGGUAUAACUUGAGGAAAACUCAAUUUUAAGGCAAGGCUAAUAGUGAACUUACCCAAACAUCUCCAGUGGAAAAUAUAUCGGAUGAAGACUUGAGAGGCCUCGUUAAUCACUGCUCUGAUCCGAAGUAUCAGGUACAUUAUAUAUAUAUAUAUAUAUAUAUAUAUAUAUAUAUAUAUGAUCAGAUCACAUAUUGAAGUUCUAUUUACGCAUGUGCACACAAAUCUAUUUUCUUGUAGGGGAACUGUUCAAAGAACAAGGCCAACCGUACAAAAGUGAAAUUCUAACAGACGACAGGAACUCGUAGCUAUAUUGCACACUGCGAGGCUCUUGUAAUUAGCUGUUGUUUCACUCUUUUCACUGUACCAUAUUAUCAGAUCUAUAUUGACUUAUUCCAAAUGCAGAGGAAAGCCCGCAAGGACCAAAAAGUACCUGAACCAAAUGCUGUGGAAAUCUUCAAGGACUGUGACACCAGCAAGAAGAAGGGCAUGACUACACCAGUCAAAGUCGCUGUUGUAAGUCCUUCAUCCCCAUGCCUUUUACCUACUACUUACUCUGUCUUGUGCGUUGAACUACAUGGUUUGCAGCCAAAUGUCUGUUACUCUUGUCAAUUUUAUACACAAUUGCCUUAGCGUAUCAUUGCACCUUACAAGGUUUAAAAGAGAGGAGUGAUGUUCCUUUGACCUUGACCUAUAAUCUAGUUCCGUGCUGGACUUGCCCACACAACGUUACAAUUUCAUGUUUGUCUGUUCUCAGCUGUUUUGUGAUAUGAAUGAUGUCAUACUAUGCUUACCGUGUUGUAAACUUCGUCUCUUUAUCCUUAGCCCUCAAUAUUAUGUGAAGAAAUAGACAAUACAUUAGUGAUGGUACAAGGUCAUAUGUUUGGAACAUGGUUUUAUUAUGUACUUUGCAAUAAAAUACAACUAAUAUUUUACAUGGGUUCACUAGAAUAAGUUCUAUAUAUAGACCAAAGAUAUUUUGUUUGGUUUUGCUGCCUCCUUAAUAUCUUCUGUUCUGGUACUACUAAUGUAAAAACUCAACUUUUCAGCAAGCUAUGGAAAAAAUGGUGGAACCGCCACCUUUUGAAGGUGGUGAGGCAACUAUAACCGCAAUGUCAGCUCUUGUUGCAGUGGGUCAGUACCUGUCCACUAACAGUGCCAAAAGCACGUUCCUACGCAAUACUGGGUUGGUUGUUAAGGCAAUCUCGUCCAAACUACCUCAUGAUCAAGAUAUGCAUGUCACAUCCCUAGUUCUGGUAUGCUCUAGGCUAGCCCUUCAUGUGUGCAUCAUGUUUAAAAUUCUCAGAAACUUGAAAUGGGGAUGUCCAAACCCUAGUACCAAAUGGAAUUCAAUUAGGUUCAACCUAAAAAUAAUUUCAGUGAAUCCAAAUGGCUUUCAAAAAUGUUCAUCAUUUCUGGAUAAUGCUAGAAACCAUAACCAGUGGUGUUGCACAUUUUUCCAUGACAUAUUUGGUCACUGAAUUAAAUCAUACAGUAUUUGUAAUUGGGCAUUUAAAUGGUAUAUAUUAUUUUAAGUGCUCAAUUAAUUCUGAACUUAAGUGUGGGCUGUUAGGAGUAAUCCCAACAGAGCCCACAAUUAUUUGCAGGAUUUUUGGAAACGUUUUACCAUUUUUAAUAAAGCCCAAUAUUUACAGAAAAAUAGAAAAUAGGAAAUAAAACAGAGCAACCUUACCUGGACUUACCUUGAGGCUCACCAGGGAUACCAGCCCACCUGUGCGGCCCGUUACUGUGCAGCCCAGCUGCCAGUCAUCUUCCUCCCCCUCGCCCCGAAGCAGCUGCAUGCUGGACGCACGCGCGUCAACGCCGGCCACCUCCUCCUUCGCGCUGGAGGCCUCUCCUUCGUCCUAAUCCGCGUCUGGCGACGCCACGCACCCUUCUGGACCUCUCUCACUCUCUCCCGUGCUUCUCCCCUCCUCUGCUCUCUUUCCCUCUCGCGCCCGAGCGCAACCACCGCCGCCGCUCGUAGUUGCCGCGGCCACCGCUUCCUCCUUGCCCGUCUGGCGUGCCCGAGAGCUCCACCUCCACCUUCUACGCCUCCUCGACGAGCCAAGCAACCGGGGACGCGCCGUAUCGCCGCCAUCAACAUCAUCUUCAACCUCGGGCACCGCCGAUCGCCGUUGCCGAUACGUCGUCCACAACCCGUCCCCGAGCCCAAUGAGACCGCCGACGAACUCGCUGUGAGCUCCACUCCGUUUCCUCUCCUUCGUUUUGCUCGUUCCCGUGCCGUAGCACCCUCGCCCACAUUCCCGAGCACCGCCGUCCACCAUGGCUGCGUAGCUCUCCUGACCCGAGCCCCUCUGCUCGAACCCGUGGCACCAGCGUGCUUCUGGUGGCCCGCGGAUGCCACCUAGCCCAUCAGCUUCUCCCCUAGUGCACCGCAGCCUCGUCCCCGAGUGCGCCCAAACUCUGGUCGCCUCCUCGCUCGCCACCGCCGACGCCACAGCCCAUCACAGCUCCUCUCGCUUGCCCCUAUGGAUGCGCGCGAACUCGACGAACCCGUAGAAACAAACGGCGAGGCAAAUGGUUGCCCGUAGCUCGAUUCCGAUGAACUUCGUCGUCGGAUGUGCUCGCCGGCGCCCAACUCCGGUGAGGUGACAUGGCGUCAUUAGCCUGAAGCUAAUUACCACGUUAAUCUCGCCCUCUGUCACUGACAGACCGGCCCCACCACCCUAAUUAACCAUGGAGUAAACCCUAUUUAGUUUAAGUUAAUCAGAGUGGCCCCACGCGUCGGCGUUGACCUCGCUGACGUCUCUGUUGACCGAGCCCACCUGUCAGCGUCACUAACCAGCCCCAAUCACUGACCAGUGGACCCCACUGGUCAGGUUUGACCUGGAGGCGCCUAGUUGACCUGCUGACAUCAGGGUGAUGUCAUGCUGACGCAAUAUGUAUUUUAUGGAUUUAUUUUAUUCCAGGAAAUUCCAGAAAAUGCCCUAAACUUCUAAAAAAUCAUAUAAAAAUAAUCGUAGCUCAGAAUGAAAUAAGUUAUAUAUGAAAAAUGAUCAGAAAAAUCCAAUUUAUCCAUCUGUACUGGUUUCAUGCAUGUUUAAACAACUUAACAUUGCUGUUUACAUCAAAACAUGAUAAUGCACUACUUAAUUUCAUAAUUUGAAUUUGGGAUUGAACCUUUGGUUCAAAAUGACCCAAACACAUCUGGUUGUAGUUGCAUUAGGCCAAAACACUCAUAUUGCCAUGUCAUGAUCAUGCAUCAUAUUGUGCAUUGCAUUGAUUGUGUUUCCUUCUCUGUUGUCGGUAUUUGUCCCCUCUCGAUAGACAUGAUACCCACGAUGAGUUCGAUGACACCAAUGAAGAAUUAUACUAUCUUCAGAAGAGCCAGGCAAGCAAAACCCCCUUGUUCAUUCCGAUACAAUCCCACUCUCUCGCUCCUGCUCUAUUUUACUGCAUUAGGACAACAACGAUACAACUGUUACUUGUUGCGGUAGUUGAACCCCUUUAUCCUCUGCAUGACCUGUCAUUGCCACAGUAAAUAGAUGAAACCCACUAGCAUGAGUAGGAGUUGUUUGAGCCCUGAUGUGCCUACUCAUUCAUGCUUGUUUGUCGUGCCUGCUAUUGCUUAGAGUUGUGUCAGGUCUGAUUCAUCGGGGAUGAAUCGGAGGUGUGUGAACAUGUCCUACUGUUGAGAGCUAAGUGUGUGAACACGAUUUGGUAAAGGUAGCGGUGAGAGGCCAUGUAGGAGUACAUGGUGGGUUGUCUCAUUGCAGCCGUCCUCAGGAACUGAGUUCUAUGUUUGUGAUCCAUGAAAAGUUACUACCACAUAUUGGGUUCUGGUAACUCGACCCCUCUCGGCUUCUUAAUCACCCUUGUUCUCUGUCCAGGAGUUGCAACUAGUUUCUGGUGUUUGUAGGUAGUGUUAGUAGUCUACCAGGUGGCACCCGGUACAGGUGGGCUUGGGACAGACUAGGCACCGUGGCACGGUGUACCAAGCGUAGAUCUACCCGUCGAGGUGGGCUUGGGAACCCUGCUCACAUCGUUUGGGGCCGUGAGCGACACCCCGGCCAGAUCUCCUUGCGGAUGGAACCCGAAUAGGCGAUAAACCUGGACGAGAGACUUGCGUGGUUAGUCAGGUCGUGGCCGACUCCCUCGCCCGGCUUCCGCUUGAAGGUUGCCGAGGUACAUGACAUGUACAUGGCGAUAAGUGGCGAGAGCGUGUGUGAAGAAGUACACCCCUGCAGGGUUAUCAUUAUCUAUUCGAAUAGCCGGAUUCCUCGGAUAUGGAAACUUGGACCCCUUGCAUAGUUCAUAGACAAGUGAAAGUGGAUACCCUAAAAUGCGCAAGAUAAGCGUGAGUGCUAUGGAUGGCGUUCUCGUAGGGAGACAGGAGCAGAUCCAUAGUGGUGUAUUGAUAUGGUGAAUAUGUGGACUCGUGUGUGCCACCUCAAAAGAGUUACUUGCAGUUGUAGUUCAGGAUAGCCACCGAGUCAAAGCUGGCUUGCUGCAGUUAAACCCCACCAUCCCCUUGUUGAUAAUGAUGCAUAUGUAGAUAGUUCUGAUGUAGGUCUUGCUGGGUACAUUUGUACUCACAUUUGCCUAUUUUACGUUUUUGCAGAGAGACUUCAGUCUCGCUAGUAGUUCCGCAUGGACUUCGACAUUUAGCUUGUUACCUCAGCUACGAUCUUGUGCCCUCGACAGGAUCUAGUGGAUAGUCAGGCUUCUCAGCCUUGUUCUUUUCUAGAUGUCUGUACUCAGACAUGUUAAGCUUCCGCAUGUGCUUUGACUUGUAUGCUAUGAUUGUUGGGUCAUGAGACCCAUGUUUGUAAUAUCUCGCUCCUCGGAGCCUAUUGAAUAAAAUACUUGAGUUGUAGAGUCAUGUUGUGAUGUCAUGUUGUAUUUGCACAUAUCGAGCAUAUUGUGUGUAUGUUAUUGAAAUGCUUGGUAUGUGUGGGAUCUGACUAUCUAGUUGUUUAUCCUUAGUAGCCUCUCUUACCGGGAAAUGUCUCCUAGUGCUUCCACUGAGCCGUGGUAGCUUGCUACUGCUCCGGAACAUUUAGGCUGGCCGGCAUAUGUCCUUCUUCGUUCCUGUGUCUGUCCCUUCAGGGAAAUGUCACGCGAUGAAUACCGGAGUCAUGUUAGCCCGCUAUAGCCCGGUUUACCGGAGUCCUCCUAGCCCAGUGCUACAGCCUGGAUUCACUCGCUAAUGACCGACACGUUCGAUGCUGGGUCAUGGAUGCCUGUCCCUGUAAGUUUGUGCCACUUUGGGUUUACGACUAGCCAUGUCAGCCCGGGCUCCUUAUCAUAUGGAUGCUAGCGACACUAUCAUAUACGUGUGCCAAAAGGCACAAACAGUCCCGGGCAAAGGUAAGGCGACACCCGUGGGAAUACCGUGCGUGAGGCCGCAAAGUGAUCUGAGGUGUUACAUGCUAGAUCGAUGUGGCAUUGAGUCGGGGUCCUGACAAUGCAAGCUCAAAACAAUGUUGUAUCUAUGCUCGAGACACAAGUCCAUUCCCUAACAGAGACCCUUUGUGAAACAAGGAGAGACAUUGUUUGAUGUCGUCAAGAUAUGCAUGGUUUUGAAACCAGACUAUCAGACAUUUGCUAUGUUGUUCAGGAGCCUAGGAGAAAUGAAGGCGAUGGUUAUGGUGCUCCAUCGGACAAUACAACAUGAAAAUGUAACAGUGAGGUUAAAUGAAUUGAGCUUCUGAACUUCUGGUGGUGCAUUUAUCUACUAGACUAUUAACUUUUAUGCCAACCUUCCUUUUGUUUUAUAGUUGUAAUUUGUUUUGGUGCGAUACAAAUUUAUUUAUUAACAUGCAGCCACCGGCUAAAGAAAACAGCAAGCCAUUUUUGUAUAGUGUAGGGUGUUCCCUAUAUUUGCACUGGUGGUGAUCUUUGAUGCCGAGUGGAUGUAAUCUGUGCAAUCGCCUUAAUUGCCUAGCAUUAGUUUCGGGCUUAUUUAUUUCCAAGUCUUCUUUUCCCUUGUUUGCUAGUGGCCGUUGUCGGUGGCAAAAACCGAUGGAUCUCGGGUAGGGGGGUCCCGAACUGUGCGUCUAAGGCUAAUGGUAACAAGAGGCGGGGGACACAAUGUUUACCCAGGUUUGGGCCCUCUCUAUGGAGGUAAUACCCUACUUCCUGCUUGAUUGAUCUUGAUUAUAUGAGUAUUACAAGAGUUGAUCUACCACGAGAUCAUAGAGGCUAAACCCUAGAAGCUAGCCUAUGAUUAUGAUUGUUCUUGUCCUAGGGACUAUACCCUCCGGUUUAUAUAGACACAGGAGGGGGCUAGGGUUACAUAGUGUCGGUUACAGAGAAGGAAAUCUGCAUAUCCGUAUCGCCAAGCUUGCCUUCCACGCAAAGGAGAGUCCCACCCGAACACGGGAUGAAGUCUUCAAUCUUGUAUCUACAUAGUCCAACAGUCCGGCACAAGUACAUAGUCCGGCUAUUCGAGGACCCCUUAAUCCAGGACUCCAUCAGCCGCAACAACCAUGGGCCAUAUACGGAACAUGGUAACCUCGACCCUGCUACGGGCCGUAGGAUCCAUGAGUCUCCUACGGGUCGUUGAUAAAUGGACCUCCAACAGGGCCAUAGAAUCGGUGGGCCUCGGGCCGUCGGAUAAAUGGGUCUACAUGGGCCAUAAACGGGCGUAAUUGGUAUCAGCCCAGCACGGUAACGGGCCGUUAAAAGGCUGGAGAACAGCAAAGGCUUAAUUCUGUCACAGGCAUAAUGGGUCAUUAAUGGGCCGGAAUAUAGGACAGGCUAGAAACGGCGCAACGGGUUAACAUGCCAGAAAUGGGCUGACUCUUGCCACUGGCCAAAUUUGGCCCAUUAGGGGAACAUGCCAGUAAUGGGCCGAAAGUAAUCGAGGGCCGAAAAGGAGCCCAAGAACGUAUUGGCCAUCAAUAAGCCGAAAGCUAACAUGGGCUGGAAACGGGCCAUGUGAAUCACGGGUCGUUAACGGGUACAAAGAAUUUAAUGUUCAUAUGGGCUAGAGUCACCGUGGGCCUCUAAAGGGCCUAAAGAUACGAAGGCCUCAAAUGGGCCGAAAGACGUCGUGGGCCAUACAUGGGUCGAAAGUGAAACGGGCUAGUGUUAUAUUCGACGGCCCACGUGACGUUGUUGGGCCGAUUUCCGUUAGGCCCUAAUGGGUCGUGAGUUACCGGCUCGUAAAAUGGGCUAUUUGCAAAGAGACCGUUAACAUGCUUUUCAUGGGCCAGCCCGCUAACUUUUGACCAAGUCAAAUGGGCCGGCUUUGUAAGCUAAAUGGGCCAGUGGUGGGUUGUCGCACGUGUCGACAUAUCAUAGGCGCGUAUCUAACACACUAACGAGCCGACACGUGUUUCAUCCGGCCAAUCAGAAUUUUACACAUGGAAAUUUCCCAAUUGUCUGGGCUGUUAACGGGUUAUCGGAUCCAAAACCCAACCCGAUAGCUUAACGGCAUUCCUUUAUGGUGGAUGCCAUGUGUCGGUCACCCUUGACAAAAGCACUUCAGUGACGCGCGAUUUAUCGUCAUGGAAGUGGAUACUUCCGUGAUGAUAAUUUUGGUAAUGUUAUGGAACACUUCUAUGACAGCAGAGGUAUGACUAUCUUGAUUCAGUCAUAAAAUCAUCAUGGAUGUACAUGCAUGACAAAAAAUGCGACCUACUGUGACAAACACGUAUCAUCACGGAAGUGUAUUUUUUGUAGUGUCGCGUGUGUCGUACGGACACUAGCACCCACCCCCUCCCCCCAAAAAAGAACAAUGACAAAAAGAGUUCGCGCUUCCAUGUUUCGGACUAGAAUAUCUGGCGACCCCUGUUUCAGCCCUGCAAAAUCUCCCUUCUCCCCCAUCCCCUUCCGCGCCCAGAGCUCUCAAAUCCCUAAUUCACCGCCAACCCAAGCAAAAUUUGAAUCACCCUUCAUCUUGUCUCUUUCCCCACCUCUGUGCCGGACGACGAAGACAAUGGUCGCGCUUCACCACUACACCGGAGCUACCUCAUCUACCCCCUCGUCCACCGCACUGGGUGGUCCACCCACAACAUUGGCCGCUACAGCCGAGGUGCCUCAUAGAAACUGACUUCCACCACAUCAGGUGUGCUUUACCGACGCCGUCUCCCACCUCAUUGGGGCUACUUUACCGAGAACAUCAUUGCACCUCCACCCCCUGACACCGUUGGUGGUUCACCAACGGCCUCGUCCACAGCAUCAUAGUGCUCCAUUGCUGCUCGAGAUCUGCAUCCAUACGCGGCCAGCUAACACCAGCGCAUCACCCUCAACGGCUCUUAAGUGACCCGCACUCUAGCUAGGCGAGCAUGCCCAAACACCGGCCUGGACUAGGUAUCCACAUAUCACUCCCUUGAGCACUAUUCCAACAAUGUUUGCAUAUCCUUUUACUGCUCUCUUAGCUUACACGCAUAUGCAACUCUAACUUUAACUCUUAUUUCUUCUGGAGAUUUCAUCUGAAACAAGCAAAACCAUUUUUAGCGAAGCAUGACGGCGCUAUGGUACGUCCAUUUUGCAUCGUGCUUUUAUACCGAUAUUUAUUGCAUUAUGGGUUGUUAUUACACGUUAUGUGACAAUACUUAUGCCUAUUCUCCCUUAUUUACAAGGUUUACAUGAAGAGGGAGAGUGCCGGCAGCUGGAGUUCUGGGCUGGAAAAGGACCAAAUAUUAGAGACCUAUUCUGCACAACUCCAAAAGUCCUGAAACUCCACGGAAGCUAUUUUUGGAAUUAAUAAAAAAAUACUGAGCGAAGAAAGUACCAGAGGUGGGCCACCCACCGUCCACGAGGGUAGGGGGCACGCCCUAACCCCCUGGGCGUGCCCCCUGCCUCGUGGGCCCCCUGGUAGACCUUCGGCGGCCAUCUUAUGUUAUAUGAAGUCUUUUACCCUGAAAAAAAUCAUAAGAAAGCUUUCGGGACGAAACACCGCCGCCACGAGGCGGAACCUUGGCGGAACCAAUCUAGGGCUCUGGCGGAGCUAUUCUGCUGGGGAAACAUCCCUUCGGGAGGGGGAAAUCAUCACCGUCGAUCCUCUCAUCGGGAGGGGGUUAAUCUCCAUCAACAUCUUCACCAGCACCAUCUCCUCUCAAACCCUAGUUCAUCUCUUGUAUCCGAUCUUUGUCCCAAAUCCUCAGAUUGGUACCUGUGGGUUGCUAGUAGUGUUGAUUAGUCCUUGUAGUUGAUGCUAGUUGGUUUAUUUGGUGGAAGACCAUAUGUUCAGAUCCUUUAUGCAUAUUAAUACCCUUUGAUUAUGAACAUGAAUAUGAUUUGUGAGUAGUUGCGUUUGUUCCUAAGGACAUGGGGGAAGUCUUGCUAUAAGUAGUCAAGUGAAUUUGGUAUUCGUUCGAUAUUUUGAUGAGAUGUAUGUUGUCUUGCCUCUAGUGGUGUUAUGUGAAUGUCGACUACAUGACACUUCACCAUCGUUUGUGCCUAGAGGAAGGCAUUGGGAAGUAAUAAGUAGAUCAUGGGUUGGUAGAGUGACAGAAGCUUAAACCCUAGUUUAUGCGUUGCUUCGUAAGGGGCUGAUUUGGAUCCAUAUGUUUCAUUCUAUGGUUAGGUUUACCUUAAUACUUAUUUUGUAGUUGCGAAUGCUUGCAAUAGGGAUUAAUCAUAAGUGGGAUGCUUGUCCAAGCAAGUGAAGUACCCAAGCACUGGUCCACCCACAUAUCAAAUUAUCAAAGUAAUGAACGCGAAUCAUAUGAGUGUGAUGAAAACUAGCUUGGUGAUAAUUCCCAUGUGUCCUCGAGAGCGUUUUCCUUCGUAUAAGAAUUUGUCCAGGCUUGUCCUUUGCUACAAAAAGGAUUGGGCCACCUUGCUGCACCUUAUUUACUUUCAUUACUUGUUACCCGUUACGAAUUACCUUAUCACAAAACUAUCUGUUACCGAUAAUUUCAGUGCUUGAAGAGAAUACCUUACUGAAAACCGCUUGUCAUUUCCUUCUGCUCCUCGUUGGUUCGACACUCUUACUUAUCAAAAGGAGCAUGGUAGAUCCCCUACACUUGUGGGUCAUCAAGACUCUUUUCUGGCGCCGUUGCCGGGGAGUGAAGCACCUUUGGUAAGUGGAACUUGGUAAGGAAACUUUUAUAUAGUGUGCUGAAAUUUACUGUCACUUGUUACUAUGGAAAGUAAUCCUUUGAGGGGCUUGUUGGGGUAUCUUCACCCCGACCAGUAGAGCAAAGAGUUGCUCCUCAACCUACCGGACCUACUGAAAAUGUUUACUUUGAAAUUCCUUUGGGUAUGAUAGAGAAACUGCUAGCUAAUCCUUUUACAGGAGAUGUAACAUUGCAUCCCGAUUUGCACCUAAUCUAUGUGGAUGAAGUUUGUGGAUUAUUUAAGCUUGCAGGUAUGCCCGAGGAUGUUAUAAAGAAGAAGGUCUUCCCUUUAUCUUUGAAUGGAGAGGCAUUGACAUGGUUUAGGCUAUGUGAUGAUAUGGGAUCAUGGAACUACAAUCGGUUGAAAUUGGAAUUUCAUUAGAAGUUUUAUCCUAUGCAUCUUGUUCAUCGUGAUCGUAAUUAUAUAUAUAAUUUUUGGCCUUGCUAAGGAGAAAGCAUCGCUCAAGCUUGGGGGAGGCUUAAGUCAAUGUUAUAUUCAUGCCCCAAUCAUGAGCUCUCAAGAGAAAUGAUUAUUCGAAAUUUUUAUGCUCGGCUUUCUCUCAACAAUCGCUCCAUGCUCGAUACUUCUUGUACUGGUUCUUUUAUGUUGAAGACUAUUGAAUUCAGAUGGGAUUUAUUGGAAAGAAUUAAAUGCAACUCUGAAGAUUGGGAUCUCGACGAAAGUAAGGAGUCAGGUAUAACACCUAAGUUUGAUUGUGUUAAAUCUUUUAUGGAUACCGAUGCUCUUCGUGGAUUUAGCACUAAAUAUGGACUUGACACUGAGAUAGUAGCUUCUUUCUGCGAAUCAUUUGCUACUCAUGUUGACCUCCCUAAUGAGAAGUGGUUUAAAUAUAAUCCUCCCGUUGAAGUAAAAGUAGUUGCACCUAUUAAAGUUGAAGAAAAGACUAUCACUUAUAAUGAUCCUAUUGUUCCUACUACUUAUAUUGAGAAACCACCUUCCCUUGUUAGGAUAAGGAGUGCUAAAGCUUCAACUGUGGUUCGUAAGAGUAAUACUAGAACACCUACGCCCCCUAAGCAAAUUAAAGUUGAACCUAGUAUUGCUAUGGUUAUAGAUCUCUUGGCUGAUAAUGUUGAUGGGCAUGUUAUUUACUUCUGUGAUGAAGCUGCUAGAAUUGCUAGACCAGAUACUAAGAAUAAACAUAGACUUGUUGUAGGCAUGCAUGUUAUUUCUGUUAAAAUAGGAGAUCAUUGUUAUCAUGGCUUAUGUGAUAUGGAUGCUAGUGCAAGUGCAAUACCUCAUUCCAUAUACAAAGAAAUUAUGCAUGAUAUUGCACCUGCUGAGAUAGAAGAAAUUGGUCUUACAACUAAACUUGCCAAUAGAGAUAAUAUUUCACCAGUUGGGAUUGUUAGAGAUGUCGAAGUCUUGUGUGGGAAAGUUAAAUAUCCUGCUGAUUUUCUUGUUCUUGGUUCCCCACAAGAUAGCUUUUGUCCCAUCAUAUUUGGUAGACCCUUCUUGAAUACUGUUAAUGCUAAGAUAGAUUGCGAAAAGGAUAUUGUUACAAUUGGGUUAGGGGAUAUGUCUCAUGAGUUUAAUUUUGCUAAAUUUCAUAGACAACCCCAUGAUAAAGAAUUGCCUAGUAAGGAUGAAAUUAUUGGUCUUGCUUCUAUUGCCGUGCCUCCUAAUGAUCCUUUAGAACAAUAUUUGCUAGACCAUGAAAAUGAUAUGUUUAUGAAUGAAAGAAGGGAGAUAGAUGAAGUAUUCCUUCAACAGGGUCCUAUUCUGAAACACAACUUGCCUGUUGAAAUCCUAGGGGAUCCUCCUCCACCCAAGGUUGAUCCCGUGUUUGAGCUUAAACCACUACCAGAUACUCUUAAAUAUUCUUAUCUUGAUGAAAAGAAGAUAUAUCCUGUUAUUAUUAGUGCUAACCUUUCAGAGCAGGAAGAGGAAAAAUUAUGGAAAACUCUAAAGAAGCAACGUGCUGCUAUUGGAUAUACUCUUGAUGAUCUUAAGGGAAUUAGUCCCACUCUAUGCCAACACAAAAUAAAAUUGGAGAAAGACGCCAAACCAAUUAUUGAUCACCAACGACAAUUAAAUCCUAAAAUGAAAGAAGUGGUAAGAAAAGAAAUACUAAAGCUCCUGGAGGCAGGUAUAAUUUAUCCCAUUGCUGAUAGUCAGUGGGUAAGUCCUGUCCAUUGUGUCCCUAAGAAAGGAGGUAUUACUAUCGUUCCUAAUGAUAAAGAUGGAUUGAUCCAGCAAAGAAUUGUUACAGGUUAUAGAAUGGUAAUUGAUUUCCGCAAAUUAAAUAAAGCUACUAAAAAGGAUCAUUACCCUUUGCCUUUUAUUGAUCAAAUGCUAGAAAGAUUAUCCAAACAUACACAUUUUUGCUUUCUAGAUGGUUACUCUGGUUUCUCUCAAAUACUUGUGUCAAAAGAGGAUCAAGAAAAGACCACUUUUACUUGCCCUUUCGGUACUUUUGCUUAUAGACGUAUGCCUUUUGGUUUAUGUAAUGCACCUGCUACCUUUCAAAGAUGCAUGAUGGCUAUAUUCUCUGAUUUUUGUGAAAAGAUUGUUGUGGUUUUCAUGGAUGAUUUCUCCGUUUAUGGAUCUUCUUUUGAUGAUUACUUGAGAAACCUUGAUCGAGUUUUGCAGAGAUGUGAAGAAACUAGUCUUGUCUUGAAUUAGGAGAAGUGCCACUUUAUGGUUAAUGAAGACAUUGUCUUGGGGCAUAAAUUUUUUGAAAGAAGUAUUGAAGUUGAUAAAGCUAAAGUUGAUGCUAUUGAAAAGAUGUCGUGUCCUAAAGACAUUAAAGGUAUAAGAAGUUUCCUUGGUCGUGCCGGUUUUUAUAGGAGGUUCAUUAAGGACUUCUCUAAAAUCUCCAGGCCUCUGAAUAAUCUCUUACAAACAGAUAUUCCUUUUGUCUUCGAUGAUGAUUGUGUAGAAGCAUUCGAAAUACUUAAGAAAGCUUUGAUUUCUGCACCUAUUGUUCAGCCACCUGAUUGGAAUUUACCCUUUGAAAUUAUGUGUGAUGCUAGUGAUUAUGUUGUAGGUGUUGUUCUAGGACAAAGAGUUGAUAAGAAACUAAAUGUUAUUCAAUAUGCUAGUAAAACUCUAGACAGUUCCCGGAGAAAUUAUGCUACUACUGAAAAACAAUUUUUAGCGGUUGUAUUUGCCUGUGAUAAGUUCAGACCUUAUAUUGUUGAUUCUAAAGUUUGUUCACACUCAUCAUGCCGCUAUUAAAUGUCUUAUGGAAAAUAAAGAUGCAAAACCUAGACUCAUUAGAUGGGUUCUCUUGCUACAAGAAUUUGAUUUACAUAUUAUUGAUAGAAAGGGAGCUGAGAACCCCAUUGCAGACAACUUGUCUAGGCUAGAGAAUAUUCUUGAUGACCCACUGCCUAUGGAUGAUAGCUUCCCUGAUGAACAAUUAGCAGUCUUAAAUGCUUCUCGUACUGCUCCAUGGUAUGCCGAUUAUGCUAAUUACAUUGUUGCUAAAUUUAUACCACCUAGUUUCACAUACCAGCAAAAGAAAAAGUUUUUCUAUGAUUUAAGACAUUACUUCUGGGAUGACCCACACCUUUAUAAAGAGGGAGUAGAUGGUGUUAUUAGACGUUGUGUACCUGAGCAUGAACAGGAACAUAUCCGACGAAAGUGUCACUCUGAGGCUUAUGGAGGACACCACGCUGGAGAUAGAACUGCACAUAAGGUAUUGCAAUCCGGUUUUUAUUGGCCUACUCUCUUCAAGGAUGCCCGUAAGUUUUUCUUGUCUUGUGAUGAAUGUCAAAGAAUUAGUAAUAUUAGUGGACGUCAAGAAAUGCCUAUGAAUUAUUCUCUUGUUAUUGAACCAUUUGAUAUUUGGGGCUUUGAUUAUAUGGGACCGUUUCCUUCCUCUAAUGGGUAUACACAUAUUUUAGUUGCUGUUGAUUACAUUACUAAGUGGGUAGAAGCUAUUCCAACUAGUAGUGCUGAUUAUAAGACCUCUAUUAAGAUGCUUAAAGAAGUUUUUUUCCGAGGUUUGGAGUCCCUAGAUAUUUAAUGACUGAUGGUGGUUCACAUUUUAUUCAUGGUGCUUUUCGUAAAAUGCUUUCUAAGUAUGAUGUUAAUCAUAGAAUUGCAUCUCCAUAUCACCCACAGUCUAGUGGCCAAGUAGAACUGACUAAUAGAGAACUCAAAUUAAUUUUGCAAAAGACUGUUAAUAGAUCUAGAAAGAUGCAUUAUGGGCUUAUAGAACUGCAUAUAAAAAUCCUAUGGGUAUGGCUCCAUAUAAAACGGUUUAUGGAAACGCAUGUCACUUACCUCUUGAACUAGAACAUAAGGCAUAUUGGGCCAUUAAAGAGCUCAAUUAUGAUUUUAAACUUGCCGGUGAGAAGAGGUUAUUUGACAUUAGCUCACUUGAUGAAUGGCUAAUAUAGGUGAUUAUGUGUUGCUUUUCAACUCUCGUUUAAGAUUUUUUGCAGGAAAGCUCCUCUCUAAAUGGGAAGGUCCUUACAUUAUCGAGGAGGUCUAUCAUUCCGGUGCCAUAAAAAUCAACAACUUCGAAGGCACAAAUCCGAAGGUGGGGAACGGUCAAAGGAUCAAACAUUAUAUCUCAGGUAAUCCAAGAAAUGUUGAAACUAAUGUUAUUGAAACCGUGACCCCGGAGGAAUACAUAAGGGACACUUUCCAGAACAUUUCAGACUCCGAAAAGGAAUAGGUAUGUGGUACGGUAAGUAAACCGACUCCAAAACAAUUUUAAUGGCAAUUUUUCUCCGUUUUGGAAUAUUAAAGAAAAUAGGAAAAUAAGAAGUAGUCCGGGAAGGACACGAGGCAUCCACGAGGUUGGAGGGCACGCCCUACCCCCCUGGGUGCGCCCCCUGUCUUCUGGGCACCUCGUGUGCCCUCCAGACUCCAUUUUCUUGCACGAUACUUCUUUUGGUCGGUAAAAAUUCAUUAUAUAAUCUUCCGAAGGUUUUGACCAACGUAUCACGCAAAUAUCCUCUGUCUUUGUUUCGAGCUGUUUUUUGUCAGAUUUGUCAAGGUCAGGCAUCAUGUCGUCACCCUCCUCCAACAAUGAAGGCAACGAUGCUUGGCUAAUGAAUAUGGAGCUGAAGAGAGAAGAACCCGGGGAGAUAAAUAAGGAUGAGGGAUCAAGAAGGUCAUGGAGGAUCAAGCUCCGGCGGCAGAAGAAGAAGACAUCCUUCAACCUCAGCACAACCUCUUUACCCCAACUGAGAUUGAAGCUUUCAAGAUGAUGGAGUUAGCUCGCAUACAAAACAAGUAUCUCACACGUGAAAAUAUUUUGUUGAAGGAGCAUAUCGCCGCACUCAAGAGCAUUAUCCGCAAACUGGAGGAGCUCCUACGCUCGAUGUGCGACUAUCCAUCAUUACCACCACCUUCAUCACCUCCGAAAAAGGAGACAUAAUCACAUGAGUAUGGGCACUCCCCUUGGUAACUGACAAGCUUGGGGGAGGUGCCCCAGUAUCAUAUCACCAUCACACUCCUAUCUUUACCGUUUUUCUUAGUUCGAUCCUUUUAGUAAUAUCUUCAUCUAGUAGAAUAAAGUUUUGGUAUGAUUUAGUUUUGAGUUUUUCUUUUAUGAUUCCUCUAUGUAAUCGAGUCCAUGAGCUAUAUAUAAUAAAGAUUAGUGUUGAGUCAAGGGCUUGAUCAUCUCACUUUGAUCUUGAGGGAAUAAAAGAAAAAGAAAGAAUAAAAAGAAAUAAAAAGAUCAUAUUGAUCUUAUGGAGAGUAAUGACUUCACAUAUAAAGAGUAUGAUGAAUAAAAGUUGUUGAGAGUUGGCAAACAUAGUUUUGGUCAUCGUUGCAAUUAAUAGGAAGUAAUAAAGAAAGAGAGGUUUUCACAUAUAAAUAUACUAUCUUGGACAUCUUUCAUGAUUGUGAGCACUCAUUAAAAUAUGACAUGCUAAAGAGUUGAUGUUGGACAAGGAAGACAGCGUAAUGGGGUAUGUUUAUAUCCGAAAUAAAGUAUAUUGUCAUGGAUCAUCCAACAUGUUGAGCUUGCCUUUCCCCCUCAUGCUAGCCAAAUUCUUUGCACUAAGUAGAAAUACGACUUGUGCUUCCAAAUAUCCUUAAACCCAGUUUUGCCAUGAGAGUCCACCAUAUCUACCUAUGGAUUGAGUAAGAUCCUUCAAGUAUGUUGUCAUUGUUGUAUGCAAUAAAAAUUGCUCUCUAAAUAUGUAUGACUUAUUAGUGUGGAGAAAAUAAGCUUUAUACGAUCUUUUGAUAUGGAAGCAAUAAAAGCGACGGACUGCAUAAUAAAGGUCCAUAUCAUAAGUGGCAAUAUAAAGUGACGUUCUUUUGCAUUAAGAUUUCGUGCAUCCAACCAUAAAAGCACAUGACAACCUCUGCUUCCCUCUGCGAAGGGCCUAUCUUUUGUUCUUGUCUUAUACUUUAUGCAAGAGUCAUGGUGACCUUCACCUUUCCUUUUUACAUUUUAUCCUUUGGCAAGCACCUUGUGCUGGAAAGAUCCUAAUAUAUAUAUUCAAUUGGAUGUAAGUUAGCAUGAACUAUUAUUGUUGACAUUACCCUUGAGGUAAAAGGUUGGGAGGCAACAUUAUAAGCCCCUAUCUUUCUCUGUGUCCGAUUAAAACUCCACACCCAUAAGUAUUGCAUGAGUGUCAGCACUUAUGAAAGACUAAAUGAUAGUUGACUAUGUGGACUUGAUAAAAAGCUCUUAUAUUGACGCUUUCCGAUGUUAUGAUAAAUUGCAAUUGCUUCAGUGACUGAUAUCAUAGUUUGUUGGUUCUCAAUGAAAUCUCUAAUUCAUACUUGACAUUGUGGAUAGAUUAUUACUUGAGCAUAAGAAAUCAUAUGACAAUAUAUAUAUAUAUAUAUAUAUGUGUGUGUGUGUGUGUGUGUAUGUGUCUGUUGCUGUUAUAAGAAUGAUCAUGAUGUCGUCAUGUCCGUAUUUUAUUUUAUCGACACCUCUAUCUCUAAACAUGUGGACAUAUUUCUCGUUAUCGGCUUCCACUUGAGGACAAACGAGGUCUAAGCUUGGGGGAGUUGAUACGUCCAUUUUGCAUCAUGCUUUUAUAUUGAUAUUUAUUGCAUUAUGGGCUGUUAUUACACGUUAUAUCACAAUACUUAUGCCUAUUCUCCCUUAUUUUACAAGGUUUAGAUGAAGAGGGAGAGUGCCGGCAGCUGGAGUUCUGGGCUGGAAAAGGAGCAAAUAUUAAAGACCUAUUAUGCACAACUCCAAAAGUCCUGAAACUCCACAGAAGCUAUUUUUGGAAUUAAUAAAAAAUACUGAGCGAAGAAAGUACCAGAGGUGGGCGACCCACCGUCCACGAGGGUGGGGGCGCGCCCUACCCCCCUGGGCGUGCCCCCUGCCUCGUGGGCCCCCUGGCAGUCCUCCGGUGGCCAUCUUCUGCUAUAUGAAGUCUUUUACCCUGGAAAAAAAUCGUAAACAAGCUUUCGGGACGAAACACCGCCGCCACGAGGCGGAACCUUGGCGGAACCAAUCUAGGGCUCCGGUGGAGCUGUUCUCUCAGGGAAACAUCCCUCCAGGAGAGGGAAAUCAUCACCAUCGUCAUCACCAUCGAUCCUCUCACUGGGAGGGGAUCAAUCUCCAUCAACAUCUUCACCAGCACCAUCUCCUCUCAAACCCUAGUUCAUCUCUUCUAUCCAAUCUCUGUCCCAAAACCUCAUAUUGGUACCUGUGGGUUGCUUGUAGUGUUGAUUACUCCUUGUAGUUGAUGCUAGUUGGUUUAUAUGGUGGAAGAACAUAUGUUAAGAUCCUUUAUGCAUAUUAAUACCCCUCUGAUUAUGAACAUGAAUAUGAUUUGUGAGUAGUUACGUUUGUUCCUAAGGACAUGGGAGAAGUCUUGUUGUAAGUAGUCAUGUGAAUUUGGUACUCGUUUGAUAUUUUGAUGAGAUGUAUGUUGUCUUGCCUCUAGUGGUGUUAUGUGAACGUCGACUACAUGACACUUCACCAUUGUUUGGGCCUAGAGGAAGGCAUUAGGAAGUAAUAAGUAGAUGAUGGGUUGCUAGAGUGACAGAAGCUUAAACCCUAGUUUAUGCGUUGCUUCGUAAGGGGCUGAUUUGGAUCCAUAUGUUUCAUGCUAUGGUAAGGUUUACCUUAAUACUUCUUUUGUAGUUGCGGAUGCUUGCAAUAGGGGUUAAUCAUAAGUGGGAUGCUUGUCCAAGAAAGGGCAGUACCCAAGCACCGGUCCACCCACAUAUCAAAUUAUCAAAGUAACGAACAUGAAUCAUAUGAGCGUGAUGAAAACUAGCUUGACGAUAAUUCCCAUGUGUCCUCGGGAGCGUUUUCGUUCAUAUAAGAAUUUGUCCAGGCUUGUCCUUUGCUACAAAAAGGAUUGGUCCACCUUGCUGCACCUUAUUUACUUUCAUUACUUGUUACCCGUUACGAAUUACCUUAUCACAAAACUUUCUGGUACCGAUAAUUUCAGUGCUUGCAGAGAAUACCUUACUGAAAACCGCUUGUCAUUUCCUUCUGCUCCUCGUUGGGUUCUGCACUCUUACUUAUCAAAAGGACUACGAUAGAUCCCCUACACUUGUGGGUCAUCACGCUAUGAGAUCUGGUACACAUCCUGCACGCUGCUAUAACCUUGUAAGUACCUGUCCUCCGGUACAACAGCAAGGUCGAUUCCUCUCAUUUGAUCAACCAUUCACCGUGUCAAAAAUUCAGAGGAGGAUGCAAGGAGCACAAGGCAUGCACAUCCAAGCAAGUGGUAACAUGGACUUGUACAUGGAACAUCCCAAGUGCAAGCAGAGCUGUAGUGAGCAUGUACAACGAGCUAGCGUAAGUCCCUGCAUUUCAUUUAACUCGUACUGGCAUGCGUGUAUGAUUUGUGUGUGCAGUGGCGGAUCCACAAAUUCAAGUUACCAUGGGCGAAAAUUUAACUUAAAAGGACAUAACUCAGUCUAGGUCUUCUUCUGUUAGCGUUGAAGAGUUCAAGGAGGCCUCCAAUUGGGAGCUUGGGCGGCCUAAUUUUGAGAUAGCUCAUAUUGCAAUUGAGGUUGUUCUUGCCCAGGGUUCUGAAAAUACUUCUGCUCUGCCUAACAAUAGUGCACUUUAGGAGAUACAUUGUGGUCAAGGUUCUCUCAUUCACAGCUCUCUUGAUCAGACUACUUUUCCUGCCCCAACAAACUCUGACAUAGGUACUUCCUCAUCUCUAGCACGCAAGGGGAAGGCAGCUGUGCCUGAAUGCUCUAUUGAUCUACAUAGAAGUGAUCGCUCCAACAAAUAUGAUGGAUUCAAGGUUCAUCAGGUGUUUGACAGCAAGAUGAAAGUCUCUAAGGUCAAGCCCAGAAUUGUGCCGACAGUAAUCAGAAUCAGGGAGGCGACAGAAGAGCAAAUCCCACCGCCGAUGCCGGUCCAGGUGAUCCAGCAGAUAGGCACUAUUCUAUGUGCUAUCCGAGUAGAGGAACUCUCUGAAGAAACUCUGCUAGCUCCACAGGAGGAGGAACCAUCAGCCUCUACCUUGGCCCUUGGUUCAUUUCACUAUAUUUACUUUAUGAAUGUCUUUUUUGGUGAACUGGAAUGUCUUACGUUGGAACAUACGUGGUUUAAACUCAGGGGACAAACAACUAGCACUCUCGAAUGCUAUUACCUCAGGUGGUUGUGCAGUCGUAUAUCUGUAGGAAACCAGGAAAACAUCUUUUGAUUUGACAUUUAUUAAAUCUUGUUGUCCUCGUCGAUUUGAUCAGUUUGCUUUUGUGCCCUCUGGUGGAGCUUCUGGUGGCAUUGCUACAAUUUCGAAUUGCUCUAUUUUCUCCACCGAUGUUCUGUUCUCCAAAUAUUAUGCGCUUGUCACACGUUUUCGAUCCACUCAAUCGGCACAAAAUUGGACAUUGGUUAAUUUAUAUGGGCCGUGCCAAGGAGAACAGAGAGACCACUUUAUUCAAUGGUUAUGUGCUCUUGACAUUCCUUCUAAUGAAGAUUGGCUUUUCGUGGGCGAUUCCAAUUUCAUUCGUGUACCAGAGAACUGUAACAAACCAGGCAUGACUGACAUGAAUACGUUUAAUGAUUUCAUACGCUCUCAAAGCUUAAUUGACUUACCCAUCAAACACUACAGGAAUCAGGAAUUUUGCCGUCUACCAUGGCUGACGGCAAAGGCAUGCCUGGCGAACGGCAUAGGCCUUUGCCGUCAGCCAGCAGACGAUAACACAUCCAGCUGAACAAACUACAAAAAAAGGCUCUUUGUCAUCUGCUGGCAGACGGCAAACAUGCAAAGGCCUUUACCGUAUGCCAGCAGAUGGCAAAGGGCCUGGACGGCACACGUGGCAGCUUAGGUCCAUUAAGGGGUUAAUGACAUGCUUUGCCGUCUGCUGGUAGAUGGCAAAGAUGCAAAGGUCUUUGCCGUCUGCUAGCAGACACCAAAGCAACCAUAUAGGCCAGCCCAGUGCCCCCCCCCCAGGUUGCGCAGGUAGCUGCCACACGGCAGCUUAGCCGUUUGUUAGCUGAUGGCAAAGCUCUUUGUCGUCUGCCAGCAGAUCGCAAAGAGCUUGUAUAGCCCCUGUUUUUUCUAUUUUUUCUUAAAUUCAUUCAAUUUCACAGAAUUUCAUAGAUAUAUAUAUACACACACACAUUUGAAGAUAUAUAUACACAAGCAUACCAACACAUAUCCAACAACAAGUUUCCAACAACAUAUCCAAAAACAAGUUUCCAACAACAUAUGCAACAACAAGUUUCCAACAAUAACAAGUUUCCAACACAUAUCCAACAACAAAGUUCAUCGUACAAAAUCAAAACAAAAAGGAAGCACAAGGAGAAGAGUAGACUCCAUGAACGCAAGCUUCCUCAUCUAAAGCAAAUCUGUAAAUUGGGAAAGAAGAAAGUUAGAAGAAGAAGAAGAAGAAGACUAGCUAGAAGAAGAAGAAAACAAAGAAGAAGAAGAAGAAGAAGAAGAAGAAGAAUUUUUCUUCUAUUUCUUUUUCUCCUCUCCUCUUAUUUAUCUUCUCCUUCUAACUAAGGUAGGUAAAAAUGCCAUUUUUAGCUAAGCUAGGUAAAAAUGCUAAGUGUAGGUCAUUUUAGAGCUAAUCUAGGAAAAUAGGUCAUUUUGGAGCUUAGUAAGGUUAUUUUGUCAUUUUGGAGGAAAAUAAGCUAAGUCUAUGUCAUUUUGGGGCUAAACCAAGGUUAUCAUGCCACUUUUUUACCUAAGUAUGCUAAAUAUGUCAUGAAUGAAUCGAAGAAGCUAAGUAUAUGUCAUUUUUUAGCUAACCUAGGUAGUUAUGCCAUAUUUAGCUAACUAAGCACAUUUAUUCAUUUUGGAGGACAAAAUGGCAAGUGUAGGUCAUUUUAGAGCAUCCUAGUAAAAAUCGGUCAUUUUGGAGGUAGGUAAGGUUAUUUUGUCAUUUUGGAGGAAAGUAAGCCAAGUCUAUGUCAUUUUGGACCUAAACCAAGGUUAUCAUGCCAUUUUUUAUCUAAGUAUGCUAAGUAUGUCAUAAAUGAACUAAAGAAGCUAAGUAUAGGUCAUUUUUUAGCUAACCUAGGUAGUUAUGCCAUUUUUGAGCUAACUAAGAUUAUUUAUUCAUUUUGGAGGACAAAAUGGCAAGUGUAGGUAAUUUUAGAGCUAUCAUAGUUAAGAUCGGUCAUUUUGGAGGUAGGCAAUGUUAUUUUGUCAUUUUGGAGGAAAAAAUGCUAAGUAUAGGUCAUUUUUUAGCUAUCCUAGGUAAAGUAUGUCAGUUUGGAGCUAAGUAAGGUUAUUAUGUCAUUUUCGAGGAAAAUAAGCUAACUAUAGGUCAUUUUGGAGCUAAACCAAGGUUAUUAUGCCAUUUUUUUACCUAAGUGAGCUAAUUUCAUAAAUGAACUAGCUAAGCUAAGUAUAGAUCAUUAUUGAGUUAUACUAGGUAGUUAUGCCAUUUUUUGGCUAACUACGCAUAUCAAGUCAUUUUGGAGGAAAAAAUGCUAAGUAUAGGUCAUUUUAUAGCUAUCCUAGGUAAAAUAUGUCAUUUUGGAGCUAAGUAAGGUUAUUAUGUCAUUUUUGAGGAAAAUAAGCUAAGUAUAGGUCAUUUUGGAGCUAAGUAGGUCAUUUCUUAAGCUAAGUAUGCAUUUGUUAAGCAAAACACUUGGGAAAACUUACCAUCAUCACAGAGGUGAAGGACCGAUCGGGUUGGCGCCAGUGCCAGACGUUGAAGGAUCGGUCAGGGUUGCGCCAGUGCGAGACGGAGAAUGAUCGGUCGAUGCUUGUCUGGAGGCAUUCUGCAUCAAAGAUCAUUUGCAAUGUCUCGUUAGCAUGAUGCAACUAAAAUGUGAAUACUAGUAACUAAUGACCAUUCAAAUGAAACUCACCGUGUCUACUAUACCAAUUUGGGCGUCGACGGAGGGGUCUGACCAUUUUUACCACACACGGACUGCACAUUUUGUUUCCACGUGUCAGUCAUAUUAGUUAGUAAUGAAAGAGACAUUACUUGCAUGAUUUGGCUAAUAUGCAGGAGAAACUUACCAUGAGGAGCUCGUAUAGGGCCCGGUGAGACGCGUCCUUCUGGUUCCUCUCCGCCUCCCACAGACUAGCCGGCCUCUCCUCCAACUCCCUCUCCCUCUAUGCCGCCUGCCUGUUUGCCUCCGCCAGAAGCUUCUGGGCCCUAGCCUCCAUGGCGAGCUCCAUUGGCCGUGGAUGAGGCCUUAUCUCAGGAUCAGAGCUCGUCUGGCGCUUCUUGAUCUCCGGGAGAGUUCUAGGUCAAUGUAUGAGUCCAUCCCCAAUGGCUACCGAUCCAUGGUACCUCCCGCCACCAAAUAGCAUCACGAUCUCUGGAUCAAAAGGACUCUGGCUCGGGUUGAAGUGGGAGGAGAUGUUGGUGAAGCUCACAAGCUUGCUGUGGGAGGAGAUGUUGGGGAAGCUCUCUGGAUGAUCGAGGUGCAUACUUAGCUUAAGAAAUGACCUACUUAGCUCUGUACCUCACAAGCUUGUUGUGGGAGGAGCUGUUGGUGAAGCUCUCUGGAUGAUCGAGGUCAUCCUCAGAAAAUGCCUUGGCCUUCUUGUACGGGGCAAUAUGGGCCAUGUCAUAGAGGUCAUACAGCGGUGGCGUGUCCUUCUUGUCGUGUCGCGCCUAAAAGAGAGGAACAAAAUAUUAGUUAAGGGCUCAAGCUAGCAUGAAGAAUGAAAUUGCAUGAAUCGUGAAGCAAACCACAUACCCAGUGAUCCCCGUACUCAAACAUGUUGGAGCUCCCUUGAUGGUGUGGCACACCUUGCAUUUGGGCAUGCUUAUCGUUGGCCUUGUUGUGGACGGCUAGCCAUUGGGGAGAGCACCACUCAUCCACCAACGCAUCCCAACAGUCCAUCCUAUCCGCACACCAUCUCGGGGGCACCUAAGUUGGACGAAGAGAAAUUUCAGCGCUACACCUAUGAAUCAAAUCAAGGAAACUAUGUACAAGGCCUUAAGAAUAGGUAAUUACCUUCAUGUAGUUCUCCUUACUCAGAUACUUGGUGCAACACUUCUUCUUGGCCCUCCUAAUGUUAGUCGAGGCAUAGUAGUCUCGAACAGCCUGCACCUGAGCCUCGUACCGUAAGUUCUGAAGUAGGCGCUUGCACUCAGCUUCGAGAACCAUAGCCGCGUCCGCCUCGUGUUCCUCAAGACACAUGUAGAAGGUCUGCAAUCAAACAAGACAACACUGAUUAGUACAAUCACUAGGUAUUGUUGAUUUUUAAUUCUGUAAAUGACAAAUUACCCAAAAUCGCUGGAUCACAAUGUCGGCCACCGUCUUGCACAAGACAUCGUCAACCCUCUCCUCCGGCGAGGCCGGGGCAGCCACGUACAACUCCCAGCUUAGUGCUAGUUGUGGAACAAAACCCCCACCGGGCAAUGUGAUCCACCCCGGGAAGUGGUGCCGGCAAAGAACACCAAGGACCUGGUUGGGCCUGCGGACACCAGGGGUGUGUUUCCAACCCUUGCAGUAUGACAAGGCCAACACAUUAGUUAUUAAGUUGCAGAAACAUGAAAGCAAAAGGUUAAAAAAGAGUAAAUGCACUUACUUCUCCCUGUUAGGCUCAAUCAACCACCUCUGAUCGCGGGUCGGCGGCACGGGCGGGAGCAUUGUACCACCAUGCUGGUAGACCUUCUUGCCCCCCUCAACUAGCUCGCCUUUGCUAUAGCUAUCGUCAGAAAAGGUGUCCUCGCCACCAUCAGCAUGGCCACUAGCCUCCGGAGUCAUGUGGGACGAAGACUCUGGUACCCGAGUCUCCUGGGACGAAGACUCUGGGACCCGAGUCUCGUCGAAUGAAGGCUCGGCGACCCAAGGAUCGUUGGCCUGAGGCUCGUGGACCAGAGUCCAAGACGGGUCCAAGUCAGAUGGGUCCACCUGAGACGGAGCACUCCGGUGGUCCGGAGAAUCAGCUGGGGUGGUGGCGAGGAAGGCGCAGCAGCCUUCCUACCUCUCCCACUGCCAAGUCCACCUCUAGCACCCCUCUUCGUCUUCCCCUGACCUCUCCCGACCGAAGAAGAAGCACCCACCGGUGUCUGCAUACUGUCUACCAGCACUCUCCGAAGGUGCCGGGGUCGAAUAAUAGCACCCCUCCCAGCACGCGUCGAGGAAGGAGGCUCGGAGUGCUCUCGACCCGCGCCCACCAUCUGUCCACACCUGCAAUGACAAAGAGUAAACCAAAUUAGUACAACAUAAACAUAAUAAAAAAUUAAGUUUGUAUCAUCAUCAUGAACAUAAUAAAAAAUUGAAUACCUAAUAACAUGAAAUAAUCAAUAAUAUAUAUAUAUAUGUACAUAAUAAUAAUUGAAUACCUGACCUAACUCAUAAUUCACAAAUAUAUGACCCCGUUGGCCUCUGGAAGGCCGAAGAGCACCUUUUUCGGGAGGUGUCGGGGAUUGGGGUGUCGUGUCAGGGUCGGGGUGCUGUGUCGGGGUCGGGUNNNNNNNNNNNNNNNNNNNNNNNNNNNNNNNNNNNNNNNNNNNNNNNNNNNNNNNNNNNNNNNNNNNNNNNNNNNNNNNNNNNNNNNNNNNNNNNNNNNNNNNNNNNNNNNNNNNNNNNNNNNNNNNNNNNNNNNNNNNNNNNNNNNNNNNNNNNNNNNNNNNNNNNNNNNNNNNNNNNNNNNNNNNNNNNNNNNNNNNNNNNNNNNNNNNNNNNNNNNNNNNNNNNNNNNNNNNNNNNNNNNNNNNNNNNNNNNNNNNNNNNNNNNNNNNNNNNNNNNNNNNNNNNNNNNNNNNNNNNNNNNNNNNNNNNNNNNNNNNNNNNNNNNNNNNNNNNNNNNNNNNNNNNNNNNNNNNNNNNNNNNNNNNNNNNNNNNNNNNNNNNNNNNNNNNNNNNNNNNNNNNNNNNNNNNNNNNNNNNNNNNNNNNNNNNNNNNNNNNNNNNNNNNNNNNNNNNNNNNNNNNNNNNNNNNNNNNNNNNNNNNNNNNNNNNNNNNNNNNNNNNNNNNNNNNNNNNNNNNNNNNNNNNNNNNNNNNNNNNNNNNNNNNNNNNNNNNNNNNNNNNNNNNNNNNNNNNNNNNNNNNNNNNNNNNNNNNNNNNNNNNNNNNNNNNNNNNNNNNNNNNNNNNNNNNNNUUUUCAUCUUCUACUUCUACAUCUUUUUUUCAUCUUCUUUCUUUCUUCUUCUUCUUCUUCUUCUUCUUCUUCUCCUAUUCUCCUCCUCCUCCUCCUCCUCCUCCUCUUCUUCUUCUUCUUCUUCUUCUUCUUCUUCUUCUUCUUCUUCUUCUUCUUUAUUUUCCUUUUUCCUCUCCUUCUUUUUCUUCUUCUUCCUUCUUUUCCUUCUUCCUCUUCUCUUCUUUUCCUUCUUCCUUUUCCUUAUUUUCCCUUUUCCUCUCCACUUCUACUUUUUCUUCUUUUCUUAUUUUUUUCAUCUCACAAAAUGUACUAAUAACCUAAAAUAUGACUAACCUAAAAUCUACUAACCUAAAAUAUGACUAAAUAUAAAAUUGCCAGUUCCUUCCCCUCAAACAGAAGCUGGGGCGGCUUAAGCGCCAGUGCAAUGAUAUGGGGGAGCUUAUGGCGGCUCUUGUCAAAUACGCCGACUCUGAUAACACUAAGGACCCUGAGUCUGAUGAAGAGAAGGUUGGCAAGGGAAAGAAGAACGGAAAUGCGAAGGGAUAGCAACACAAUGCGGUGGGUCAAGGUAAUAAUGGUAAGCGCAAGCAAACUGAUGGCGGUUCAGACUUUGUGGCUAAUACCAACACACAGAAUAAUAAUCAGCAUCGUAAGGGGAAGUCAUCAGUGCCCCGGUUUGGUGGGCCAAAAAUUAACCUUGAGGCGAUAAUGAAUCAGCCUUGACCAAAGCAUGGUACUCAACAUAAGUCGGCCCCUCAUCUCUGGAAAGAUUGCUUCAUCAGGAGGGAGUAUAGAAAUUCUGGUUUUUAUCAAGGUAACCAGGGCCCGCACGGCGGGUCAGGAUCCGGCUCUCACGGACCCGGCUUUGGAGGUGGUGGCUCAAACUCUAGAUUUCAGGGCCAAGGUAAUCAAGGUGGUUUCAAUCAACAACCUAAUCAGAGAAAUCAACAGCAGCAGUUUGGUUAUCAAUCCGAAGCAGCUGAAUAGUGGGAACUAUCAUGUGUAUACCAAAAAUCUGUGUAAAUGAGACCAGAAGGUUCAUAAGCGAGCGGUGAGCCCAAUUGAGUCGGUGAGGCCUUGAUACUUACGAUGGUUAGAACAACCAAUUGUAUGGAGCCGUGAGGAUCAUCCGCCCCGGGUUGAUAAUCCGGGUCAACUAGCAUUGGUGGUGGCACAUCAGGUCGGAGAAUACAAGUUCACUAAUGCUAAUGGAUGGGGGCAGUAGUAUCAAUAUCCUUUACUAUGAUACUUUUCGCCGUAUGAAUUUGGCUGACAAAGAUCUUAAGCCGUCCUCUACAGCAUUUCAUGGGGUGGUGCCUGGUAAGUCGGCAUAUCCAGUUGGUAAGAUAGCCUUAGAGGUAGUUUUUAGUGAUGAGUAUGACUAUAGUGCUGAAAAUUUUACUUUUAAAGUGGUCAAAAUCAAGAGCCCUUAUCACGCCUUGUUUGGACGGCCGACUUAUGCCAAAUUUAUGGCACGACCUUUUUAUGUUUAUCUACAGCUUAAGAUGCCGGGUCAUAAGAGUACCAUCACGGUACAUGGAAACAGAAAGAUAGCAUUGGAGUGUGAAGAGGACGACGCUGCCUAUGCUGAGUCGGCUUGUGCAACGGAGGUGCUGAAGUUCUAUAAAGAUAAUGUUGACCCGGUAGAUAUGACCCCCUUGAAGAAGCCAACCACAGAGCAGGACCCUUUGUUGAAGUUUAAGUUGACAGAUGACACUAAACAGGUUGACUUCAUCCCUGGCGACUCAUCCAAGCAGUACAUUAUUAGUGCGAAUAUGGAUCCGACACAGGAAAGCAUGCUCAUCAAGUUCAUCUGUGAGAACCGGGACAUCUUUGCAUGGAAGCCCUCUAACAUGCCAGGUGUACCGAGGGAACUCGCUGAGCACACUCACUACAAAAAAAGACACAUCCAUGACAUUUUGGGUUGAACAAAUUUUUUUUCUGUCAUACAUAUGACACUUCUAUGACGAUAAUUGUGACAAAACCCGGUAUCAUCAUAGAUGUGGUGGGCUCCUACUUCUAUGACAAAAAAUCAUGACAGAAAAUGGGCUUUUCAUCCUGGGCGGGCCGAAGACGCAGCUGCAUGACAUUCUUUGGGCCGUCCAUGACGGAAAAAAACGUGGUAGAAGCGAGGGGGAGGAAAAUUUCGGGGAGUUCCCGGUUACGGUGGGAGGUCGGGGGCCGAGCGAUGUGUGUUUCUCUCGUACACGUAUGCGCGUGUGUGCGAGGCGUUGGCUCUAACUGAACCUGAGCGAGGCGUUGGGCUCUAACUGAACCAGAGCGAUUGCACUGCAGGCUACGCGUUACUGAACCCGAGCGAUUGAUCGAUGGCUGUUAACUGAACCCGAUCGAGCGAUUCCUUCGCUACUUCUGCUAACUGAAGCCGAUCGAUGCUGCCUCUGGGAUGAAUAGUGAGCUUUGCUGGGGGUUUGGAUGAACAGUGAGCGGUGGCGUUGCCUCUGGAUGAACAUGACCCCGUGGUGUGGUGGAGGGCUGGAUGAACAGUAAACGGUGGAGGGGUGCCCGUGCAGGGGUGGUUGAACAGGACCCCGUGGUGUGGAAGGCUGGAUGAAUAGUAGACGGUGGAGGGGUGGUUGAACAGUAGCCGGUGGAGUAGCGCGCGGUGGAGGCUGGAUGAACAGGAGCCCGUGGAGGCUGGAGGAGGUCGACGGUAGCCCGUGGAGGCUGGAGGAGGUCGACGGUGGAGAUGAACAGUAUCCCGUGGAGUCCCGUUUUGCGGUACGCCACACCCCUCCUAAUGAACAGGACCCUCGUUUCGACCGUAGCACUCCAACACAAGUCCGUUUUGUCCGUUUAGCGGUACGCCACACCCCUCCCGAUCAACAGGACCCCCGUUUCGACCGUAGGAGGUUCGUUUCCUCCGUUUUGCGGUACGCCACACCCCUCCCAAUCAACAGGACCCCCGUUUCGACCGUAGGAGGUCCGUUUCCUCCGUUUUGCGCUACGCCACACCCCUCCCGAUCAACAAGACCCCGUUCCGAACGUAGGAGGUCAGUUUCCUCUGUUCUGCGAUACGCCAGGCCUCGUUUCCAUCGCUUGUUAUGUCCAAGCCCUCCCGACGAACACGACCACGCAUUCCGUUCCGACCCAACCGGUUGGCUCCCACGCGUUCUGUUGCCUCCCGAUGAACACGACGCAUUCCGGUGCCUCCCCAUGAACACGACGCAUUUCGUUGCCUCCCCAUGAACACGACACAUUCCGUUGCCUCCCCUUGAACACGAGCCCUCCCGUACGUAUGCGCGAGUAGGCGUUCGAGACCCCGCCCGUAUGUACACAUACGUGGCCGUAUUUUCUUUCUUGCACCCUAGCCGCUGUACGUACGUGUACAUGCUAUGUGCGCGCCUCUACUACAACACGUGCGCGCCUCUACAUCCACCAGUAUAUAUGUAUGUACACGUUCGCGACUAGAAUGACAGCGCUAUGUACACUACGACCAGGUGGGUCCCGACUGUCAGGCACUUCCUUGUGUGCGAAGAUGUAGCUGGUGGGUCCCAGCAGUCAGGGGGGCGAAUCGAUUUUUUUUGCCCGGACGCACUUCCUUGCGUGCGAAGAUGUAGCCGGUGGGUCCCAGCAGUCAGGGGGGCAAAUCGUUUUUUUUUUGCCCGGAAGGACUUCCUUGCAUGCGAAGGCAUAGCUGGUGGGUCCCAGCAGUCAGGGGGGCAAAUCUUUUUUUUUGCCCGGACACACUUCCUUGCGUGCGAGGAUGAAGGUGGUGGGUCCCAGCAGUCAAGGGGAAACAUUUUUUCCGUGAAAUACAGUGGCCCGUCUAGUGGGUCCUAGCUGUCAGGUGGAGGAAUCAUUAUUUUCCGCGUAAUAAGGAGGCACUUCCUUGUUGUGGACGUGGACCCAGCUGUCAGCCUCUCCACGUACAGUCCACGUCCGAUGGAAGUCGUUCCUUGACCAUGUUGACCUGGCCGCGCCGAGAGCACCAUGGCGAUGGACGACGGUGAGGCCUAGGAAGGGGACGACGGGGAGCCAGGAAAGACGCGGCAGUGGAAGCCCGCGCCGAGAGGAGUACGAGGGUUCACUAGUUCAGCUCCGGUGUGAGGCUGUCGUCGUCGCAGGGCCUGGCCAGUGGUGGGAAUAGUAGGGGGCGGUGAGGCCUGCACGGCAGCACAGCCGGCCACGGGAGGCAGGAGCAUGCGGCACGACCGGCGCUGCUUUGGGCGGCUGGAGCAAGAAGACCAGAGGUUGAAGAAGCACUACUGCCGUUGGAUGGACAUCGUACGGUCACUGGAGCUAGAAUCGUUCAUAUUGACUAAGUUGACAAAGCCCUCCAUCCCCGUCAACUUAGUUGGCCCACAAGUCAUCCUCCCACUAUGGUGGGUCCCAGCUAGCAAGGGGGUAUUCAUUUUUUUGUGAAUAAGGAGGUACUUCCUUGCGUGCAAAGAUAUAGCUGGUGGGUCCGACAUGUCAGCGGGGGGAACGUUUUUUUUCGCGAAAUACAGAGGCCCUUCCGGUGGGUCCCAGCUGUCAGGUGGAGGAAUCAUUAUUUUGCGUGUACAGUCCACAACCGAUGGAUGUCGUUCGUUGACCACGUUGACUAGGCCGCGCCAAGAGCACCAUGGCGGUGGUCGGUGGACGACAGCGAGGCCUAGGAAGGGAAUGACAUGGAGCCGGGGAAGACUCGGCAAUGGUUGCCCACGUGGUGGGGAGUACGAGGGUUUACUGGUCCGGCUGCCGUCGCGGAAAAUAACAGGAGGUGUGGGUCAGUAGAGGAAUGGCCUGGCUAGCAAUGAAGUAGGGUGCAGUGGUGCGGCCUGUGCGGCAGCACAGCCACCCACGGGAGGCGGCAGCAGGCAGUCCCACCGAAGCUGGUUUGGGCGACUGGAGCAAGAAGAUCAGAUAUUGAAGAAGCAGCACGGCCGUUGGAUUAACAUCCAACGGUCACUGCUGCUAGAAUCGUUUGUGGACUAGGUUGACAAAGCCAAAGUACACGUCAACCUAGUAGACCCACAAGUCAGCCUCCAAAUCUGUCCCAAACAGCAUAUAGCCCAAAAAAUUUAGCCAGAUUCAAAUUAAUUUUAAAUCUAAAUAUACCUUAAUUUAAAUUCAAUGAAAUUUUACCCGGACAAAAACAAUGAAAUUUAAAAUAUCAAAAUAUGAAAGAAAACAGUAUGUUGGAACUAAUUGCCUGUUCGCUGUAUUUUUUCAUUUUACAGCCCAUUUAUUAUUACUUAUAGCCCAUUUCUUAUUACUUAUAGCCCAUUUUCUGGGCAAAAUGCAUCCCUCCUUGUCUUGAAAGAUUUCCGGCCCAGCAGGGCGUAGAAAAGCAAGUAGGCCUACGUUAGCCAUUUUCAGAAAGGAAAAAAACAAACUGGGCUGGUCAUGUGCUAAACAUAUGAAAUAAAAGCCUGGGCUAGACGGGCCACGGGUCCCACACAACCCAGUUGAUACCCUUCUCCGUCCCGAAAAAACAAAAUUACUGCGCGCGCUGCUGGGUCCCUACUGUCAUCCGCACCAUGUACAGUCAUCUCCUUAUUCCUCUUGGUUGUUGACCAUGUUGACAACACCGGAGGGCGGCGCUGCGGCGAGCGAACCAAGGCGGAGGACGAUGGUGAGGCCUCGGAUGGGAACGAACAGGAGUCGGGAAAGAUCACAGCCAGCCGUUGGAGGCGGGAGUAGGCGGUCCCACCGGCGCUGGUUUGGCUUUGGCGGCUCAAGGAAGAAGAGACUGAAGAAACGCGACAGUCGUUGAAUGUCAAUCCAACGGUCAAGGUUGGCACAAUCGUUUGUUGACUAAGCGGACACCAAGUAGCAUACUUUUUUAUAUAUAGGAAGAAAACUGCGAGGAAAAUGCGUUCGUCUGCCGUCCUCCUCACGGGGAACGUUCGCCACAUAAGUGACUAGCACCCUUGGUUUUCAACCGAGAGGUCUUGGGUUCGAGUCCGAGGAAUUCUCAAUUUUGUCCUCCUUCCUUCCUCGCAAAAAAGGGAAAGAAAAUCAAAGACUUGGGAAGGCGUACAGAACAAGCUAGUGUACCACUAAAGAGACGUUGCCGAGUUUUAGAAAAAAGAAAGACGUGCACCUGUAGCUGGUUCGAAUCCAAACCUAGACUAUGACUAUAUAUGGUGCUAUGCUACUCUGCAAGUAAUGAAAUUGACAUAUCCAACAUUCGCUUCUCCUCUUCUCUACUUACUCUGCCUAGCAUCAAAAGCUCUCGCCGCAGCAACCAUGUCCGCUGGCUGCUCGUCCACCUGCUCUUCAGCAGGCAACAACCAGAUAUGCGCCAAGUCUCCACCCGUACCAUCGCCUGUGGGUCUCAUCACACCCCCGCUGGCACGCGCACCGCAGCCGAUUGCUCAUCGCAACCCGCUGUUGUUGGUGUGGUGUCACUGCUGCAAACUACACAGAGUCAUCCGUUGCAUCUCAACCACAAUCCGCAACCCUGGCCGAGUCUUCUACAAAUGCCCGAAUCAUGGGGUAAUAAAUGUUUAAGUGUUGUUCUACUGCUUUCAGUUGCUGAUUUUUGUAAUAGUUUGGUUGAUGAUCUUCCAAUUUGAUUCGUCCAGAAAAGGGAAGAUUCGUGUGAUUUGUAUUUCUGAGAAGUUGCUGACGUGGGGGAAUGCAACUACGCUGAUUAUUUGGUUAGCCGAGGAAUCCCAAUACCAGCAGGUUGGGGUGUUGGAUAAGUAACUGAAGGAACGGCAGAAGAGGAAGAUGUAGAGCAGAAGGUUAAAGAUGCAGUUCCUCUGAUCAUGGCCAAGCAACAGCUGCUGAACGGCCUUGACAGCAAUGAGGAGAUGAAAGAGCUUGUGAAGAUAAUGGGCAAAAUCGAUGUGCUCUGUAGGAUGAUUGUCUCUUUAUUUGCAAUGUAUAUAGCACUCGUGAUGUAUUCAGUGGCUACGACAUGAGCACUUUGCUGAAACUAGUAAUGGAUGAAACCUGUGUAGCAGGCUGGGCGUAGUGUUGUGAACAUCUAAUGAUUUCUAUUAACGGAAAUCAGGGGGUAUCCCCUUUUGCUCAUAUAAAUAAAUAAAUAGCAGAGGCCCUGUUGGGUCAGCUUUGUUCUCAUUCGGAGACGUCGAGCAAAUUGCAGUCCAACAACAAACUAUGUCAUCAAAUUCAAGUUUCACAGCCAAAUAUGAGUAAAACUAAACAACAAUGUCAUCAUGUUUUAGUUUUCAUACAAUCACCAAACACAAAUCAGCAUACAUAACAAGUGAUGUUCUCACAGAAAAAUACUAAACAACAUGUUCAUCAGGUUUCAGCUGUCAUAGCAAACACAAUUUCACGUAGUAGAUAAAAAACAUCUUCUGACAGGAAAAUACGACAAAAGCAAUGUAAUCAUCAUCCGCAGCAGCAGCGUCAACAUCUUCGCCAUGUGUAUCAGUCUGAAUCGUAAUUCCCCAUGGUGUCAUCUUCUUCUUCGUCCUCAACGUCCUCGAACGUUGGCUUCUUCUUGAUCAACUCUAGUAUGUCCACAGCACGACAGGCAAUCUUUUCGCCUGCAUCAUUGACGUGAUGGUUCUCAAAGAUAUUAGGAACAUCUGUGUUAUCUUGUACAUCAGGAGCAGUGUAAGCAUCAUCUUGUUGUGCAACUUCAUUAAACAAAUUCCUCUGCUCAAACCUUUGCAAUACUCUCCAGUCAUCGUUACGUUCAAAUGUGUCUUCCAAGAAAAUAUCUGUGUUGCUUGAUUUGCCAAAAUAAAAGGCUCGUUGGUCUGGUACGCAGCCUUGACAUUGAUGGAUUUGAAAUAAUCAUCAGCUCUGGGUUUUGCGAUCCUGGAAAACAGGUUAUACCAAUGACAGCACAACAGAACCACACAUCGAUGAUCCUCGAAACUGGAGAUAUACUGCAACUGAACAAUGUCUGUUAUGUUAGCAUACAUUUCAGUUGUCUCUUUGUCAUACGUAUCCGUGCUCAUGAUGGCACUGUUUUGUGUCUUCCUGCCUUCGUCUCGUGCAAGGGUGUUGUAGCGCACAUCUCCAACAACGCAAGAUUCAUAAUGUCUUACCCGAGUAUCAGGACCCAUUGCUAGUGAGUAAAGGGCAUCAUCAACUGCCUGCCCAUCCUCCCGCAUCUUCUUAACCUAUGGUUAGAAAAUAGACAAGCUGAUCAUCUUAUGUACUCAAUAUAUUAAAAAACUGACAGUGCACUCCAAAAGCUUACAUGGUUCUUGAACCAUUUCGCAAAUCCUGCCAUAACCAGUUUGUCAAUGUUUCUUGGAUUUUGCGGCAGUAACUCCUCUUUGUAGAUGUUGCACAACAUAGUGAUCACGUCAAACAUCCAAAUAUAUAAGAAUGUGCGGCAAGUUUAGUAGAUUACGAUGUAUAAGCUGCAGUACCGCACUUACUUGAUAUAAGGUAGUAUCUCAGGACAGUUAUUUAAAACAUACCAAACCAUUUUGUCCAAAUCUUUAGGUUUGUCCUCUUGUCGACUCUUCCCUGUAACUCGAACAGAAUAAUCGAAAACAUUGAGCCCGGGAUUGUCUUCACCCACCUCUUUGUUAAGCUGAUCAGCUGUUUCAAUGUAUUUUGAGUAGAAUGUCAACGCUUCUGUAGCAAUGUAGGCCUCUGCAAUGGAACCCUUGGGUCUAGAUCUUUUCCUAACAUAGCUCUUGAAAGUGCCUAGCUGCCUUUCAAUAGGGUACAUCCAGCCAUACUGUACUGGACCUCUAAGUAGUGCCUCAUCAGGUAGAUGAACAGCCAAAUGCACCAUCACAUCAAAGAAGGCUGGAGGAUAUAUCUUCUCAAGGUCGCAUAGGAUAGUUGGUAUCUUGUCUCUAAGACGCUCCAAAGCAUCUAUCCUGAUAUUUCUACUGUAGAGUUCCCUGAAGAAUUGUCCCAACUCUGCAACUGCUCUGUAUAAGUCAAGGCGGCCCAAUCCUCUAAGGAUAACAGGUAAAACCCUUUGAAGUAGGACGUGGCAGUCAUGAGUUUUCAACCCUUGUACCUUGUUUCCAUCUGCACUGACUCUCCUUUCAGGGUUGGAAGCAAAUCCAUGUGGGAAUCUUACACGUGACAGGACCUCGCAGAAUUCUUUUCUUUUUACCUUGUCCAAGACAUACACAGCUGGUGCCAUAUCCAGUGGUUUACCUUCAUCUUGCACCUGCAAAUCCUUUCUGAUACCCAGGUGUGUCAAAUCAGUCCUAGAUUUUAAGGUAUCUUUCGUCUUGCCUUCAAUGUUAAGAAGUGUGCCAAUAAUGUUGUCACAUAUAUUUUUCUCGAUGUGCAUCACAUCAAGAUUAUGCCGCAGAUCCAAAUCUUUCCAAUAUUCCAAGUCCCACAAAGUGGACCUGCGGGUAAACAAUAAUCUCUCUUCUACCGUGCUACGCUUCCUUUUCCCGCUACCAUUACCAGGAUGGUUUCCUGGUGUAAUAUGCCUGACCUUCUCUAAUUCCACUUACAACUCAUCGUCGGUGGGCCUCUUUGGCGCAUCACGAUUUUCAUGCUUUGCAUUGAACACAUGUCUUCGGUAUUUUCUAGGAUGCGGCUUGUCCUUGGCAAGGAAACAGCGGUGUCCAAUGUAGCAGAUCUUGCUAAGUAUUGCGUAUGACAGCGGAUUCCUGUCACGGCGAACACAUGCAUUGUAACCAUGUGUCGUUCAUCCUGACAUAGUGCCCAAAGCCGGAUAAUCAUGGAUGCACCAAAUUACAACAGCACGCAGAAAGAAAUCAGCUGGUGGGCUGCUAUAUAGGUCUCGAGUGAGAACACCCUUCCAUGUAGUUUGAUUCUUUGGUGCAGACAUUUGGAGGCAUGUUGUAAGGGAUAACAAGCACUGGCCACAUGCUAUAUGUGGUGCUCUGGUGGCCAAAUGGGUUAAAUCCAUCUGAAGCUAAGCCAAGUCUAAUGUUUCUCGGGUCAGCAGAAAACUCUUUGUGUUUAUCAUUGAAGCUUUUCCACUCACUACCAUGAGAUGGAUGGCUCAUUACAUUCUGAUCUCUGUACUCCUGGUUCCUAGAAUGCCAUAGUACAUCCUCUCUUGUUUCAGCAUCAUGAAACAACCUCUACAAUCUUGGUGUAAUUGGAAAAUGUCUCAAAACAUUAUGAGGAAUCCUCUUCAUAGCAUCGCCAUCUUUCCAUCUUGAUGAUUUGCAUUUCGGGCAUUCACUUAAGUUGGCAUAAUCCUUCCGGAACAGAACACAAUUAUUCUUACAAAGAUGGAUCAUAUCAUAUCCAAUUCCAACUGCACGAAGGAAAUUCUUCAUUUUACUGUAGGUGUGUGGCAGCUCAGACGCAUCUAGGAAAGAUUUGCGGAAAGCAGCCAAGAUUGCAUCGAAUGAUUUGUUGGUCAUCCGCUCAGAUGUCUUCACCUGAAGAAAGGUGACCAUAGCUGAGAAUACUAACAGCUUAUUUCCUGGGGUGACAGCAACGCUGCAUUGUUCCAACAUGUGGGCCCACCGUUUUUCUUCUGCAGGUGAAAGUUCACGGAAUGCAUGAGCAUUUCGUAGCAUUGUUUCAAUGUUGGUCAAAGUCACUGGCUCCACCACCACCUCCUCCUCCUCCUCUUCCACCUGAGCAUCAGGCAGAUCAAGAUGGUGAUCUGCUGCUUCCACGUAGUCAAUAACAUUGACGUUCACAGCUUCCCCAUGAUGAACCCACCUAGUAUAUGUGACCGACAUUCCAUACAAGUGUAGAUGAUUUUGCACAUUUUACUGGGGUCUUGUUACUGAAUUCAUACAACUACUACACGGGUAGAGCACAUCUAAUUUCGGACCACCGUACUCAGCUCUGAUAAAGUUCAUGAAGUUUUCAACCCCCUCGACAUAUGCAGCGGAGAAUCUUCGAGCAGAAGUUAUCCAAGUCUUGUCCAUCUGUUAGACAUACAAAUUAGUUCUUCUACUAGAUAUUACAGGAAAAACAUAUAUGCUUUUUUAUGAGGUCCAGAAAAAAAUACCUAGGUCGAUGUGUAAAGCUAUGGCAAGAUAUUUGGACAAGCAGAUCUAAGUAACGAAAUAUAUGUAAAGCUAAUUCAGCAAACAGAUUUGAGUGCUAAAUUAUGGCAGGCUGUUUCAGCAGUCAAUGAGGCCGAGCACACAACCAUCAAACUAUCGAAGGCCAUCGCAGCAACAAAGAUCGAGUAUAAAACGGUGUAGAGCUAUUUCACCUAACAGAUUGGCUACAAGACCAUGGCAAUCUACGUCACAAUAAAUAUAUGGCAGGAUAUUUUAGCAACUAAUCGGCCUUGCAUGCCAUCUCAGCUAAGCAGAUUGAGUGCAGAACAGGGCAAGGAAGCUUCUUAAGAAGAGCAUAUUGACAGUAAACUACUUCGGCAAACGGUGAGAUUAACAGCGUCUAGCAGCUAACAUUCAAUGCUACACCGACAUGAACGGGGCCUCAGUCUAGAAUGCGCGUACCGUGGGAGAUGCUGACCGCCGUGCGUCUCCACACGAACAUCGCCAGCGGUGGCGGCGCUGACCGCCGUGCGCCUCCACAAGAACGUAGCCAGAGGUGGCGACGCGGCUAGAGGACAGCAGUCUACGAGAGCGUACUGUGCGAGCGAGAGGAUCGCUGAACCGCGGAGCCGACUUAUCGACGCAGCGGGGAGGGCGGCUUUGGCGGAGCGAAUGGAGUGGAGGGGGACAGGGGGAGGGGGUUUGGGUACUAUUAUUGGCUAGUUGGCAGAAGGGCGGUUGAAUCGGAUUUGGGGGGAAUUUUUGGGUGUGGGGGGGAGGAUUUUUGCACGGUGGGCGGGGGGAGUUUGGUGCAUGGUCGGUUUCUCCAAGUGCAGUCCCACAUGUCAGUGAAGAGGCAAGCUGGAGCGCGUUCCAUUUGCGUGAGCCGUGUGCAGGACCGAACGUGUGUGGGGUGCAAUGCGACCGCGACAAGAGUGCUGUGAGUGUACCGCCUUUUUUCCUUUUAAACUAGGUGCUUCGUCCCCUAAAAAAAUUUUGCUUCGCGCGAUCCAUCGAUACUACUACUAGUAAUCCGGUAAUCCCGACUAAAACGGCACGGUCGGGUCUGUUCCCGCGCGAUAUGCUGGGAGGUUGGCUUAGUUGGGUUUUUUAGGACGAGUAAUGCUACACCUACGUAAUCCCAGUUACAUAAACGUGUGAGCUAUUGAUUGUAGAUUGGGGGAGGGAGGGGCCCACCACCAUGAAAAUCAGGGGAGGAGAGAAAGAGGCAAUUUACGUUAACCCUUUCGUAGGUUCCCGU
RNAcentral lists this long non-coding RNA (97604 nucleotides) under Triticum aestivum (bread wheat). RNAcentral's name for it is "long non-coding RNA (TAES_LNC022141)". Lineage: Eukaryota; Viridiplantae; Streptophyta; Magnoliopsida; Poales; Poaceae. The record is from RNAcentral.